AGAUUCAAAACUUCAAGCCUAUUCAAAUGUUCGAUUGAUGAUGGUAGCUCUUUUAUAGCCGUUUCGUUCAAGUGAAGCUCCCUUAAGUUUUCCAUAUUCUCCAAGAUUUCUGGAAAGUACUGUAAUUGUGAACAGUGAGAGCAAAAGAGAGAUUUUAGGGAUUUGAACUCCCAAAUGCUUGUUGGCAGACUCUCAAGGUUUUUGCACUCUCGCAAACAUAAGGUAUCAAAUUCAGAGGCAUGCUCAAUGGGUAGUAGGCUGAUUGUCUGACCCUUUAAACAAAGCUUUCGGUGUUCCACGUUCCUCUGACAAUCCAAGCAUCUAGCAUCCACAUCCUCAGUCUGUACUACUAUUGGAUCUUGGGAGUAUAUAGGUUGGAGCCCACACUUGAGCACCUUAAAAUGACUCUGAGGGUCCUUAAAUGUAGCCGCAAGAUACAUGAAUGGAUUGGUGGGACCGCUCUCCAGAAUAGCAGCCUUGGGAUAGAAUAUCACCCACAUUUGUUCUGAUACACCUCCAUUAUGGUAGCAUUUACAAGUAGAGCGAAAACUGAGAUGUCGCACACACAGGGAAGAAGAUCCAUAUCCUUCACUCAAUGACAGUUGACAUUGUAACUCAGUGGAGAUUGAAGAUUCAGCUUCAAGUAAAUCAUCAGAUUCAUUCUCCAAUGUAUGUGCAAAAUCAUUUUCUGGUAUAUCCUCACAUUCAUCGAGUGGAGCAUAAACACAGCAUAUAGCAAUCCCCAAGAAGUCAUCAUUUUCAUAACAAUUCUGAGGAAGCUCCAUUGUGAUUCGAUAUCCCUCUCUCUGAUUCCUUAUCCACUUGGGAAUUCCACUGCUUCCCGGAACAACAAUACAGAUUCCAUCGCCAAUGUAGUCGGAAUUAGGGAGAAAUACUCCAUUUGAACUCUUCUCGUGUUUCAAAUCCUGCACAAAUGGACAAUGUAAAUCUAGUGGGUCUGUGUCAUUAUGUGAGUUUUUAUGAGAGAGUUUGUUAUCAGUUUUCGAUAAAUUGAUUCCCAGUUUUAACUUUCUUUGAUCUAUGCUCCUGAAUCUACUUAAUAUCCCUUUUAGAUGAUGGAUAAUCAAUGAACAUGAAAGUGAGUGACAAGAUUAAGUGUGAAAACUGGAAGUGAGGGGAAACUGAAACUGGAAAGUGAGUAGAAUAAGCAGAUCUCUUCUUCACUUGCAGUAGCUCCUUCUCCAUUCAGAUUCAGAGAUCUUAGAAUUGUAGCUUCAACUUAACUCUCAGAAUCUUAAAGACAAAGUUCGCUCAAGUUUCAAAAACUCAUAGAAAAAUUUCGCCUCAUGUUUCUCUUAAUCCCAUGAGGCGAGAGACAUGCAGCACAUGCUUAUUGGCUUUUUUCCAUGCAAGUUUCAAGGUGGAGCAUCUAAUGAACUAAAACAUUCCUUCAAAUCCUAGUGGAAAUUCACACUAGAAAUUUCAGAAUUUGCUAAAGAAAGGUUUAAUUCAUUUUAUCCAUGAAUAAAAAAUCAUGUGAGGGCAUUUUAACUUCCUAAUAAUUAUUAUAUUAAACUAUAAUUCUCAUUAUUUAAACUCGUGAUCUGUAACUUUAUCAUCACAUUUUGAAGAGACUUUCGUCAUCUCUUCCAUGAAUUAAUUGAUGUUUAAGGAGGUAUAAUAAACUUUUAAUUGAAUUUAACAUUAUUUCUAUCCUUAUACUCAUCUUAAACUCUAAUUUUUUUUUUUUACUCUUAUCAAAAAAAAUAAAAACUUAACAGAAAAAAAAAAUUUCAAUUACUCCGUGUUCACGAGGAAAAAUGGCUGAAUGUUAUGAAAAUCAUACCUCAAUUGUUGAUUUAAAGCAUUUGAACAGAGAAACACCAAGUAGACUUGAUGGACUUGAUAAAGUUUCCAAGCAUGUGCAACUGUGGACAUCUAGAACUCGUAAACUUGGCGUAAGCUCUGGAACUUGUAGAGGCCCCUGGCAGUGACUCAAUUCAACGACUCUCAGUUUAGAAAGUUGAAUGAUGCCUGCAAGUAUGCUACUAAAACAGUCCAUGCUUAGAUUUAGACCUGAAGCAUGCAAACACUCUAAACAUUGCAAACUCCUCAGGUUCUUGGGAAAUUCCUCAAGUUUUGUACAGAAACUGACAUCUAGAAUUUUAAGAGAACUCAAAUUACAAAUGGUCUCUGGAAGACUCACAAGGUUGGUGCAAUCUGCAAGAUUCAAACAUUGAAGCCCUCUUAAAUAUUGAAUUGAUGCUGGUAGUUCUUUUAUAGCAGUUCCAUCUAAAUGAAGAUUUCUUAAAUUUUCCACAUCCUCAAGGAUUUCUGGAAAGCUCCUUAAUCGUGAACAGCCUGAGCAGUUGAGAGUUGUAAGGGAUUUCAACUCACAAAUGCUACUGGGAAGACGCUCAAGGUUUUUGCAUUCUCGCAAACAUAAGCUAUCAAAUUCUAAGGGACACUCAAUAGUGGGUAGUUCAUUGAUGGCACUUCCCUUUAAACAAAGCUUCCGUCGGGAUUGCACAUCCGCUUGACAUUUCCGGCAAAUGGUGGGUAUCAUUGCUUUACCAUUGUUCUUUUCAUGAUCAUGGGCAUAUAUAAGAUGGAUCCCACACUCUUCCACUUUCAUUGCUUUACCAUGUGAGAAGCCACAAAAUGAAGCCGUCAACUGCCUCCAUUUAUUUGAGUGAUACUUCUUCUCAAUCACCACCUUUGCAUAAUAAAUCAUCCACAUUUUUGGUACAACAUCAUAGCAGCGAAACGAUGGAUAAAACUGGAGUUCAUCCACAAACUGAGAUUCAUGAGCACGCAAAGUCAAAGAACACUUGAGGUAAGCUGCAUCAUUCUCCAGUGUCUCCUCAGAUUCAUUAUCAAGUGGAUCAUAAAGAGAGUACAAAACAAAACCCAACAAGUCGUUAUUUUUAUACCAAUUUUCAGGAAGCUUUGCUACCACUUUAGCUCCCUUUUUGUGAUGGCUUAUCCAUUUUGGAAUUCCACAACUUCCUGAAAUAAUAAGAUUUACUCGGGCAAAAAGGCUGUCUCUAGGAUAAAUCCUGCAUUCAAAAUCCUGCACAAAAUUUAAUUAACACGUAAAUCCCCAUGUCUCCAUAGAAAAAGUUUUGUUCUAUGAAUAUCAUACCUGAAUCAAUGAUUUGAAGCAGUUGAAUAGAGAAGACCAGAGUAGACCCGAAGAAGUUUCCAGCCAUGGGCACUCAUGUACAUCUAAGACACGCAAACUGGAUGGAAGCGCUGGAAUUUGUCGAAGCUCUUGACAGUGACCCAAGUUAAGGAUUCUCAGCAUAGAAAGUUGAUUGACCCCAGAAGGUAUGCUCCUAAAAAGAUUCCCACUUAGAUGUAAAUGUUGCAGAGAUGAUAGGUGGCAAAUUUCAGUGGGGAUUCCUCCUUCAUCUAUUCUGCAGAAAGAUAGAUCUAACACUUCCAACGAGUACAAGCAGCAAAUAUCACUCAGGACUACUCCUUGCAUUAGCUUUGACCCAGGUAGAAUUAAAUUCUUUAAGGAGCAUAAACCCAACAAAGAAACCAAUUGGCAACAUGUUGAAUUUAAGCCACAAGCACAGAGAUGCUUCAAGCUUUGCAGCCUCCCCAGGUUUUGUGGCAAUUUGUGGAGUUUUGAACAGUAACUGACAUCGAGAACUUCAAGAAAGCAUAAAUUACAAAUGCUUUCUGGAAGAGUCACAAGUUUUUUGCAGCCCUCCAGAUUCAAAACUUCAAGCCUAUUCAAAUGUUCGAUUGAUGAUGGUAGCUCUUUUAUAGCCGUUUCAUUCAAGUGAAGCUCCCUUAAGUUUUCCAUAUUCUCCAAGAUUUCUGGAAAGUACUGUAAUUGUGAACAGUGAGAGCAAAAGAGAGAUUUUAGGGAUUUGAACUCCCAAAUGCUUGUUGGCAGACUCUCAAGGUUUUUGCACUCUCGCAAACAUAAGGUAUCAAAUUCAGAGGCAUGCUCAAUGGGUAGUAGGCUGAUUGGCUGACCCUUUAAACAAAGCUUUCGGUGUUCCACGUUCCUCUGACAUUCCAAGCAGCUAGCAUCCACAUCCUCAGUCUGUACUAUUGGGUCUUGGGAGUAUAUAGGUUGGAGCCCACACUUGAGCACCUUAAAAUGAUUGCGAGAGUCUAUAAAUACAGCAUUAAGAUGCAUGAAUCGAUUGGUGUGACAGCUCUCCAGAAUAGCAGCCUUGGGAUAGAAUAUCACCCACAUUUGUCCUGAUACACCUCCAUUAUGGUAGCAUUUACAAGUAGAGCAAAAACUGAGAUGUCGCACACACAGGGAAGAAGAUCCAUAUCCUUCACUCAAUGACAGUUGACAUUGUAACUUAGUGGAGAUUGAAGAUUCAGCUUCAAGUAAAUCAUCAUCUUCAUUUAGGACUUCGUCACCAGAUGGAUUCUCCAAUGUAUGUGCAAAAUAAUUUUCAGGUGUGUCCUCACAUUCAUAGAUUGGAGCAUAAACAGAGCAUAUAGCAAUUCCCAAGAAGUCAUCAUUUUCAUAACAAUUCUGAGGAAGGCCCAUUGUGAUAUGAUAUCCCUCUGUCUGAUUCCUUAUCCACUUGGGAAUUCCACUGCUUCCCGGAACAACAAUACAGAUUCCAUCGCUAAUGUAGUCGGAAUUAGGGAGAAAUACUCCAUUUGAACUCUUCUCGUGUUUCAAAUCCUGCACAAAUGGACAAUGUAAAUCUAGUGGGUCUGUGUCAUUAUGUGAGUUUUUAUGAGAGAGUUUGUUAUCGGUUUUUGAUAAAUUGAUUCCCAGUUUUAACUUUCUUUGAUCUAUGCUCCUGAAUCUACUUAAUAUCCCUUUUAGAUGACGGAUAAUCAAUGAACAUGAAAGUGAGUGACAAGAUUAAGUGUGAAAACUGGAAGUGAGGGGAAACUGAAACUGAAAGUGAGUAGAAUAAGCAGAUCUCUUCUUCACUUGCAGUAGCUUCUUCUCCAUUCAGAUUCAGAGAUCUUAGAAUUGUAGCUUCAACUUAACUCUCAGAAUCUUAAAGACAAAGUUCGCUCAAGUUUCAAAAACUCACAGAAAAAUUUCGCCUCUUGUUUCUCUUAAUCCCAUGAGGCGAGAGACAUGUAGCACACGCUUAUUGGCUUUUUUCCAUGCAAGUUUCAAGGUGGAGCAUCUAAUGAACUAAAACAUUCCUUCAAAUCCUAGUGGAAAUUCACACUAGAAAUUUCAGAAUUUGCUAAAGAAAGGUUGAAUUCAUUUUAUCCAUGAAUAAAAAAGCAUGUGAGGGCAUUUUAACUUCCUAAUAAUUAUUAUAUUAAACUAUAAUUCUCAUUAUUUAAACUGAUGAUCUUUCACUUCAUCACGACAUUUUGACGAGACUUUUGUCAUCUCUUCCAUGAAUUAAUUGAUGUUUAAGGAGGUACAAUAUUUUUUAAUUGAAUUUAACAUUAUUUCUAUCCUUAUACUCAUUUUAAACUAUUAUAUUUUUUUUUUAUAGUUUUAUCAAAAUAAAUAAAAACUUAACAAAAAAUAAAUAAAGAUUUCAAAACAAACUUUAUAGAGUUAUCAACACUUAUUUACAUCAUUCUUUAAAAAAAAUUAUAAUUAACAAAAAUGUGAUAUAAAAAUUAUAAAGAAUAAAAUUUUUUGAAAAAUGUACUAGUUAUUUGAAAUCAAAAUUCCUAGUCAAUGAAUCGUCAAAAAACUGCAAUAGCUAUGCAAAUGAGAAAAAUAAAUAAAUUAAAAGUAAAAAAAGAAAUUAUCAAUGUCAAGAAUGAGAAACCAUUUAUUUCCUUUUUUUUUUGUAAACUUUUUUUUAUUCUGAUUGUAUGUAUUCAUUACAAUUUUUAAAUUAAUAAAUAAUGUUUUUAUCACAAAAUUUAAAAAUGGCAUCUAUCAAAAUUUAUAUAUUGUUAUUAGAUUUUUAUAAAUUUCAUUUAUAUCUUCAAAAUUACAAACUCCUUUCCAUUAUUAUUUCUUAUUUUUCUUAUUGAAAAUGCAUCUUUAUUCAUCAUUUGAAAGCAUAACACUUUGAAUCUUAGGAUGUACUUCUUUCUUCCUAGGCAUUGCACUCUCAUAGGACCCAUUAAAUCCAUAUGCAACAUCUCUAAGAUCCUAGAAGAAGAGAGAAUCAGUUUUCUCUCUCAUUCAUGCGAAUUCAUUUUCUUAGAUGGGACAGAUUUUAGGAUUUUUAGGUUUUCCUAAAUGGGAAGUGCUUUAACUAGUUCUUUAAUUGUAAUCCUAGACAAAUCAUUAGAGUUUAAAUGCGCUACCAUACAAUGCUACUGUCUUUGGAUGUAAAUUUCACAUUUUACAACUAUGUGCACUAGAUGAUAAGGAAGAAGUAGAGAGGUGCACAAAGGCAUAACAAAAAUUACCAAAAAUUUGAUUUCAUACCAACACACAUCCUUGAAUAGACACUGAUUUGGAGUAAAAUGAACAAAGCAUAUACAAUCACAAAUUUAAGUUGCAUUAAUUAAGUUUGCUUUCAAUCCAAUAUAUAGUAACUCCUCGAGUAUAGGUAAAUUUGGACCUUCUAUGGUACCUUUCACUUUCGAGUUGGUUAUAUGUAAUACAACCAUCCCUAAAUACAACCAAGCUUCCCUUUAAGGUUCAAACGUGGAGAAAAACCAUAAGUUCAUUAUUUCUUUAACCAUUCCCAAAUACAACCAAACUCCUUUUAUGAGUUCAAAAGUCGAGAGAGAUCCAAGUUCUCUGUCAUACAACUAGAGUAGCCACUCUCAAAAUCCACAACGUGUUUUUCUCUAGCUCUUAGACCCUAUGGUCAACUAAGGCUUUUUGGUUCUCCUUAACCUAGAUUUUCUUUCCAACAGACAAUUUAAAUCCUAUUUAAGAAUUGUUUUUAAAAUUAAUUUCUCAGUUCUUAAAAAUAGAAACCUAUUUUGUAGACUAAAACCAUGUUUGGCAACUUUUUGACAUAUUAUAGUUUUUUGAGAACUUGUUCUGAAAAUAAGGUUUCUCCUAAUAACAUAUUUUAAUUGCUUUCAAUUGUUUUCAUUUAUUUUGUAAGGUUGUUUUAAAAAAAUAAUGGUACAUAUAUAAAGAAUGAUGAAAAAUAAAGAACUAAAAGUAAAAGUUAUUUUUAAUAAAUAUUUGGAAAUACAAAAAAUAUAUUAAAAACAUUCUAAGUUUGUAAAUAGACUUUUAUUCUAGAAAACAUCAGACCAACUAUUUUUGAAUCAUGCAAAUUGGGCACACAUUUUCUAUGCCUAGUUUUCUGCCCAAGGCCCUGUAAAUGAACACAACCUCAAUUUUAAGGAGUUUCAAAACGAUGGUUGCUUUCUCGAAGGGGAGAGGAGUUUCGAAGGGUGGUAAGAGUUUGUUUGCAAUGGAAUCAAAGACAUUCGAAAUCCCCAUUGAAGGGAUUCGAGGCAACAGAUGGGAUUAUUCCGAAAAGGAACAAAGGCUUCUCCUCAUAGAUAAAAUUUGGUGAAAAGAGCUUCAGUUUUCUGUUGGAAGGGGUGGAAGACUAGUGCAGAGGAGAGUCAAGCUCGAGGCACCUUAAAGUUUAGGAAGAAGAAGGAAGAAAAUAUAGGUUGGAGUGUCGUUCAAAUGAAGCCGAUAGGUAUCUACUAUGCUCGAUGAGGGAUUUGGAAGCUAAGAGGUUUUGUCUAGUGUUUCCAGAAGGUAAAGGCUUAGUAGGAGGGUGGUUUCUGUUGGCUUAGAAGUUAAGGGCCCUUGGAGUUUCUACUCCAGCCUUGAGUAAAGGUGAUCUGGGUACUUCCAACUCUGAAAAGAAUGGUUAUAUGGCCAAAGGAAAAGAUAAAGGGAAAGGAGUGUAUGCAGAAGUCGUGAGAAAGGAGGUAGGGGAAUUAGGGGAUGCAUUGUGAGUGCAUGUUGGGGAUCGUGACCUGCUCAGUAGGGAAGAACAGCUUAGCCAUUGUUUAGUAGGAUGUUUUGGUGAUAGUGUAGAGGUCGUCCCUUCUUUGUCCUUAUUGAAGGAGUGGGCGUGUGAAAAGUGGUAUCUCAAGGGAGGUUUAUAAAUCUCCAAUUUGGGUGGAGCCCUUGUGUUGUUCGAAGUUGAAGAUAAAAGUUGAAGUGGAUUUGGUGCUUUUAAGGGGUAGUAGAUGUCUUAAGAAGAGAGAGUUUUUCCUGCAGAAAUGGGGACUUGAAGUUGGGUGUUUUAGAAAUGGGAGCCACCCUAAGGAAGUGUGGGUGAAAGUUGUCGGACUUCCACUUCACCUUUGGAGUAGAGAGGUGUUCAAGAGUAUUGGAGAAAGAUGUGGUGUUUCAUAGCUGUGGAUAAGGAAACUGCUUUCUCCUCCGAGUUGAUGUGGGCUCGUAUCUUGCUGAGAGCCUUUGGGAAGUUUAGACCAGGAACUUCACAAGUGGCAGUCGGGAAUUUUUGUUGGACGGUGAGUCUAUGGUGGAAAACUCCCCCAUGGUUCUCAAAGGUAGUGGCAAGGUUCGCCUAGUUUGAAAAUGAGAGACGAGAGAUCAGGGAUGAGGUUGGGGGUGAAACACGUGCCGAAGUUAGCGUGCAAUAUGUUCAAAAUUUUCAAAUUGAUAUGCAGUCUUGGGGGACAGGGGCGCAGGUUGUGUGUGGCAGAAGGAAAAGAAAGGAAGUAGUUGUAAUGGUUGCAAAGGGUAAGCUGCCUAGUGUAGCUGAUAUGGACUCUUCUUGCAGUGGGUCUGGGCCCAUAAAAGAAAAUGGGAAGGCUUUCAAAGGGAAUGGUUGUUUGGGCUUUAGUGGUGAAGUGGUUUGGGCCAAAGGCCCAUUGUCCGUUAGCCUUGAAGAGGCGAGCUUAGGUAAGUCUCCUAAGCCCACUUUUAAUAAGGCUGGCACAAGCUUUUUGGAGCGUCCCUCCUCAGCUAGGGCUCCAUCUAUUCCCGCAGGGGGUGUUGGGGGACGGAUGCGAAGCUCUUGGCUGUUGAAGUUGCAGUCACCGCGGAGUUGCUGCCACAUCGUCGGAGCGUCACUGACAAGGCUCUGAUGGAGGAGGCUUCCAGGUAUUAAGCUAUUCCCAAUUUUUCUUUGUUUUUAGGGCUUCGGGAAUCCUCUUCUUCUUCUCUCUGGGGCCACACCGAAGUUGUAGGGGUGUCGAAGGGGUUUGCUUAUGGAACGGAAUGGGAGUUGGGUCGGUUUCCACCGAGUGUGGUGCGGAAUAGAGCUGAGUCGACUUUAUGAGGCUGGAGUGAGCCUUCUUGGGACUCGGUUGACGCUAAGAGAGUGAAUGGGUUAGCACUUGUCCCGAUGAGGUCGGACUUUACGCGCCUUUUUGAGAAAAGGAGUGUCUGUCACCUAGAAGAAGGGGGAUGUGAUGAAGGGUAAGGGGGAUGUGAUGAAGGGUGGAGUUCAAGCCGUCUUGCGGUGUUCAGUCGCUGCUUGGGUAUGCCAACGAAAGGCUUCGAAAAGGAAAUUUUGUACUUCUUAAGGAGAAUGACAGGGAAAAUUGAGUAAAAGGGUAAGAGAGGGGUGACUAGGAAGACAAGUUUAAAAUCUUCAAAAUCCAACAAGGAACUCAAGAAGCUGGAGUGGACUGUUAAAGAGGCUAAUGAUAGGGGUAAAAGGAAGAUUAUCAAGUCAGUCAUUAAAUCCCAAAGAGUGGACCUGGUUUGUUUACAGGAAACUAAAAUUAAAGAAAUGACUACAGGGCUUGUUCGUAGUCUAGGGGUGGGAAGAAAUCUAAAAUGGAGAGCAGUCAAUCCUAGGGGAGCAGCUAGUGGUAUUCUGUUGUUCUGGGACAAUAGACUGGUGGAGCUGGUUGGCUAGGAAGAAGGGGUUUUCUCAAUUUGGCGUUGGUUUAAAAAUUGCAUGGAUGGUGUAGUGUGGGUGUUCACUGGAGUGUAUGGGCCAGUAUGCAAUAGAGAUAGAGAGGAUUUCUGGAAGGAACUAGGGUCAAUUAAAGGGUUAUGGAGUGACCCUUGGUGUGUAGGAGGGGAUUUCAAUUUGGUAAGGUUUCCAAAAGAGCGUAGUAGGAGAGGUGGGCUUAUUGCUUCAAUGAGGAGAUUCUCAAAAGUGAUAGAAGAUUUGGAGUUGAGGGAUUUUCCUUUGACGGGGGGCUCAUUUACUUGGAGAGGAGGCUUGAAUAACCAGGCCCAGUCUAGGCUUGACUGGUUCUUAUUGACGAACAACUGGGAUAAUCUGUUCAAUGGGGCCAUGCAGGGAAUUCUCCCCAGACCUGUCUCAGAUCAUUUCCCGAUCCUCCUAGGAGGAGGGUUGACGAAGGGACCUUCCCCUUUCAGAUUUGAGAAUAUGUGGUUGGAGGAGGAGGGUUUCAAAGACAAGAUGAAGACAUGGUGGGGGAGUUUAAAAUUUACGGGGACAUCCAACUACAUUUUAAAUGCUAAAUUGGGGACUCUUAAAAAUAUUCUGAAGAUUUGGAAUAAAGAAGAGUUUGGGCUCUAUUGGGAUGAAAAGAAGAAAUGUGCAGCUUUAAAUAUAAAAGAGUGUGAAGCAAGAAAUGGAGCAAGAGUCCUACAAGUCUUGGGUGACGAGAGAAGAGAUUUUUUGGAGACAAAAGUCUAGGAAGUUGUGGCUGAAGCGGGAGGGGGGACAAUAAUACUAGAUUUUUUCAUAGGUUGGCGAAUGCUCAUAAUAAAAGAAUCUAGUUGUCCAAGUUGAAAGUUAAUGGCUAUUGACACUCAGAGGAAAAUAAUUUAAAAAAGUGUGGUGGGGGCGUUUCAAAAACCAUACUCAAAAGAAGAGGGGUGGCGCCCUAGUAUCGACAGGUCGUCCUUUAUAGGUUAGAUAGAAGUGAGGCUGAGGGGUUGGAGAAUCCUUUCUCGGAGGAAGUGGUGUUUGCAGCUCUUUCAGAUCUAAGCAAAUACAAAGCCCUAGGGCCGCAUGGUUUUACCAUGGCAUUUUGGUUUUUUUGGUGGGAUGUGGUGAAGGUUGAGAUUAUAGGCUUUUUUAGAGAAUUUCAUGAAAGGGGUAGAUUUGUAAAAUCUCUAAAUGUCACCAUCUUGGGUUUAGUCCGUAAGAAGGGAGGUGCUCAAGAUUUGAAGGAUUUCAGACCGAUUAGCCUUGUGGAGCCUUUACAAGUUGUUGGCCAAGUGUUGCCAAAUAGAAUCAAGAAGGUAAUGGGAAAAGUGAUUUCGGAACCCAAAAUGCCUUUGUGAAGGGUAGAUAAAUACUUGAUGCAGUUUUGAUUGCAAAUGAGGCUACGAAUUCUAGGUUGAAAAGCAGUCAAGGGGGUAUGAUGUGCAAAUUGGAUAUAGAGAAGGCCUAUGAUCAUGUCUGCUAAAAGUUCGUGUUGGCAAUGCUAAAAAAAAUAGGCUUUGGUGAGAGAUGGAUUAAGUGGAUGGAGUGGUGUAUCUCUAUUAUAAGAUUCUCUGUUCUUAUAGAUGGUUCUCCCUCCGGGUUUUUCCAAAGUUCAAGGGGUUUGAGACAAAGAGACCCCUUAUCCCCUUAUCUGUUUGUGAUAGUUAUUGAGGUAUUUAGUUGCUUAUUGAGAAGGGCCAUUAGUGGGGGCUUUAUAUUAGGGUGGAGGAUAAGAGGCAGGGUGGAGAGGGGAUUCUGAUAUCUCACUUGCUUUUUGCGGAUGACACCUUGGUGUUUUGUGAGGAGUCUCAGGAUCAAUUGACGCAUCUAAGCUGGCUUCCCAUGUGGUUUGAGGCUUGCUCAUGGUUGAGAGCUAACUUGGAGAAGAGUGAGCUUAUUCCGAUGGGGAGGGUAAAAGAUAUAGAAUAUUUGGCUUUGGAAUUGGGCUAUAAAGUGGGUGGUCUGCCUUCCUGUUAUUUGGGUCUGCCUUUAGGGGCACCCUUCAAAUCAGAGGUGGUAUGGGAUAGUGUUGAAGAGAGGUUUCGAAAAAGGCUAACUAUAUGGAAGAGACAACAUAUAUCAAAAGGGGGAAGACUCACCCUAAUAUGAAGCACUCUCUAGUUUGCCAGUUUACUUCAUGUCUCUCUUCUUUUUGCCCAAAAAAGUAAGGCUAAGGUUGGAGAAGAUUCAGAGGGACUUCCUGUGGGGAAGAGGAGCUCUUGAACAAAGGUCACAUCUUGUUAGGUGGAACUUGGUUUGUCUGGAAAGAAAGAAAAGUGAUUUGGGUGUGAGAAAUUUAGCUUUGAUGAAUAAAGCUCUCUUGGGUAAGUGGAAUUGGCGCUUUGCCAUUGAAAGUGAGGCUUUGUGGAAGCAAGCGAUCGGUCACAAAUAUGAUGUAAAGGAGGGGGGAUGGUGUACUCGGGCCGUAAGUGGGAGGCAUGGUGUAGGGCUUUGGAAAGCUAUUAGAAAGGAGUGGUUGGGUAUGUAUAGAAGUUUAGUCUAUCGCGUGGGCAGUGGUAGGAAAGUGAGAUCCUGGAAGGAUAAGUAGUAUGGAGAUGAGCCUCUUUAGGAGUCCUUCCCUUCUUUAUUUGCCAUUUCCUUGGCUAAAGAUGUUUGGGUAUCAGAUGUGUGGAAACCAGAUGGUGUAGAGGAUGGUUGGACCCCUCUUUUCUCAAGGGCGCUUAAUGAUUGGGAGAUUGAGAUGGUGGAGCAGUUUAUGCUAAAAAUCCAAGCCUUUAGGGUGUAAAGGGAGGACGAGGAUACAGUGGUAUGGACAGCAUCUAAAAGUGGAGGACUAGUAUUUGGAGAGCGUAUGUGCCUCCUAAGGUAACUUUCUUCGCUUGGGAAAGCAUCCUGAGGCAAAAUCUUAACUUUGGAGCAACUCCAUUGAAAGGGGUACUCUUUGGCAAAUAGAUGUUUUCUUUGCCUUUCUGAAGCAGAAAGGGUGGAUCACCUUUUACUUCAUUGUGUUAAGACACGGGCAUUGUGGAAUCUUCUUUUUUCCCUCUUUGGUGUGACUUGGGUUCUCUCUGGUUUAGUUAAGGAAACUCUCCUUGGUUGGCAUGGAGCAUUUGUGGGAAAAACCCGUAAAAAGGCGUGGCAAAUGAAUCAUUUAUCUAUAUUUUGGUCAAUAUGGAAGGAAAGAAAUUUAUUGGCUUUUGGGAAUGAGGUGUUUUCACUCCAAAGGUUGAAACAUUCUUUUGUAUGUAAUUUUUGAUCUUGGGUUAGGGUGUUUAUAGUUUUGAGCCCUUGUUCUCUUGUUAGCUUUUUUGAGUGGCUAGGCUCUAAGUAAGGGUAGGGGUUGUCGUUUCUUUCCCCUUUCUUGGUUUAGAGUAUGUGGGUUGCUUUUGUAUACUCCCUGUAUACUUAGAGGGCACUAGUUUGGUGUUUCCUCUUUUUGUUUAAUAUAUUUCUUUUUACCUAUCAAAAAAAAAAAAAAAAAACUAUUUUUGAGAACUUUUUUCAAUAACCGUUUUUUAAGAUUUAUUUUCAAAAAAAAUUCCUAAACAAAGCCUUAACCUUCAAGGAUCUAAAACUUUGCACUAAGUUUGGUGUUUUAUUGUUGGAUUUUCUUAGUCUUGCAAGCUUUAUGAUGAUCUUGCAAUAUUUUCUUUAAUUUACUAUUCAUUUUACCUGAGCAUUAAGUUUGGCUAAGUAUUGAAGAAUAACCUUGGCAUACAUUCAACUUCUUUUAUGGACAAAGGAAUGGAGCUAGAUCAGACUUUCUUUAAAUUUAGUCAAUUCUGAUUUACGUGACUCAUAAUCAGAUUGUAAAACAUUCAAAUUUUUUAACAAGGUACCUUGCUCAUUUUCAAGGUAAGAGAUUUUUUUCAAGCAAGGAAGUCUUCUCUCAUACUUCUUUUAUUCUCAUCCAACUUUCACAAUUUUAAUCUUAAGGCUUCCUUGGCAAUCUCAAAAGACAACUUUUCUUCCAAAUAUGUUGUAUCAUGAGAUGAACCUUCAAAAUUUUCAGAUUCAAGAUCAGUUUCAAAUUUAACAUUUUUCUUUUCAUUGCAAAGUGAUAUAGAAGGUAACAAGUAUAUCAACAAUUUCGUCAGGCUCAUCAUGCUCAAAAGACACAAAUAUCAUCAAUGUCAUGUGACAAUAAAUCAUAAUUAUGUUUAUGCAUGUUUCUAGCAACUUAAUGCAAUGAAAUUUGUACAUUCUUCAUCAAAAUCAUACCAAAUUACUUCUAUGACUUUAUCCUUUUGACAUUCAAGAAAGUGACCUUUCUUGACACAAUAGAAACUUUGAAUCAACUAGAUCUUUUUUGUGCUUUUUAAUCUUUUUAUCACAUUUCUUUUCCCUUGUUUAAUCAAAUAGGUUAUCCUUUGUUUCUGGAAGCUUUUUGAACUUUUUGAAACUUUAUCAAGCCUAUAAAUUUCCAAUAUUGGUCCUUUUUUAUUCCUAUUCUGAUUUAGAAGCAUGUUUAUCUACUCCUAGUGCAAUAUUAAUGUUUCUUUUUCUUAGGAACACUUGGAGUCAUCUCCAAUUGAAGGAAGCCAACUAUCUCAUCUGGCUUUAUUGAAUCAACAGUGUUCCAUUCCUCUAUUGUUAUGACCUUAGGUCUAAAACGAUCAAAGGGGAUCUUAACAGUUUUUCGAGUAACCUUGGAAUCAGGUAGAGGCCUACAUAGAUUGAAAGUUAGCAUUCACAAUGUCCAUGAUUUCAAUAAUAUAUUAAGAAAAUAAUUUUGUUGUGAUCAUUUGAAAUUCAUUACUUCACCUAUCCCAACUUUACAUAGUUUUACCUACCCUAGUGGAUAUACAUCCAAUCUCUAUUUAGCACCUUAUCAGGAUAUCAACAAAAUUGAACAGAACUCCAAUCUCUAUUAGACUUCAUUUUCAAGAAGUAUAUCAGUUGCACCUUGGAGUGAGUAUAAUUAUCUCCUUUGAAGUAUGGAGGUCUACCUAUAGAGGUUCCUUCUCAGAGAAUUUCCAUCUUAAGAGAAUAUAGUUUAUCCAUAUUGAGAACAUGAGCAAACAUGUUUUGACACAAUUUAUGAGUUUUUAAGAGAGUAUGCAAUGAACUUGAGAUCUCUUUUAGAUUAUCAAAUAACAUAUGCACAUGAAUGUGAUUGCGUGAUUAGCACAAGGUCAUAGACUAAAAUGUCUCUAAUGAAAUCUCAGCAAACAAGCACACAAAUAUUGCACAAGAUAUAACAUGAAAAAUCUCUAAGUGGAGAAAGGAAAAUAAAUAAAUAAAUAACAGUGGGUGCCUUUGUUGUUGCAAAUCCACUAUGAAUAUAAAUCCAGUUUUGCCUACAAGUCCUCCAAGAUCAAUCACCAAUCCCCUUAAGGAAUCCUCAAAGUGAUUAUUUCUUCAAUCCACACCUCGUUUUGAUAUGCUUCAAUACGGCUCAUCAUGUACUCACCACCAAUCUCUCACCAUAGCCUCCUUCAACUCUCUUCAAUUACCACGAGUUUUCUUCUGCUCUACUAAUUACAUUACAACAGAAUCACCUUCAUUAUCUCAUUGAAGUGAUCUCCAAAAACUAGAAAACAAAAAUUCCAUUUGCAAAGCAACUUCUUCAUAUAGAUUCAGAGAACCAAAAUAAGAAGAUGUUUUCACUUGUAGCAACAUCUUCAUGUAGAUUCAGAGAACUCAAAUUGUAACUUCAAAUUCACUCUUAGAAUCUCAAUUAAGGUAAAGCUCACAUUUCAAAAUCUCCCACCAAGAGUUUCACUUACUCUUCCUUUUUGAAAUGAGAGUAGAACCAACUUAGUGCCAAGGGACAUAAGGCACACUCUUAUUGGCCUAUUGUCAUGCAAAUUUCUAGGUGGAGGAGAAUCCAACUAACUAAACAAAUGUUUUUUCGCUUCUGGCCAUUUGUUUCUAUGGUCUAGAAAAAUAUGUCCUAGAUGAUUCCCAUUGUUUCAACUCUUUCAUGAAAAAUGCUUCUCAAAUCACUCACUCCAGUCUUUCAUUCACAUUACCUGUGAACUCCAAUCUGCAGUAGUGAAAUCCUAUCAAAAGACUUGGAUUGAGUUCCUGGUUCUCGGUUGCCUAGCUCUAGCAAACCAGGACUUCUGUUAGCAACCUGGAACAAGUAGCUUAUCCUUUCAAUCCCAUUUUCAAGCUCAAUUCCCUCCACCAGUGAAAACAAAUGGUCUUAUAUAAUCAACUCCAUUCACUCCAGGGCUAUACAGGAAACACUUGUGAGCUGGCAGGCAGUAGCUCCUCCCGACUCACCAUAUUUCCAACCCCAUUUGCUCCAUCAAAUUCAUAAGAAGCUAACAAAAUAACUAGCAUUAUAUAUCAUACAAUAUCUAUGCUAGUUAAUUUACAUGGAAAAUGCAAUUUCUACCCUAAAUAUGCCAACAUACAGGAAUACAUACAAUUUAUACAAACAUUGCACGCUAACACAAGAAAAUCAUACCUGACUUGCUGAUUUGAGGCAAUUCACCAGAGAAUGCAUAGGUGGCAAUGAGAUCCCAAUUGAGCUGUGACAAUCUAACAGUCGCAGACUUGAAGGAAGCUCUGGAAUUUGUGAAAGCUUCUUGCAGUGACUCAAGUCAAGGGCUCUAAGGUUAGAGAGUUGACUGAUACCCACAAGUAUGUCACUGAGGGUUCCUCCUUCCUCUGGACUGCACCGACUUAGAUUUAAUACUUCCAGUGAGGAUAGAUGGAAAAUACAAUGGAACACUCCUCCAUUUAGAAUGCAAUUUCCUAGACUAAAUUCUUUCAAUGCGUUCAAGCAGUUAUCACUCUUUAUUACUCCUGGUGUUAGAUUGCAUUGAUCUAAAUAUAGUUCCCUUAAGAGAGAUAAACCUGACAGAGAAGGCAAUUGACAACUAAGCGAAUUUAAAUAAAGAACCUCUAGACAUGGCAUUCUCUCCAAGUCCUCCGGCAAUCUGUCAAGUUUUGAGCAGCCUUCAAGACUUAGAACAACAAGAAAUCUCAAAUUACAAAUGCUGUUCGGGAGACCCUCAAGGUUUUUACAAUUAUCCAAAUUCAAGUAGCGAAGGCCUUCUAGAAGUUCAAUCGAUGAUGGUAGCUCUUUUAUAGCUGUUUCAUCUAAACAAAGCUCCUCUAGUUUUGCAAUAUUGCUCUUGAUUUUUGGAAAACUAGCUAGUUUUGAACAGCCAGUGCAAUGAAGAGUUAAAAGGUGUUUCGACUCAUGAAUGUCCCCAGGAAGACUCUCAAGGCUUACACACCCUAUAAAAUUCAAGGAAAAAAAAAGUUAGUUUAAUAACACUCUUAUAUGUGUGUGAACCUUAAGUAAAAUUAUACAACCUGAAAGAAUUAGUUCCUCCAAAUUUGGCACGUUUGAGAAAUUUGGUAGCUCAAUGAGUUGUUGUGAAUCGCUGAGAUUGAUGCGCCUUAAAUUUCUAAGACACUGGAACAAAAUAGAAUUUCUAUUAAUAAAUCAAUUUUAAAAAACUUUAAAAUAUUAUAAAAUAAAAGCACAAAUAAAUAAUAAUCAUACCAUGUUUCCUUUCCAAAGUAGUUUUAUGUUACUAUUGCCCAAUAUGAGGGAAACAAGAUUGUUCGCAUGAAAGUUUGAUGGUAGAGAUUCUAAAGAAUAUCCAUUCCAUCUAAGGUAUGUCAAGUCAUACGGAAAUACAAAAUCUUUAGAGAGUUGUACGUGAUUGUGGGAGAUGGAAAGCAAUCUAAGUCUAUGCAUCCUUUCGAAAGCUUUGGAUGUAAACUGUAUUUGUUCUGAUUUGUCCACAUGAAGAUAUAUCCCUUCGAUUUUUUCAGUCCCCUAGAUAAUAAGAGUAUAAAAUUAGAAAAGCGCAAUAAAUAUAAAUCCUUACUAAGGUGAUAAAGAUAAAUAACGUCUUGAACAAAACAUAUUUUCUAUAUAUAUAUAUCUUACCGUAUUUCUUUUUAAUACUCGAUAAAUAUCUAUAUGUCUCCAUAAUCUGCUCCUCUCUCCUGGCUCAUUAGGACAUUCUUGAUCAACAAUGCCCUUGCCCAUUUGGGCUAACAAAUCAUGCAUAUCUAUUCUGUUGUCCUUUGAAAUGGUUAUGAAACACCUAUCAACGAGAGCAUUUAUUCCACUUUCCGCAUUGAAUUCGGAAGCAUCCAAUAUUCUUGAAACUCUUUUCACAUCAUCUCCUCUAAAGAAACAUGCAAUGUCGAGAAAUAUCAUCCUUUGUGUAUAAUCCAAUCCAUCGAAACUUAUUUUAAGCACUUUUACAAUUUCCAUGUUAGGCACCUUUUCCAGCUUCUGCAAUUCACUUUUCCAAUCUGGUAGUCUCUUUCCAAAUAAUAGAGAACCCAAAACUUUAAGUGCUAAUGGAAGACCAUCAGCAUAUUGUACUACUUGAUGAGAGAGAUCUCCAUAACCUUCCUUCGGAUGAUGUUGUUUAAAGGCAUAACGGCAAAAAAGUUGAAGAGCUUCGUGAAAAUAUAAUUUCUCAACUUCAUACAUAUCAUUUACUUCAUGCCUAGUUAGCAAAUCUUUUUUCCUAGUAGUAAUGAUGAUUCUGCUUCCUGGACCAAACCAAUCAUGCUUUCCAAUUAAGUGUUCUAAUUGUGUCAGCUCAUCUACAUCAUCCAGAAAAACAAGAACCUUUUUUGAGGAAAGCUUGUCCCUUAUUUCUUUGAUACCUUCAUGAACAUCCCUUAAAACUAUUUUCCUCGUUGUCCUUAGAGUAUCAUUAAGAAGUUGUUGUUGUAACUUAAGAAGACCAGAAUUUUCUGUGGAUUCUUUUCUGACAUCUGUGAGCAAGCUAACACUUUCGAAUUGAUUUGAGAUUCGGUUAUAAAGAGCAUUGAUGAUGGUGGUCUUGCCGAUACCACCAAGCCCAUAAACCCCGACCAUGCGAACAUCAUUCAACUCAAUCUUUAACAAUGAUAUUAGUCUUUCCAAACGAGAAUCCAUUCCAACAAUGUUCUCGUUAACAACUAAAGUCUUAGGGAAGCUUCUAAGGACGUUCUCAAUAAUUUCAUCAAUAAGCUCUGAUUCGUACCUGCCAAUUGCAUUAGGAUGAGUUGCAAAAAACAAUAAAUUAUAUGAAAUAAAUUUAAUGAUGCCUAGUUUUCCAACUUUAACUUAAUAGGGCUAAAACGAAUUGAAAUUAAAAUAAAAUAAACCACAUCUAACAAAUUACGUAUCAGUACAAUUUCAUUAUUCUAUACAAUUGCUCAUGUAUAUGAUAGAAAUAAGGGAAGAAAAUACAAAAUAUGAAUUGGAUUAUCAAAAGCGGAAAAAAAAAAAAAAACUAAAAUAUUUUUGUGUUAGCUUAUACUAUUCAAUCUUGUGGAAGGUUCAAAAUAAAGUUGAGUUGUCUAGAACAUUACUACCCUAUUUUGAUAAGGGAUUCCAUCAUAGGAUCAACUGCUAGUCUGCAUCCAAGCUUUUUAAUCUAAUGAUUUUACUACUGAUUAGACGGUCAACAUUACUAUCUUCUAUACUUGCAAGACUUUCUCUCACCAUUUAUUUAGAUAAAUGUCUCUUGCUGUUCCAUAUGUUGUAUUUUGCAUUUAUUUUUGUCUCUAGCUGUAUGAACAAAAAUUUUUGAAAACCGUUUAAUUAAAAAAUAACUUUCAUGAAUUAAUUAAAAAUAUUUUAUUUAUAAUUUUAAUUCUAUUGCAUGAAUGAAUUAAGAAAACAAAUUUACAUCAAUUUUAACCUAAAAUAAUUUAGUAUAUUCUUUAUGAAUCAAUAAAAUAGAAUUUUGUUUUUAAGAAAUUGUAAUAUUAUGGUAUCAAGUUUAAAAUUUUAAUGAACAGAUCUUUAUUUUAUAAAUAAUAAAAAUGAAUAAAAAAUUAUAAAAGUUUAAAACUCACUUAGCUUUAAAAAUUAUAAAAAUGAUAUAAAUAUUUUUUAUAUCAGCAGACAGAGAAAAGGAGAGUACUUCAAAUGACAAAUGAAGAGAAGUUACAAUUACCUGUUCGUCGCAUCAUAUCCGGCUAGAUUGCUUGCUUGCCUCAGGGCAGUCUUCCAUUUCCUUAUCUUUUCCUUUCUCUCCUCCUCUGCAUUCUUCUCAUGAUGGGUAAAUGCUUCUCCGUAAAUCUCAGUUUGGUUCCGCACUUCAGACGGAUCCACAUGAUAGAAAAUUGGGAUAACUACCAUUUGUUCCCUUUCCUCUUUGCAUUUCAUGAUCUUGACAAGCUCUUCCAGACACCAUUUGGAACGAGCAUAGGUUUCUGAGAAGACAACAAUGGCACUCCUUGAUUCCUCAAUAGCUUUUAAGAGCUCUGGUGCAAUCUCUUCACCCCUUCGAAGUUCUUCAUCAUCUCUAAAGGUUCUAAUACCGCUAUGAAUCAAAGCCUUGUAGAGAUGAUCAGUGAAGUUUCUGCGAGUAUCUUCACCUCUAAAACUCAAAAACACAUCGUAACUCCAUUGAGAAUGGGAAGUGGAAGAAGAAGAGGCCAUGGUUGAACAGAAAUUGAAAGAAAAAUAAGGGUCUUUGGGUAUUUAGUGGGUUGAUUCCCUUGGCCUUAUAGAAGUAUGGAUGUUGGUGGUGGGAUGUUGCCUUUUCUUUCUCAAUUGUUUUUAUUCUUAGCUGUAUCCCUCUUGCUGGUUCACAUGACUCAAGACCCUACCUCAAUUAUUUCCCUCCACUCUUUUCUUAUACAUUUUACUCUCACUUUUCUCUUGUUGACAGUCAACAAUGGCCGACAGUCUCGUCUCUGCAGUUUACAGCUGUUCUUUUCUUUUAUUUCCAAUUAAUUUCUAAAAUAUAAAAAAUGAUCAAAUCCAUGUGAUCUUUACUUAGGUCAUAAGAUCGUGUGAACGCACAUUAAAUUAAAGUUAUUCAAUUAAUUUUUGUCUUUUGCAUAAUGAGCAAUAUUAUAGUAGAAAAUAAAGGUUUAUUAUGUUGAUAUGUCAAGUAAAGCUAACAACUUUGGUAUUAUAAGCUUGAUUUUUGUAGAUAGAAAAAUAUGAGAAGUCAUAUGACAAAAGGCAAAGAAAAUUUUGAUCAUGAAAAGUAGAAAAAAGCACAAAACCUUCAUGAAAUUCUAAUUCUAAGGAAGAAAGACCAUGCUCAAAACUCGAAAUUUAAAUUCUCACAAUCUUUUCAUAUUUUGCAGAUAGGUUUAUUAUUAAUAGAAGCACAUAAAUAAAUAUUGUACUUAAAUCCCACUAAUUUAUAGGUCAUUAUGGUAUAUGUAGGUCAUCAUAGUAAUGAGUGGGAAGGUGGGUACCUUUAAAAAGAAUAAGCUAAACCAAUCACCCUAAAUUUCAAAAGCACCUUUAUCAUAAAAGUGUGGUAAUGAGAGUGGAUAUCUUUUAAAAGAAUAGACAACCCUGAAUUUCAAAAAAAUGUCUGUUUCUUGGCGAUUGUAUCCCAACAGUCUUAUCUUUUUUUACUUUAUAUCUUUUUAUUAUUAUUAUCGUGAGGAUGGUUAAAGAUGAUGCUAGAAGUUUUUCUAUGGUUUAAAAAGAAAAAAUGUGAGUGUUAAGUUGGCAUUUUUGUCUUUUUAGAAAAUACUUCAUUUUAAGAUCAUUAAUAGAAGAAAUAAAGAGUUCAUAAAAAAUAAAGAAAUUUUUAUUGACUGAUCUAGGUAACCAUUUCAUGGCUUUUAAUUGUAACUUUGUUGAAAAUCUUACUCCUUCCUCCUUGUCUUCCUCUUGUUAUUCAAAAGUUUCAACUCCUUUUUUUUUUAAAUAAUAAUAUUGAUUUUAUGUUUUAAUGAAAUAAGUUGCAAAUUUGAAGAAAACAUAUUCUAAUGUAUUUAUUGAUUAUGGUCCUCUUUUCAAAAGGGUUAUCGUUAUUUACAUUCUCGAACUAAUCAAGUUUACAUCUCUAAAUAUGUAAUCUUUGAUAAGUUUGAGUUUUCUUUUACUAACAAAACUUCUCCCGUAUCUUUCUUGUAGGAACAAAGUCAAAUGACCAUAUUUUGAGAUUCUUAUCAACAGUUACAACCAUUCAAUCCAAACACCAACUCAACCCACAACUUCACUUCCACCAAACAACCUUUCAAACUAUCGUAAUAAUGUAGAUCUUCUAUUUUAUUUUUUUUAACACAUCUCAUCUAAAAUUGUCUUCUUACAUCCUUUAACACCUUAUUAUGCACUUAUGGUUAUUUUUCUAAGCUAUUUUUCUAAAAUUGUCUUCUAUUCAUUGUGAUUAUGUUGAUUACUAAUUAUUUUAUUUUAUUUUAUGCAAGAGACAUUCUGAAGGGAUUAGAUGCAUUCCAAUAUUGAUUUUAAUGAUUUUUAAAUCUUAAUUUAGGACUUUAUUUUUUAUUGAUUUAUAACAUAUUUAAGUUUGUUUAAAAUUUUCAAACUUUAAUUUUUAUAAAAUAGAUUCAAGUUUUGAAUUAAUUAAUAAUUGAUUUCAUUCUCUUUAAAGUGUAGAAUAUGAUAAAAGGCGUGUAACAAAUUCAAACAAAUCAUUAUACAAGUGAGAAUUUAGGUCAUCCAAUCAUUUUAUUAAAAAUCACUCUAUAAAUUAUAAAAAUAAAGAUAUUAAUCACAUCUAUUAAUAUGUUUUUUUUUAAAUUGACAAAUCAUAAUGAAAUUAUAAUCUUUUUAAUAUUUUAUUAAUUAUAAAUUAAAACGUCAUUAUAAUUAUUCAAUCCCCACGGAAUAUAAAAUGAGUUAUUUUUAAUAAUAAUAACUAAUCAUAUUUGAAUAACAUUUCAUCAAUUAUAUAUAAAAAUAAAGUUUUAUGUUUAUCAUAACCUAUGUUUUAAAUUAAACAAAAUAAUAAAAGUUACAUUUCCAUUUAAAUGUAUUUACAUAUCUACCUCCAUAGCCCAUGGUAUUAAAAUAAUCUAAUAAAACACAGUAUCCCAUAACCGGUCAACAGCACAGCUGCUCCUAGCCUUAGCCCCUUGCAGCUGCAAUCAGCUGUUCCACUCUCUGUUACAGUCCAGCUUUGGCCGCCCAAGACAUACAUCUUUUCACCCAUCACCCAUUUACCCCUGCCACAGCUAUUUUUUACCUUUGAGCUGCCCAAAGUCACACCAAACUAGCUGAUAAACCAUACCUUACAACCUGCAAACCAUCUCCUCAGCCAUCCCUAAUAGCCCACUGCCAGCCCUUUGUAAGAGUCACACCAAAGCCAAAUUUUUUUUAUUAUUAUUUUUAAUCAACUCCAGCACAGCCUCGUCAGACCGCCGAGCCUCCUGAUCUCAUCUCCAAACACGUUCUGCAGCUGAAUCCUUUGCCUUUAUGAAGUUUGGAUGCUGGUGGUGGGAUGUGCUUUUCCUUUCUCAAUUAUUUCUGCUUAGCUGUAUCCCUCUAGCUUUGAACUUUCACUUUUGUCCCUUUUGGCAGUCAACAAUGGCCGACAGUCUUGCCUCUGCGAUUUACAGCUGAUCUUUUCUUUUAGGGAGAGUUGGGAUUACUGGCUGUUAUACGAGAAAUACAUGGUUUUCAAAACCAUAUAACUGAAAUAUGAUUUACCUGAGAAAAAUUGUGAGAGUUGAGUUGUCAUUUUCGCCAUUUUAUAAAAGACUUAAUUUUAAGACCGUUAGUACGUAGAAAUAGGGGUCUCUAAAAAGCCCGCGGCCCGCUUUAGGCCCGGCCCGGCCCGGCCCGACGGGCUAAAGCCCGGCCCAAGCCCGCCGGGCCCAAGCCCGGCCCGAGCCCAUUUAUGGGCGGGCCGGGCCGCGGGCCUAAAUUUAGGCCCGGCCGUUGGAGACCCUUGCGUAGAAAUAACAAGUUCACAAGAACGAAAGAGACCUUUGUUGACUGACCUAGGUAACCCCUUUCAUGGCUUUUUCACUUGUUUGUUUUUGGAUUUUCUUUAAUGAGGCUAGGUGAUUGUUGUUUAUUUUGACUUAUAUUUUAGAUGGAUUUCAUUUUUAAUAAGAGUUUUUCAUGGUAAAAAUUGAUGUGAUACAAAUUUUUAUUGAUAUUAAUAUCAUUUUAUCAUAAAUUAUUUAGAGUAUAGAUAUAAAUAAAAUAUCAAUACCAUAGGAAAUGUUAAAAUAAAGUUAGGUGCAUAUGCAAAAAAUAAAAUUUGAAAAAUAGAAUAGUCCAGUCCAACCAUAUCCACACAUCCAUCUUCCUAUAAAUUAAACUAAUGAUAGAUACAUAAGUCAAAAAUAAGAUUUGAAAAAGAGUAUAAUCCAAUUCAACUACCCACCUUCCAAUAAAUUAAACUCAAAAUGGGCACAUAUUCCAAAAAUAAAUUUUGAAAAAUAAAAUAGUCCAAACCAACUUUAUCAACAUGUCCAUCUUCCAAUAAAUUAAAUUGGAAAUGAGUCGGCAUGUGAUAAAAUAAAUGUCAAUUUCCAUUUUACUUAUAUUAAAUUCACUUAUAUAUUUAUAUCGAAAAUUAUCCUUUGAAUCUUUCUAGAAACAUUAGAUUUUAAGGAAAUCAUGCAAGUAUACUUUUCUUAUUAUCAAUUUAAAAUAUAAAAUCCUUCCAUAGUUAUUUAUUAAAGUUCUACAAAGAAAAUUAAGAAAAUAAGGAUUUGGUAGGUAAUUAUGUUUAAAAAUAAUUUUCUAUUUUUUAUAGUAGAAAACCAGGUUCUAACUUUUUUUUUUUUAAAAAAAAAAAACACAUUAGACAAAUUUCGACCAAGAAGAAUUUCUUCAAAAUUUGCUCUAGAUACAUGUUAUUUUAAAAACAUGAUUUUGACAUAUUUUCAAAUAUUGUUUGUAUAGUUUUUGAGCAAAAAAUGAAAAGAUGGAGAAUACUCCAAAAACUUUGCAAAUGAAAAUACUAUGUUUUAUAUUUAUGUUUUCAAAUACAAUUUUGCAAAUGAAAUAUUUGAGAAUGUUCUUAAAAAUUAUUUUUUAAGAAGUGCUUUUGAAAACUUGGCUAAACAUGACCUAAAUAUCCUAAACAUGAAAGAUACAAGAAUGCAAGAAAAACAUUUUCAAUAAUUUUAUUUUAUUUAUUAUAUUAAAGAGUAACAUUAAUGUUUCAUUAUGAAGUUAAAAUGUUUCAUUCAAUCAAAAUUUAUUCUGCUAGUUUUCAAGGAAAGCAUUAUUUAUCAAGAUGCUUGCCUUAGUUGUUUUGUAUUUUAUAUUUUUCUUUGAUUGGGAUUGGUGAGAAUUGUCCUAAAUAUAGAUUUUAUUUUGAAUAAUUUCUAAAUUAGACUUGUAAAAAAUAAGAAAAAGUAUCUAGUAAUUCAUUGUUACACAUGAAUGUUGCAACUUGGUAAAAUUUAUGAUAUUUAUCACUAGGAAAUUUUGCUUAUAGAUAUAAAUAAAAUGGUAACAUCUAUCACAAGGAAAGGUUGGGAAGGAAGCAAACAUAUUAAUAGGUGAAACAAGAAAAAGAAAAAUAAUAAUAAUAAAUGAUAAAAAAAGGUAAGGGAAUUCAGAGUCAUGAGUUGGUACUCUAUAUUAUUUAAAGUGAUUAUAAUUUAGGGUACAAAUUUCUUUAGAAAUAAAUAACGUAAAUAGAUUCUAAAAAAGAUUAUGUAAAAUUAUCAUUUCUUAAAAAAGAGAAGAAGGUAUUUUCUUUAUUUUUAAACAUUUAUUAAUUUUUAAUACUAAUACAAUAUUAAAUCUAAUGAGAAGACCUCCUUUAAUCUUCUCACUUUAUUCAUUGAAGUCUUUUUAAAUAAUUUGAGAAAGUAAUUUUAAAUCCAAUUACAUGGUGAAGAUCAAGGUAAUAGUUAGAAUAAAACUACAAAUAACAUGGUCAAGAUCAAGGUGGGUGUGUGUGUGACAAUCUUAUAUACUUUUUUGGAAGUAUGAAAAGAGUAAUGAAAUCAUGUACCUAAUAAAAAGUAAAGAAAACUUUAAUUCUACUGGAGGAAGCAAACACUAAACUUCCUUAAGAAAAUGGUAAUGUUGAAUUAAAUAACUUGCAUUGACGAACAUUAUGGUCCUUAUUCUAAAUUAUUUCAUUUCUUUUAUUGUGUCUCCAUUCAUUUAACAUGAUUUUUGAAAGUAUAAAAAGAGUAAUAUAAGUUACGUACCUAACAAAAUUAAAAAAAAGUACUUUAAUUUAAAUAGGGAAUGAGACAUGAAACUUCCUUGAAAAAAUGGCAAUGUUGAAAAGUUAAUAAAGUAGUUUAAAUUUUCAACUUGUUACAUUAGAUAACUUGCAUUAAAGGACAAUAUGUAUCUUAGAAAUAGAAAGUUUUGAAGUGAAACAUCUAAACAUGUAGGAACAUUAAACAAUGCCUUGGUCAAAAAAGGAAAACGCAUAGGAACAUAUAUCAAAUAAUAUCUUGGUCAAAAAGAAUAAUGCUUUAGUAAAAAAUGGAAAAUGCAUAGGAACAUUAAAUAAGACAAUAUCACAUAGGGUUUAGGUAAGACAAUUCUCUAAUCCCUUAUCCUUGUUGGCUCAUACACUUGUUGAACCUCUUUGAUACGAAAAUAAUCCAAAUGACUCAUAAAAUAUAGUGUUUAUAUGGAUGCUAUUAAGAUAUAAAUUAGGCUACAAUGAAAGUUAAUUAUAACUUUAAUGUUGGAGGGAAUAAGCAAUUUUUUGUGAGAAAGGGCAACACCUAGAAAGUCAAUAAGAUUAAUUAUCUUAAUAAUGGAAAAAAAGUUCAUUCUUAUGAAUCCUCAAAGUGAAUCAAAGAGACAAACUUCAAUUUUGAAGUGAACAUAAUUAUUAUUUUUUUGUUUCUUUGUUAAAUAAUUAGUAAUACUUAAUUUAUCGAUCGUGUAAGAAUCAAAGAAGAAUAGCUACUAUUCAUGCAAUGGGUCUCAUCUUAUUGUAACAAAACUUAUGAUUAUUUUUCUUCCAUGUAUUGGAAGUUACUAUAAAUUCAUUUCCCACUUGUUAUGUGACUUAGGUAUCAAAUAGAGCCCACUAGAUAAAAUUUCUCUCAAGGUAUUUCCACAUCAAAUUUCUUUAUUUUAAACAUGUUUAUGGAUGUAAGUUUGCAUUGAAUAAAUUUCAAGUAUUAAUGUAGACUAACAAUAUUUAAAUAAAAAUGAUAAUAUAUUUAAAUUUUUAAUAAAAAUUGAGUUGAAUUUUUCAACCAACAUUUGAUUUCCUUCCACUCACCUAAUGUUGGCAUUAAAAUGCAUUAAUAUAUAUAUAUAUAUAUAUAUAUAUAUAUAUAUAUAUAGAUAUAUAAAUAUAUAAUCAUUGUCUUGGGAACUUUUUCUUCGGUGCUUAUCCUCAAACCUUCUUAAAAAAAAUAAGAUUGAUUCUUGUUGUGCUCACCUAAUGCUUGCAUUAAAAUACUAUAAACUUUUUUUUUGUGAGCUUAUCCUUACACCUUAGAAAACAAGAUUGAUUCUCGUUGAUAAGAAGAUAAGAACAAAAACUUCUAAUAAAUUAUAUUUGGUAUAUUGGUAAUUUAAUGGGAAAAGACCUUAAAUUUUGUAAAUGUAAAAGGAUAAUAUAGUUGGACGACACAUUUAUACAAAUAUAUGAUUGGAUUUUAAUUUUGUAACUUAAUUAAUUAAGAAAAUAAAACCUUUGGGCUAUUUAAAUAUAAUUGGAUUUUAAUUUUUAGUUUGGGUUAAAGUUACAAAAGAAAAAAAAAUGACCCAAAUAAAUUAAUUGGGCAUUUAUAUUUAAACAAUUAGUCUUUAGAAUUAAUAUUUAAUUGGAUUGAAAAAAAAAAAAAAAAAGAUAAUAAAGGGAGUAGAAUGGUCUUUUCCCAUUAGAAACCUAGGUAUAAAUAUUCACCACCCUUCUUUACAAAAGUCUUUUGCAUAGAGAGAAAAUGUGGGGUUUGAAAUCAAUCUUUUAAAGCAAACAUAUAUAGAUUCAAUAUUUAGUUUCAUUUUUAAUGGUCAUAAAAAAAUAAAUAAUCUAGAAUCAUAUCAUGAUAAUUAUUAAAUAUGAUUAAUUUUUAUGAGAAAAUUAAAAAACACAUAAUUCUAAUUAAUUAUAUAGUCAAAUACCAUUAACCAUUCUUAGUUAAAAAUUUAAAGUCUUUUUCCAUUUGCAUUGGACAUUACUAUUAAUAGAUGCAUAUCCAUGAAUAUUGUACUUAGUAAUAUUUCUUUUAGAAUUAAAUCCCAUUAAGAUUAUAUUGCAUUGUGAUGUAUAUGAGUUGCACCUUCAAUUAUUUUUAUUUAACUUUGGUUCUCAGAAAAUAUUAAGGAAAAAAAAGAUAUUAAGGAAAAUAAUUCUUCAUGUUUGAUUGUCUUAUGAAAAAUUUCAAAAAAAAUAAAAUAAAAUAUAAUUAAAAUUAGUUUAGAACUUAUGUAUUUUCAAAUUAUUUAAUCUUUAUGUUGAUGAGUUAAAAUAAAUAAAAUGAGUUUGAAAUAACAAAUAAAAAUAAUUUAUCGACUUUAACCUUAUUUUUUAUUUUCCUUCAAUUUUUCAUUUCUUUUUUUUUUUUUCACUUUGUUUUCUUUCCUUUGUAUUUUCCCUCAGAUUUUUUUGGAAACCAAACAUAACCUUAAUGAUUAUGAGAUCAUAUUAGUUAAAAAGUGAAGUUUCUACCACUACAUAUAAUAAAUGCAUAUACAUGUAUAUUUUGAUCUUAGCCUAGACAAUAUUUAUAUAAAAAUGAAUAGAUCAUUAUAAAUGACAUUAAAAUUGAUUUCCUAUUGAGAAAUUACAAGUGUUCUAUACUUUUUAUAUAUAUAAAAAUUUCUUAAUCAAUAUUAUCAAAUAACUUUUUACAUUUUUCUAUUGAAAUAUAUAUUUUUUUGCAAAAAAAUUCCUAUUAUUAUAAUAAAUUUUUUUUUUUCAUAUUUUUCAAUUAAGAUAUACUCUUCAUAAGGACAUUCCUAUUAUUAUAAAAGAUAAAUUAUUUUUUAUAUGAAUAUUUUAUUUAAUCAAGAUAAACAUGGAAAGAAAUUGUUCUCACAUGUCUUAUAUUGAGAAAAAUUAUAUAUAAAUUGGAAAUAAUUUUAAAAUUAAUAAAAUCUAAAAGUUGUUUCACUAUUUUCUAAAAUUAAUUUCAAUUUUUUUUUUACUUUUUAAUUAGUGUAUGUUUAUGUAUGUAUGCAUGCAUGUAUAUAUGCAUACAUAUUAAAAAAUGUUGAUCAUUUAAGUGGCUCUAAACUAAUUAUUUAUUUGCAUGAAAAAAUUUAUUUAAAAUGAGUUGUUCAUCUUUUAUGAGAUAUAACAAAAGCCAUUUGCACUAGGUCAUAAUGGUAAUGAGUGGGAAGGUGGGUGCCUGCCUUUAAAAAGAAUAGAAGUGAACAACCACCCUAAAAUUCGAAAGUAUAACAUACAAAAGUACCUUGCAUUGAUGUACGCAUACACAUGAAACUUCCUUGAGAAAAUAGUAUUGUUGAAAUGUCAACAAAGUAGUCAUACACAUGAAACUUCCUUGAGAAAAUAGUAUUGUUGAAAUGUCAACAAAGUAGUUUAAAUCCUCAACAGGUUGUUACGUUAGUGUGUGUGUGUGUGUGUGUGUGUGAGAUAAAAGAUUUCAAAAGGAACAAUCCCUUGGUCAAAAAACAGAAAACAUAUAGAAACAUAUAUUGAGAAUAAUAUCUUAUUAAAAAAGAAUAAUGUCUUGGUGGGAAUGGGAAACGAGUAAGAACAUUGAAUAUGACAAUACCACAUAUGGUUAAGUAAGGCUAUUCUCUAAUCUUUUAUCCUUGUUGAACCUCUUUCAUUGAAAAAUAAUCCAAAUGACUCAUAAAAUAUAGUGUUUAUAUGGAUGGUAUUAAGAUAUAAAUUAGGCUACAAUGAAAGUUAAUUAUAACUUUAAUGUUGGAAGAAAUGAACAACUUCUUAUGAUAUAUAUAUAUAUAUAUAUAUAUAUAUAUAUAUAUAUAUAUAUAUAUAUAUAUAUGUGUGUGUGUGUGUGUGUGUGUGUGAGAUAAAAGAUUUCAAAAGGAACAAUCCCUUGGUCAAAAAACAGAAAACAUAUAGAAACAUAUAUUGAGAAUAAUAUCUUAUUAAAAAAGAAUAAUGUCUUGGUGGGAAUGGGAAACGAGUAAGAACAUUGAAUAUGACCAUACCACAUAUGGUUAAGUAAGGCUAUUCUCUAAUCUUUUAUCCUUGUUGAACCUCUUUCNNNNNNNNNNNNNNNNNNNNNNNNNNNNNNNNNNNNNNNNNNNNNNNNNNNNNNNNNNNNNNNNNNNNNNNNNNNNNNNNNNNNNNNNNNNNNNNNNNNNGAAAUAGAAAGUUUUGAAGUGAGACAUCUAAACAUGUAGGAACAUUACACAAUGCCUUGGUCAAAAAAGGAAAACGCAUAGGAACAUAUAUCAAAUAAUAUCUUGGUCAAAAAGAAUAAUGCUUUAGUAAAAAAUGGAAAAUGCAUAGGCACAUUAAAUAAGACAAUAUCACAUAGGGUUUAGGUAAGACAAUUCUCUAAUCCCUUAUCCUUGUUGGCUCAUACACUUGUUGAACCUCUUUCAUUGAAAAAUAAUCCAAAUGACUCAUAAAAUAUAGUGUUUAUAUGGAUGGUAUUAAGAUAUAAAUUAGGCUACAAUGAAAGUUAAUUAUAACUUUAAUGUUGGAAGAAAUGAACAACUUCUUAUGAUAUAUAUAUAUAUAUAUAUAUAUAUAUAUAUAUAUAUAUAUAUAUAUAUAUAUAUGUGUGUGUGUGUGUGUGUGUGUGUGAGAUAAAAGAUUUCAAAAGGAACAAUCCCUUGGUCAAAAAACAGAAAACAUAUAGAAACAUAUAUUGAGAAUAAUAUCUUAUUAAAAAAGAAUAAUGUCUUGGUGGGAAUGGGAAACGAGUAAGAACAUUGAAUAUGACAAUACCACAUAUGGUUAAGUAAGGCUAUUCUCUAAUCUUUUAUCCUUGUUGAACCUCUUUCAUUGAAAAAUAAUCCAAAUGACUCAUAAAAUAUAGUGUUUAUAUGGAUGGUAUUAAGAUAUAAAUUAGGCUACAAUGAAAGUUAAUUAUAACUUUAAUGUUGGAAGAAAUGAACAACUUCUUAUGAGAAAGGGCAACACCUAGAAAGUCAAUAAGAUUAAUUAUCUUAAUAAUAGAAAGAAAGUUCAUUCUUAUGAAAUUGAAUCAAAGAGAUAAAUUUCAAUUUUGAAGUAAACAUAAUUAUUUUUCUAUUUUUGUUAAAGAAUUAACAAAAUUUAUCAUGUAAGAAUCAAAGAAGAAUAGCUACUAUUCAUGCAACUGGUCUGAUCUUGUUGUAACAAAACUUAUGAUUAUUUUUCUUCUAUGUAUUGGAAGUUACCAUAAAUUAAUUUCCAACUGGUCAUGUGACUAUUGCAUCAAAUAGAGCCCACUAGAUAAAAUUUUUGUUGACGUAUUUCCACAUCAAAUUUCUUUAAUUUAAACAUGUUUAUGGAUGUAAGUUUGCAUUGAAUAAAUUUCAACCAUAGAUAUGCACUAACAAUAUUUAAAUAAAGAUGAUAAUGUAUUUAAAUUUUUAAUAAAAACUAAGUUGAAUUUUUCAACGAACAUUUGAUUUCCUUCUGCUCACCUAGUGUUAGCAUUAAAAUACAAAAAAAGCUCACCUAAUACUUGCAUUAAAAUACUAGAAACUUAUUCUUGUGAGCUUAUCCUUGCACCUUCUUAGAAAAAAAACAAGAUUGAUUCUUAUUGGUCAGAAGAUAAGAACAAAAACUUCUAAUAAAUUAUAUUUGAUAUAAACUCGUCAAUCAUCACAUAAAAAACAAUUUCUCCAGAGGGCGAUGACCCCAUCAACCCCCAUAAGCUAACCAAGCAGCUCGACCUUAACAUCCUAAGCAAAGCGCAACAAUACUGAUUCAAGCUUCACAAUCCAACACCAAUAAAGACAAGAACAAUUGACACUCAAAAAAAUUAUUUCUUUUAACUUUUUCCCUUUAAGUUGAAUUUGAUUUUAAAAUAGUGUUAUCUCAUUAAUUAUUUUACAAAAUAUAUAUAUGUUAUAUCUUAAAAUUGGUUAGUAAAUUAUAUUACAAUUAUCAAAGAUAUUGCCAUAUAUAAAAUACAACUUAAUAAAUCUUAAGCAUAACACAAAGCACAACAACAAGAUAUAUUAAUUUAAGUUACUAAGAGCUUAUUUAGUUGUGUGAUUUAAAAAUGGUUUUCUAUUUUAAAAAAUAAAAAAUUAUUUUAAAAAAUUUAUAACACUAUUUUAAUGUUGUUCUUUGGAAACAAUGUUUAAAGACAAAGUAACAUUGAGAACAAUUUUUAAAGAACAAGUAGGAGUUGUUUUUAUUAGUUUUUAAAAAACAAAAAAUAUAUAAACUCAUUUUACUAUGUUUUUUGAAACUUGUUUUUAAAUUAAAGAAUAAAAAAUAAUUUUUCAAAAUAAGUUUCAAAAAAUAUGACCAAACAAACCCUAAAUGGUCGGGGUUUAAUAUUAAAGAGAAAAAAAGUUAAUUUAAGAGUUUGCAUGCAGGUAGACAUCAGGCUGUAAAACUGGUUUACUAAGACACUCAUUUUAUUUAUAUAUUCUUCUAUGUGCAUGCAUUGACCAUGUGGUUAGGAUGUGUUGCACCAAAAUCUAAUUAUUAACUUGCAGUUCGAAAUCACAAACCAGCUGUAUGUAUUAGAAACAGACCAUAUUGGGUCAUGCACAUUCUCCGUCAUUUUCUAUUUCCUAGCAACAUAUAUGACCAAAUGAAAUUGUUAUAUCCUAAUUAUAUUUUUUAAUUAGGCGAUAAAUGAAUGGAUUCCUUUUAAAAAUAAUAAUUGAGAUAUUAGGGAUGAUUAAAAUAUUAUUAGAAGAAAACAACCACUAUCUUCCAGAUUAAUCACAGCUUAAUAAAUGUAAAUAAAUUAAUCUGACACUACAUUUUUCUUUAUUUGUUUUGGUUUCUUUACAAGAAUGUUUCUUUAUGUAUUCUUGUUGAAUCUAUAAAAUAUCAUCUAUAAACAUUCUUUUUGAAUGAUUAAGAAUCCGAUAUUUAAAUGAUUGUGUGGACCUUGCAUUUUUGCUCAAUGCGUUCCCACUCAAUGUUGAACUCUCUUUUUAUUUAUUUAAUGAAAAAUAUGAUUUUUUUUUUUAGAAAAGACUUGGAGUCGCCACUUAUUUUUGUUUUAUUUUUAAAAAUGGUAAACAAAAUAAGAAAGAAAACCCUAAGUGUGACUCCUUAUUUUGGAAAAAGUGGUAUGUGAAAAAUCAGAUCGGGCUCGGGGAUUAGGUUACUUAUCGGGAAGGUACAGUAAGGACCAUGACACCCCUCUAAGUCCCUAAAGUCGGGUCUCUAUUGAUAAAAGGAAGCUGACAUGGCAAUCAAUAAGGAAAUCAAUGGGUACUCAAAUCGAUCAUGCACAUAUGGAAAUUGGAAUUUUAGAAAUUGGAAAUUAAAUUCGAAAAUGGGAAAAUUGGAAUCUCAAAAAUUGGGAAUUGAAUUUGGAAAUCAGAAUUUUGAAGAAUUAUUUAAAGAUGAAAAUUUUAAAAGUAAGUAAAUAAAUAAAUAAAUAAAAUAAUAAUGAUUGGAUAAAUAAAUGCGAAAAUUGGAAUUUUGGAAAUCGGAAAUUAUAUUUGGAAUUUGGAAAAUCAGAGUUUUGGAAAUUGAGAAUUAAAUUUGGAAAUUGGAAUUUUGAAGAAUUAUUUAAAGAUAGAUUUUUUUAAAUAAAUAAAUAAAUAGAAUAAUAAUAAUAAUCGAAAUAAUAAUAAAAUAAAUGAACAUGAACAUUAAAAUUUUUUGAAAUAGAAAAUUAAAUUUGGAUGUCGGAAAUUUGAAAAAUUGUUUAAAAAAACGGAAUUUAGAAAAUAAAUAAAUUAAUUAAAAAAAAAGUAUUGUAGUGAAGGUCAUCAAACUCAAAGUCUUAUUCAUGACCCAAUUUCCCAUAUUUGAUUAAGAAUCCAUGCAACAUUACUAUGGGCCACCUGAGCCAAAAUGUCUACACGUUCCACUCUUACACCAUCCCAUUGCAGCUCUCACCACAACAGCCACAACAGUGGAAGUAAAAAUAAAAAAUAAAAAAUAAAAAAAUCACGCCACAUGAGUUGACCAUGAUGUCACCUCUUCCAACACAAGCAAUACACUUCCAAUUGGAACUCUGAAAGCAAUAGUCACUUCAGCACGACAGCGAGGUAGACUAGGGCAGUAGGUGUUGAAUGAGUGAUGAAUCCGAAAAGAAUGGGUUUGUAACAUAAAUGAUUAAUCUUACAACAUCACACAAGAGAUAUGAAUCCAUAUUUACGCACAUAUCCAAACAAAACCAUAUGAACAAUAGAUGAGACCAUGCCACAACAAACCAUUAUAAGAGUAAGAAAAGGAAAAAAGAGAGAGAAAAAAAAAGACAAACUUCAGCAUAAAAAAAAACAAAUCUAGAAGGUAGUGAAGUGAUGUAUGGAGAGUCACCGUGAUCAUACCGAAACAAACUCACAAACAACGCAAAAUAAUCACAUAAAAAAACAAAAGGGUAAUAGGAUGACCAAUAAUAAUCCAUGAACCUUAUCAGUCUUACCAGGUAAAGCUUUCUAUCCACUGGAGUUUUCUAGACUUUCUUUCCAACUUCCCUCCUCCUCUUUCCUGCUUCAGCCUAUCCCCGAAAAGCUUGCUCUGCCCAUUUUUCUACAACCAACCCAACAGCUAGCUUAGCCCCCAAAAAGAUGAAGACGCUCCCCCCUAUUUAUUCUCUCCCGUUCAGCUCAUUUCCCGCCCAGUUUUUCUCUCCAGAUUUUUUUUCCCCUAGUCCUCACAUGCUCCCUACUCCUUGCUCAACCAAUCUGUCACCAUCUCAACCACCACCAUGGCGAGGUAGUGGUGUCGUCCUCCAUGCGUCUCAUGCAUGCUAAUAUUUGAAAAAGUCGAUCCCCCUUCCUCCUACAACAAGCUGCUAGCUAUCCGGGUGGCUAGCAUGAAGGGUCUACAAAUAUGCCCCUCUUCAGUAGAGUUCACGAACGUAAAGAAAUAUGAACACUAGAGUGAAAAGAAAGUGUGAAUAGUGAGCGAAAUGAAGUGAACUUUACCGAAAAUGGGCAUAUUUGUAGACCCCUCAUGCUAGCCACCCGAAUAGUUGGUAGCUUGUUGUAGGGGGAGGGGAGACCGACUUCUUCAAAUAUUAGCAUGCAUGAGACGCAUGGAGGAGGGCACCACUACCUCGCCAUGGUGGUGGUUGAGAUAGUAACAGAUUGGCUGAGCAAGAAGCAAGUGAAGACUAGGGGGAAAAAAAAGAUCUGGAGAGAAAAAAUAGGUGGAAAAUGAGCUGAACGAGAGGGAAUAAACAGGGGAGAGCAUCUUCAUCUUUUUGGAGGGUGACCUAGCUAUCGGGUUGGUUGUAGAAAAACAGGCAGAGCAAGCUUUUCGGGAAUACGUCGAAGUAGGAAAGAGAAUGAAGAAAGUUGGAAAGAAAGUCCAAAAAACUCCAAUGGAAGGAGAGCUUUACCUGAUAAGACUGAUCAGGUUCAUAGAUUAUUACUGGUCAUCCUACUACCCUUUUGUUUUUUUACGUUAUUAUUUUGCAUUGUUUGUGAAUUUGUUUCGGUAUGAUCAUAGUGACUCUCCAUACAUCAUUUCCCUACCUUCUAGAUUUGUUUUUUUUUUGUGCUAAAGUUCGUCUUUUUUUUUUCUCUCUCUUUUUCUUUUUCUUACUCUUACAAUGGUUUGUUGUGGCAUGGUCUCAUCUAUUGUUCAUAUGGUUCUGUUUGGAUGUGUGUGUAAAUCUGGAUUCAUAUAUCUUGUGUGAUGUUGUAAGAUUAAUUGUUUAUGUUACAAAUCCAUUCUUUUUGAAUUCAUCACUCAUUUCACACCCGUUGCCUUGGUCUACCUUGCUGUCGUGUUGGAGUGGUUGUUGCUUUUAGAGCUCCAAUUGGAAGUGUAUUGCUUGCAUUGGAAGAGGUGACAUCAUGGUCAACUCAUGUGGCGUGUUUUAUUUUAUUUUAUUUUUACUUCCGUUGUUGUGGUUGUUGUGGUGAGAGCUGCAAUGGGAUGGUGUAAGAGUGGAAGGUGUAGACAUUUUGGCUCAGGUGGCCCAUAGUAAUGUUGCAUGGAUUCUUAAUCAAAUAUGGGAAAUUGGGCCAUGAAUAAGACUUUGAGUUUGAUGACCUCCACUCAUUCCACCACCAAACCUUUUUUUUUUAAUUAAUUUAUUUAUUUUUUAAAUUUCAUUUUUUUAAACAAUAUUUCAAAAUUCCGACAUCCAAAUAUAAUUUCCGAUUUAAAAAAAUUUCAAUGUUCACGUUCAUUUAUUUAAUUAUUAUUUCUGUUAUUAUUAUUAUUCUAUUUAUUUAUUUAUUUAUUUUUAAAAAAUUCAAUCCUUAAACAAUUAUUCAAAAUUCCGAUUUCCAAAUUUAAUUCUCAAUUUCCAAAACUCCGAUUUUCCAAAUUCCGAAUUUAAUUUCCGAUUUCCAAAAUUCCAAUUUUCGCAUUUAUUUAUCCAAUCAUUAUUAUUUUAGUUAUUAUUAUUAUUAUUAUUAUUUUAUUUAUUUACUUACUUACUUUUAAAAAUUCCAUCUUUAAAUAAUUCUUCAAAAUUCUGAUUUCCAAAUUCAAUUCCCAAUUUUCGAGAUUCCAAUUUUCCCAUUUCCGAAUUUAAUUUACAAUUUCUAAAAUUCCAAUUUUCGCAUUUAUUUAUUCAAUCAUUAUUAUUUUUCGUUAUUAUUAUUAGUUUAUUAUUUACUUAUUUAUUUUUAAAAUUCAAUCUUUAAAUAAUUCUUCCGAAAUUCCAAUUCUUAAAUUUAAUUCCCAAGACUCCAAUUUCCAAAUAAUUUUCGAGACUCUAAUUUUCAAAUAAAUUUCAAAAAUCUAGUUUUCACUCGAACAAUUUUAAUUCCAUUCCGGUUCUCAAAUAAUCUGUUGUUUUUCUUGAUUUUACAUAAGCAUGAAUGUAAUUUUUCACAAUUCCACAAUAAUGGAAUAUGUGAGACUAAUUCAUGCAAGAUAGAUUGGGUUUUGGUGGGGGGCCCAACAUUGGUGUUUUUUUCCUCUAAAAAUAAAUUUGAUUGAAUUGAAUUGUGAUAUCUGUUGAUUUCUCACUCUGUUUAGUGGCAUGUGUGACAUAGUCUGUUUUGUUAAUUGUGCACUAAACCCAUUUCUUGAUAGUGCAUUAUGACUCGUGGCCCAGGUGCGCAUCCGCUCCUAUUCUGGUCAUUCUCUAUGCAUGUUCUGAUUCCCAUAUGUGCAUGAUCAAUUUAAGUACCCGUUGAUUUCCUUAUUGAUUGCCACGUCAGCUUUCUUUUAUUAGUAGAGACCCGACUUUAGGGACUUAGAGGGGUGCUACGGUCCUUACUAUACCUUCUCGAUAAGUAACUUGACCCCCAAACCCAAUUCGGUUUUUCACAUACCACUUUUUCCAAAAUAAGGAGUCAUAGUUAGAGUUUUCUUUCUUAUUUUGUUUACCCUUUUUAAAAAUAAAACAAAAAUAAGUGGUGACUCCAAGUCUUUUCUAAAAAAAAAAAAAAUCAUAUUUUUCAUUAAAUAAAUAAAAAGCAAGUUCGCCAUUGAGUGGGAACGCAUUGAGCUAAAAUGCUGGGUCCAUAAAAUGGCGACUCCACUGAGGAUGAUUUAGAAGGUCAAACUUGAACUUAAGAUGAAGCAAAUGCGACAUUUGAUGGGUCGAUCAGUGGGUACCUAUCUUUUAAUUGCACAUUGAGAGUUCUUGAUAUCAUUGGAUGCAUGCUUGGAUAUUGUAUUCAUUUUGAGACAUUGAUAUGUUGGUUAUGAUGAUUGAUUUGUCUUGAUUGAGGAUUCCGAGAUAGCUAUUUUUUUUGUGCUUCAUUGCUAUAUUUGUUUGGGAUAUUGACAUACUGAUUGUAUCAAUUUCUUAUCUUGCCUUGCUUAGCAUAGUGACCCUGAUUCUUGCCAUGAUUGUUCUGCUCACUUCAUAUGCAUAGACUCACUAUUGUACACCAUUUGACUUGAUGUGUUGUUUUCUUUGGCUUGUGUAUUAUCCUGAUCGUCUUUGAGCAUGAUGCUUGUAUUAGUAUUCAUUUGAUCGUCAUAGCUUGUAUGUGUACAUGAGCAAUAUAUCAUGUACUCUGCCUGGUUGUAUGUCGCAUGACUGCACUCCUUUGCAUGUUGCUUGUUUGUGUGGGUAGCACAUCUAUCCCCUUAUCUCCAACGCUCUGGGUUUCGAUUAUUUCCUUUAUUUCGGUUUUCACUUUUGCAAGUGUGAGGCCUUGUGUGUGCUUGUACUUUGACCGAGGAAGAGGUUAGGAGUAGGGUCUAGCGACGGGCUAUAUCGAUGUUUGGGAGCAUUCUGGAGGUGACCGACACAUUGACGUCAAUUGGAGUCCGAUCAUUGAAGACCUGUAUAGCCUGGAGCUAGGUUUCAUGGAUAUUUGUGCGGCCAGUGUGUUUCCCUUUUUGAUUUAGCUUCAUAGAGUUUUCGGAUGCACCCACACCGCUCACUGCGCACUCUAGUUGACCAUUGAGUGUUGAGAGUUUUGAGAGGUUUCGCCAUAGAAAACCUCCUGAGAUAUCGAGGUAGUGCAUGUGUGGAGGUGAUGACCACCUUGCAUAGAAGCGCCCAUUCUUUUCGGAGGCGUGCAGAGGGUUGCGUACCGUCGGAGGGUACGAUCGCUUCUGUUAGGGAUCCUUUAAAGUCCACCCCUCUUCUUUUCAGAGCCACCUUGACCUUGUAGGUCGAGCCUUAGAUAUUUCAAUCAGGAAUUUCUUCCCUAACACGUGGGUGCAUCUGUGGGCCUUCAAAGUUACUUCAGUAGUGAUAGGUUUAGUUACCUUCGUAGUGGUCUCUUAUACAUCUGCUCAGGAUUGGAUAUCACUUUGAUUGCUUACGAGUUACCUUUCGACAUAUUUGAUAGACUUUCUUUGUGGAGAUUUUCCUAACCUUGUAUCUUAUCUAGUAUUUCCAAUAUUGUAGGAGCAUUGAUACAUAGGGUUUGGGUUCGACUUCUUGGAUCCAGGUUAGGGGUAGAUUGAUCAGAGUAUCAGACCCGUUAGACCAGAAAUCAGAUCAUAGAAAUAUGGACUCACAGAUGGUUACCGUUGGCAGCAGGCCUAGGAGGUUUCGCCUCAGGAUGGCGCACAGUAUGACCCUACAGUGCCGUCAUCCCCUCCACCUAAUCAGUCAGCACCACUAGCCAUACCUUUCACUCUGCAUAGUCAGACCGAGGUUGUCCCGACUCCUAUCAUCGUGCCUACCCCAACCUCAGAGGACCCACAUGCUUGUAUGGAUAGGCUCGAUAAGAAGUUGAGACAAUUGAGGAGUUCAGACAGACCUGUUACUUGGGACGAUUUUGAUGGACUACCAGUGGCCAGUUUGCCGGCCAAGUUCAGGAUGCCAGAGAUUGAGCGAUACACGGGCAUUGGCUGUCCUUGCAUCCAUUUGAGGCUUUAUAGUACUAUCAUGAGGGCCCAUGGACUAGAUGAGGUUCAGAUGAUUAUGUUUUUCCCCAUGUGCUUGAACGGUGUGGCGUAGUGAUGGUUUGCUUUAUUGGAUACAUCCCAAAGUCGGACUUGGGAUGAUUUGGCCUAGGAGUUUUUGAGACAAUUCACAUUUAAUACUGUCAUUGACGUCUCGAGGAGAGAGUUAGAGGCAUUGAGACAGAGGCCAGAGGAGUCGAUCACCUCAUUUAUCUCCCGUUGGAGGGAGAAGAUUUCAUAGGUUAUUAAUAGACCAUCGGAGAAGGAUCAUAUUAGCAUGAUUAUGAGAAGCUUGCAACCUCGAUUUGCUAGACACUUGAUGGGAUUUCCUCAUAGAGAUUUUGGAUCUUUGGUACAGGCCUUGUAUGGUAUAGAGGAGGGCAUAGCCAGAGGAUUAUGGUCUGAGUCUUCUCUUUCUAAUUCGAAGGGGAAGAAACCUUUAAGAUGAUAGAGGCUAGUUGAUGUGAGCGCCCCUAGUUCUACCAGCCAGAGGCCUCCUAUGCGUCAUUAGUCAGUGCCACAGCUUCCUGAGACUCAUCCUUCAUAUCCACCUCAACAGUACAGGCCACGAGCGCCUCGUCCGACUUUUGAUCAUGCUUACAUGCCUCAGACACUAGUUUUGCCUUACUAUGCCACUCAGGGCAUCGAGAGACCACCUGUUUCAUAUACAGCCACAGGAUAGCCAUGCUAUGCGGCGUAGUUUACCGCAAGACCUACAUCUUCUUAUCCCAGGCUUAGAGCUCAACAGACUUCUGUUCCUUUUGUUUUGAGGACGCAGAUAUAGUUCUCGCAGUUAAGCAUGCCGUUGAGCCAGGCUAUUCGGAAACCUAUAGAGGUUGGGUUGUUGAUUGCUCUCACUCUUAGGCCACCACCUCAGCCUCUUCCUUCUCGGUUCAGGAUGGAUUUGCACUAUGCAUACCAUCAAGGACCUAGACAUGAGACUGACCGUUGUACCGCUCUGAGACAUGCCAUCCAAGAUCUGAUCGACCAGGGUUUGGUUCACUUAGAUUAGCCGAGUGUAACCACAAACCCACUAUCGACCCACACCACACAUGCGGUUCCCCCACCAACCAAUAACAUUCAUUUUCUGGAUUUUGCUGGGUUUGACGACCAUAUCCAUAUGUUGAGCCGGGAUGACACAGAGCGAGAGCCCAUAGUGUCAGAUGGGAUUUAUGAGAUGAGUGGGGUGACUUUGGGACCUUAGAUACCCGCUCCAUUCAGAUUCGUCCCUAAGGCGGUAUCGGUACAAACGACCACUAUCGAGCGAUUGACUUUCUCACAUUAUAGUGUUCAGACGCAUUUUGUUUUGAUUCCAGAUGUUGAUGGGGUUCAGACUUCUUAUGUUGAUGUUUAUCAGACUCCAUAUGUCGAUGAUGUUCAUACUUUAGAUGUGCAGUAUGUUAUCCACGGAGGUAGGGUAGUACGGCAGCAGCCCCCCGCUGCCGCUAGACCCUUGAAGGGAACGUCAUCCCAAGAGGAGGUCGAGAGGGAGGAUGAUCAGAUUCUGAUGCAGUUACAAAGCACUCAUGCUUGUAUUUCCAUCUAGAGCUUGUUAGCAUCUUCUAGUAAUCACCGAGAUGCUUUGAUUUGAGCCUUGAGCCAGAUCAGAGUUGAAACUACCACCACUCCGGAGGGAUUGAUUCAUAUGGUGAUGGCUGGCAGAGCCGCAUGCAUAGUAUUCUCUGAUGACGGCUUGCAACCAGAGAGUGCGAACCAUACAUGUCCAUUUUAUAUAUCAGUUGGUUGUUUAGGCUAUCGAGUCUCAUUUGUCAUUUUGGAUAACGACUCGGCCCUGAACGUUUGCCCUCUGGCCACUGCCAUCGCCCUUGGUUAUGCGUCCUCUGACUUUGGUCCCUUCACUCAGAUAGUUCGAGCAUACGAUAACACUCAAAGGGAGGUCAUGGGCACUCUAGAGAUUGAGUUGCUGAUAAGUCCGAUCACAUUUGUUACUUUGUUCCAGGUUUUGAAGAUUCCUACAUCAUUUAACCUGCUAUUGGGUCGACCUUGGAUUCACAAAGUCGGGGUCAUUCCUUCUUCCCUUUAUCAAAAGGUGAAGUUCAUUUGCGAUGGUCAGGUCAUCACAGUGCGGUCUAUAGGAGAUAUGUUUAUUUCUACUCAGCCGGUGCUUCAGAUUAGUCACAAUGAUGAUGACUUACUUCUGAGUGGAUUCACAUUCGACGAGGUGCAAACCCUAAAGAUGGAGAAUUUUUUCCGAGACUUCGUAGCUAUGUCGUUUGACUAGCAUGGUAGCACGGUGGUGCUCGAUAUGAUGAGGAGUAUGUCUUAUCUUCCCGGUAUGGGAUUGGGGCGACGUCAGCACGGGCCUAGUGAGUUCAUGGCUAUCCCCGAUCACGAUGUACCGUUCGAACUCGGGUUCAUCCCCACUGAGGCUAAUUAUCGAUAUAUGGCGCAACUGCGCAAGGAGAUGGGUGAGAGCCCAACUGACUCACACGCCUUUUGAUUAUCCUGUUCGCUCAUACACCAUGAGCUUAACAGAAUACUUUGUGAAGGCGUCAGUGCCGCAGAUGCCUUCAAAUGGGAUAAUUGGGGGACUCGAAACUACUCAAGAGGCCAAGCUUCAGCGCCUCGUCUAUCAGCUACAGUUGAGUGAUGGAGUUCCUGGCACUUCGAUAUCUGUGUUGGCUGCCCUAUCAUCUCCAGAUCGUAUGAGCCUUAUGACGCUUUAUUUCCCGGAUGAGAUCAACGAGCAUGAGACAUUUGCUCGAGAUUGGAAACAUAGUGGACAGAGCCAUUCCACAUAAAGAGUACGUCGAUGAGAUGCUCGCGAUGAGCUUAAGCCAGAUCAAGGAGAUAGUUCAGCCUGGGCUCCCUUCACCAUUUGAUCUUUUCGGGGUGUCCGUCAUCCAGAUUGCUGAGGAGAUCCCGACUGCUUCUACUCCGGAGUUUACUGAGGGUGCCAUAGCUGUUAAUGACUUGUUUGAUGGCCCUGUUGGCCUAGUUGAGGGAGCGUCCGACUUUGUGGACCCACUUAUUUCAUUUGAUGUUUUAUCGGGAUUUGUUUCCCUUCAUGAUGAUGUUCUUGGCUCUUCAUUUAUGGAUUUGAGUAUUUUUGAGUAUUUGCCUGCCUCUUGUGAUAUUGCUUUAUCUACACCAUCUUCACCCACAUCACAGAUAUUUGACAUUGAUGAUGAGAUUGUACAACAUGAUUCAAAUGAUGACUCAUCAUCCGCUUCUGAUUCGAACCCCAUUGAUUAGAGAGUUUCACCUACUAUAGGGGAUGCUGAGAUUGUUGAUUUCAGCACAACAGAUCAACUUAGGGAGUUGAGGAUCAGAUCGGAUUUAUCUACUGAUAAGAGGGAUAACCUCAUCCAAUUGCUCAAAUCAUACUUGGACAUUUUCGCAUGGUCUUAUGAGGACAUGCCGAGUCUUGAUCCAUCUAUCGUCCAACAUCAUUUGCCACUUCUACCCUAUGCCAGACCGGUUAAGUAGAAAUUGAGACAGUUGCACCCUCGUUGGAGUUUGCAAGUGAAGGAGGAGAUCCAAAAGCAGCUCAGUGUGAGAUUUUUUUCAAUGGUCGAGUACCCGGAAUGACUCACCAAUGUCGUCAUUGUUCUAAAAAAGGACGACAAGGUGAGAGUCUGUGUUGAUUUUCGAGAUCUCAACAAGGCCAGUUCUAAGGAUGAUUUUCCUCUCCCACACAUCGACAUGCUAGUUGACAAUACAACAGGUCAUUCGAUGUUGUUCUUCAUGGAAGGAUUUUCCGGGUAUAGUUAGAUCUUGAUGGCUCUAGAGAACAUGAAGAAGACGUCAUUCAUUAUCGAGUAGGGUACUUAUUGCUAUAGAGUCAUGCCAUUCGAGUUGAAGAAUGCAGGAGCCACUUAUCAGAGAACAACAACCACACUCUUCCAUAACAUGAUGCAUUGAGAUGUCGAGGUUUAUGUAGACGACAUGAUAGUGAAAUCCCGAGAUAGAUCAGAUCACCUAACAACUCUGGAGAGGUUCUUUGAGAGGAUCAAGCGGUUUAGAUUGAGAUUGAAUCCUAGGAAGUGCAUUUUUGAAGUGACUUCUGGGAAGCUCCUAGGAUAUAUGGUCAGUGAGAGAGGCAUAGAGGUAGAUCUGGAUAAGAUUAGAGCCAUCUUUGACAUGCCUGCACCGAGAACAAAGAGAGAGGUCAAAGGCUUCUUGGGUAGACUUCAGUACAUCAGCAGAUUCAUCGCCAGAUUGAUAAACAUCUGUGAGCAGCCCAAUUUUCUACUCUUGAGGAAGAGUCAACCUACUGUUUGAGAUGAUUAGUGUCAGCAUGCAUUUGAGAGGAUCAGAGAGUACUUGUUGUCACCUCUAGUAUUGGCGCCUCCUACACCAGGCCAUCUUUUACUCCUAUACCUAUCAGUCUCAGACGUAGCAUUGGGAUGCAUGUUGGCUCAAGUCGAUGAUUCAAGCAAGGACCGAGCCAUUUAUUAUCUAAGUAAAAGAAUGUUAGAUUACGAGACGAGAUAUGUCAUGAUUGAGCGCUAUUAUUUGGCAUUGGUUUAGGCCACUCGUCGACUGAGACAUUAUGUGACCGAGUAUUCAGUGCACUUGAUAUCCCAUCUAGAUCCUCUUAGAUACUUGUUUGACAUACCUGCCUUGGUUGGUCGCCUCAUGAGAUGGUUGGUACUUCUGACUGAGUUUGACAUCCAUUAUGUCACUUAGAAGUCCAUCAGAGGGAGCAUUAUCGCAGAUCACCUAGCCUCAUUACCAGUUUCUGAUGGUAGGACUAUUGAUGAUGAUUUUCCAGAUGAGGAUGUUGCUACUGUGCUUAGUCUGUCAGGUUGGCGCAUGUACUUUGAUGGUGCAGCCAACCAUUCCAAAUAUGGGAUAGGAGUUUUGUUAAUAUUCUCUCAUGGUGACCACAUUCCUAGAUCUAUUCGUUUGGCAUUCUCGAAUUGACACCCAGCCACGAACAACAUUGUUGAGUAUGAGGCUUGUAUCUUGGGAUUAGAGAUGAUCCUUAAGUUUGGGAUUAGAUAGAUGGAGGUGUUUGGUGACUCCAAUAUGGUAUUAAGAUAGAUUCAAGGUGAGUGUAAGACUAGAGAUGUGAAGCUUAGGUCUUACCACGCAUAUUUGGAGCUACUGGUUGGGAGAUUUGAUGAUUUAAGAUACACACAUCUACCUAGAGCGCAGAACCAGUUUGUUGAUGCCUUAGCUACUUUGGUUUCCAUGAUUGAUAUUCUUGUCGAUGCCAUUGUUUGCCCUUUACUGAUCAAGUCGAGAUCUGCUCAUGCCUACUAUUACCUAAUUGAUGAUGUAGAGCCAGAUGAUGGUUUGCCCUGGUACCAUGACAUAUAUCACUUUCUGAGACUUGGCGUAUAUCCUAAGGCCGCCAUGACCAAGGCUAAGAAGGCAUUUGAGAUAGUUGGCUGCCCGAUUUGUGAUUUGUGGCAAGACACUAUACAGACGAUCAGUUGAUGGGAUGUUGCUAUUAUGCUUAGACCACGCCUUUACUGAUCUAGUGAUGAGAGAGGUUCAUGCAGGAAUCUGCAGACCACAUAUGGAAGGGCAUAUGCUAGCUCGUAAGAUCAUGAGGACUGGCUAUUUCUGGUUGACCAUGGAAACAGACUGUUGCCAGUUUGUUCAGAGAUGUCCUGAGUGCCAGAUACACGGUGACCUCAUUCACGUGCUUCUUCAGAAUUACAUGCGUUGACUUCGCCGUGGCCAUUUUUAGUAUGGGGUAUAGACAUUAUUGGGAAGAUUUUACCGAAGUCUUUCAGUGGGCAUGAGUUCAUCUUGGUCGCCAUCUAUUACUUCACCAAGUGGGUGGAGGUUGCUUCGUAUGCAAGAUUGACGUCAUUUGAAGUUGCUAGUUUCAUCAGAUCACACAUUAUUUGUCGCUAUGGAGUCUCUCAUGAGUUGAUUUCCGAUAAAGAGGUACAUUUCACAGCAGAGGUUGACACCUUAGUGCAGCGAUAUGGCAUCCGACAUCUUAGGUCAUUUGCGUACAGGCCGUAGACGAAUGGAGCAGUAGAGGUCGCCAAUAAGAAUAUUAAGAGGAUCUUACGAAGAAUGGUUGGGACUUCUCGGGAUUGGUCAGAGAAAUUCCCUUUCGCAUUGUGGGCUUAUCGAAUUUCUUUUCGCACCUCCAUAGGAGCCACACCCUACUCUUUGCUGUAUGGUAUGGAGAUAGUGCUACCAGUUGAGAUUGAGAUGGGUUCAUUGAGGAUAGCAUUAGAGCGGCAGAUUCCAGAGGCAGAUUGGGCUCAGGCCCGAUUAGAUCAACUCAAUCUCCUAGAUGAUAGGAGAUUGAGGGCAGCAGACCAUGUUCGCUCAUAUCAUUAGAGGAAGAUGACCCGUGCUUUCAAAAAGCGGGUCAAGGCUUAACCACUAUGGAUAGGUGACUUGGUUCUGAAUGUCAUCAAGGGAUUGAUAAGAGAUCCUAGAGGGAAGUUCAAACCCAAUUGGAGCGGACCUUACUUCAUCAAGGAGUUAACCCUAGAGAACGCUACAUGGUUGAUGGAUCUAGAUGGAAACCGAUUCUCGGAGCCGAUCAACGUAGAUUAGCUAACGAGGUACUAUGUUUGAGACCAUGGUCAUAGGAUGGGUGGUCAUCAUUUCAGUUAGCCAUAUACCUUGUUAUUCCCCUUUGAUACAUAGACUGUUGCUAGCCCAUUGAGCCUCGUGUGUGCAUUAUAGCAUUUCUAUCUUAUUACCUUGCUCACAUUGUUACACCAGGAUUGGGGCCCUUUAGUGUGUGCAUGCGUUGUUUGGGAGCCUGAUAAGUCUUGGACCUACAAGUGCGUCUUUCUCUCAUUAUUUUUUCCUACCAUCACUCUAAUGCAUAUCAUCACAUCUCGUUGGCCAGGUUCUUCAUUCAUUCUCCUUUAUUAUAUCUACUGCUUGUUUUGCUUCAUAUUCUCUUCACCCUGAGUGGUAAUCCUCCUCAGUUCAUUGCAUGAAGGAUAGUCACAUCAUUUCCACCAUCUAUCCCACGGACACUGAUUCUGAGAUCCUUAGUUUGAGAAGGUUAUCUCGUCAGAGAUAGUUUUUGAGAGUGUGUCUAUCCAUUGUAGAUGUCAUAUUUGGGGAUCAUUUGUUUAUGAUUCAGGGUAUAUGCAUUUGUAUAUAUGUAAAAAAAAAAAAAAAAUGAAAAUGUAAAACAAAAGAAAAAAAUGAAAAUGAAAAGAAAAGAAAAAUAAGCAUGUGUGUAUGUGCAUAGUAUUCUCCAUCAUUGGGCAUGUAUAUUGAUGUUUGAGGGUUACUUCAUUAAGUAUGUUUGUUGAUGAGAGCUCGUAUGUGAGCUUUCCGAGACCGUUCAUUAUUUGUAUUCAGGUUUCAUGUAUUUUGAGAGUGAGAUGAGUGACUUUCUCUUAGGAGCUUUGUAUCAUUGUCCUUUCCAUCAUUACAUUCAUUGUUGAUGUGACUUCACCUCAUGUUGGAUUUGAGCGGAUCAUCAUUCCUCUUUGUGUUCUUCGCUUCACCAUCAUCCUCGUUUUUGCUUUUGAUUCAUCAUCAUCAUCUCACCCCUUGUCAUUUUCUUACAACGACUCUUUUAUUCCCAGUUUGACACUUCCUCCACAUCAUCCUUACACAUCUCAUUAUCAGAUCAAUUUUUUUUCAUUGCCUCGUUAUUGACAUCAUAUUCACAUUAGGCACCCUCAGGUCCGUGACUCACGAGAUUUUCUAUACAUGUGGCAUUUCAUACAUGAGGGCAUGGGUUUCUGUUCAUUUGGUAUUUUGGCCUAGUUUCCCUUCAUUUUUAUCACCCUAUCAUCCCAGUCUACGUUACGUCCCGUGUCUUAAGACCACCCUAAGGCCAUGAGAUCAGAUGUCAUCUUUGACAACCUAUAAUUGGACUGGUGUUUGAGAUCUGAUUGACAUUUAGAUAUUGUCAUGCUUCCUCUUCUGGGAGAUGUCUUUCUGAUGAUUAGAUUUGUUUCAAUUAUGUUUGGAUUACCAGGAUUACAUGUUCGAUGAUAGAUGAUUCCAUGUCACCUAAUUUUAUGAUCUAUCACAUAUUUGGUGUCAUACUAGGGCAUAUUCCGUUUCGGGCGAGAUUUACAAAUCUUCACGGAGUUGCAUGCUUAUCCCCACUUGCGAGAUAUACGCCGAAAUGAUUGACUGGUUCGCUAUUUUAUGAUGAUCCAUUAGUGGAGCCUCUGUGGAGCCGUUCAGCCAGCCCCAUAUUUCUCGGUAUUUGGUUAUUAUCAUGCUUCUUAUUCCGAGAGGCGUUCCCUAGAUGUUUGGAUUUGAUUUGGAUCACGGAGAUCACAUGCUCGAUGAUAUAUGAUUCCAUGUCACUUGAUUUUCUGAUUUAUCACAUAUUCGAUGUCAUACUGGGGCAUAUUCCGUUUCGGGAGAGAUUUAUAGAUCUUCAUGGAGUUGCAUGCUUAUCCCCACUUGCGAGAUGUACGUCGAGAUGAUUGACUGGUUCGCUAUUUUAUGAUGAUCCCUCAGUGGAGCCUCUGUGGAGCCCUUCGGUCAGGUCCACAUUUCUCGGUAUUUGGUUACUAUCAUGCUUCUUAUUCCGAGAGAUGUUCCUUAGAUGUUUGGAUUUGAUUUGGAUCACGAAGAUCACAUGCUCGAUGAUAGAUGAUUCCAUGUCACCUGAUUUUUUGAUCUAUCACAUAUUCGGUGUCAUACUGGGGCAUAUUCCAUUUCGGGCGAGAUGUACGCCGAGAUGAUUGACUGGUUCGCUAUUUUAUGAUGAUCCCUCAGUGGAGCCUCUAUGGAGUUGUUAAGCCAGACCCAUAUUUCCCGGCAUUUGGUUACUGUCAUGCUUCUUAUUCCGAGAUACGCUCCCUAGAUGUUUGGAUUUGAUUUGGAUCAUGAAGAUCACAUGCUUGAUGAUAGAUGAUUCCAUGUCACCUAAUUUUCUGAUCUAUCACAUAUUCGGUGUCAUACUAGGGCAUAUUCCAUUUUGGGUGAGAUUUGCAGAUCUUCAUGAAGUUGCAUACUUAUCCCCACUUGCGAGAUGUACAUUGAGAUGAUUGACUGGUUCGCUGUUUUAUGAUGAUCCCUCAGUGGAGCCUUUGUGGAGCCGUUCAGCCAAACCCACAUUUCUCAGUAUUUGGUUACUAUCAUGCUUCUUAUUCCGAGAGACGUUCCCUAGAUGUUUGGAUUUGAAUUGGAUCACGGAGAUCACAUGCUCGAUGAUAGAUGAUUCCAUGUCACCUGAUUUUUUGAUCUAUCACAUAUUUGGUGUCAUACUGAGGCAUAUUCCCUUUCGGGAGAGAUUUAUAGAUUUUCAUGGAGUUGCAUGCUUAUCCCCACUUGCGAGAUGUACGCCGAGAUGAUUGACUGGUUCGCUAUUUUAUGAUGAUCCCUCAAUGGAGCCUCUGUGGAUCCGUUCAGCCAGGCCCACAUUUCUCGGCAUUUGGUUACUAUCAUGCUUCUUAUUCCGAGAGACUUUCCCUAGAUGUUUGGAUUUGAUUUGGAUCACGGAGAUCACAUGCUCGAUGAUAGAUGAUUCCAUGUCACCUAAUUUUCUAAUCUAUCACAUAUUUGGUGUCAUACUGGGGCAUAUUCCAUUUCGGGCGAGAUUUACAGAUCUUCACGGAGUUGCAUGCUUAUCCCCAUUUGUGAGAUGUACGCCGAGAUGAAUGACUGGUUCGCUAUUUUAUGAUGAUCCCUUAGUGGAACCUCUGUGGAGCCGUUUAGCCAGGCCCACAUUUCUCGGUAUUUGGUUACUGUCAUGCUUUUUAUUCCGAGAGACGUUCCCUAGAUGUUUAGAUUUGAUUUGGAUCAUGGAGAUCACAUGCUCGAUGAUAGAUGAUUCCAUGUCACCUGAUUUUCUUAUCUAUCACAUAUUCGAUGUCAUACUGGAGCAUAUUUCCAUUUCAGAUGAGGUUUACCAAUCUUCAUGGAGUUACAUGAUCAUCUCCACUUACGAAGUAUGAGCUGAGACGAUGACGUGUUCGUUACCUUAUCAUGAUCUCUCAGUAGAGCCUCUUUGGAGCCAUUCAGCUCGACCCACAUUUUUGGCAUUUGGUUGUCGCCAAGCUUAUUAUUCCGGAGACGUUUCAUAGAUGUUUGGGGUUUGAUUUGGGUCAUGGAGAUCGCACAUUUGAUGAUGGAUGAUUUCAUGUCACCCAAUUUUCGACUUAUCGUACAUCUAACGACAUACUGGGGCAUAUUUCCGUUUUGAUCGAGAUUUACAAAUCUCCAUGGAGUUGCAUGCUUAUCUCCACUUACGAGGUACACACCGAGAUGAUGACCUAUUUGUUAUCUUAUCAUGAUCCCUUAGUGGAGCCUCUCUGGAGCCAUCCAAUCAGAUUCAUAUUUUUUCGGCGUUUGGGUUGUUGUCAUGUUUCUCCUUCUGGGUUAUGGAUUUGGAUGACGAGGUUCGUGCUCCUGAUGAUAGAUGACUUGAGGCCAUUUGAUUUUUCCAACCUAUCACACAUUUGAUUCCAUACUGGGGCAUUUUUCCCCUUUCGAUCAAGAUUUGUAGAUCCCCACGAGUUUGCAUGAUCAUCCCCAUUUAUGAGAUACACAUCAGGUUGAUGAUUCGAUUUCAUUUUGUCUUGAUUCUUUCGUGGAGCAUUUUUCUUGAGUCAUUUCGUCAGGCUCACACUUUCUGAUUUUGUUGUGAUUUUUGGAUAGAGUCAUCUCAGGUGCAUAGGAUCCCAUAUCAUCAUUUCAGUGGGACACAUGUCAGAUCUUUUAUAUAUUCCCAUGGAGUUAUUCUCGGGUUAUCAUGAUAGACCGAGUACAUCUGACGCCAUAUUGGGGCAUAUUUCCUUCCUCCAGCUGUAGAGUUUCGAUGAUUUUUGCUAAGAUGAGCCACCAGAGGAACACGACUUCCGGGUUUUGACUGCCCUACUAUCCAUGACUUUUCAGUGGAUUGAGAUCGUAGUAGUUACCCUAGCAGACUAUUCUUUUGUGACCCCCUAGUGGAUCAUUUUUUCGGUAUGAUGAUGGAUUCUUCCAAUAAAACAUUUUGAGUUAGAGAAGUUCUACUUAUUGCGACACUUCAUCAGAUCUCGCGAUUUAGUCAGAUGGGUUGUGAGACUAAGUUCACAGUCGAUUUAAUCAUUUCGACUCGCUAGCAGAGCAUCCUUCAAGACUCAUGAAGUCUUUUUUGUCAUUUCCAUGGACUGAAAUCUGUAGUAGCAUGCUACAUUGGGGCAUAUUCCCCCCUCAUCAUCUCUAUUCAUCUUCAGUCUCGGCGUUCAGAGCCACCGUUUCUUCACAAUUUGGCGUUCAGAGCUAUAUCUUCAGUUUGGUGUUCCAGGUCACGCAUUCUUUUUAGCGUUCAGAGCCAUCAUCAUGUUCACAGUUUGGCGUUUAGAGUCACUAUCUCUUCUUAGUUUUGGUGUUCAGAGUCGCAUCUUCAUUUUGGCAUUUAGAGCCGUUAUUUCUGUUCAGCAUUCAUAGUUACUAUUUUUAGUUUGGUGUUCAGAGCCACCGUUUCUUCGUAUUUUGGCGUUUAGAGCCAUAUCUUCAGUUUGGCGUUCAAAGUCACACUUUCAUUUUGACGUUCAAAGCCAUCGUCAUCUUCUCAAUUUGGGUGUUCAGAGCCACCAUCUCUUCUUAGUUUGGGUGUUCAGAGCCACCAUCUUUUCUCAGUUUGGGUGUUCAGAGCCACCAUCUUUUCUCAGUUUGGGUGUUCAGAGCCACCAUCUUUUCUCAGUUUGGGUGUUCAGAGCCACCAUCUUUUCUCAAUUUCGGCGUUCAAAGCCACCAUCUUCUCAGUUUUGACAUUCAGAGCCACCAUCUUCUUAGUUUAGGCGUUCAAAGCCAUCAUCUUCUCAGUUUGAGCGUUCAGAGCUACCAUUUUCUCAGUUUUGACGUUCAAAGCCACCAUAUCUUCUCAGUUUCGGAAUUUUAAAGCCACCAUCUUCUCAGUUUCGGCGUUCAAAGCCAUCAUCUUCUCAAUUUGGGCGUUCAGAGCCACCAUUUCUUCUAAGUUUCGGCGUUUAGAGCCACCAUAUUCUCAGUUUCGGCGUUCAGAGCCACCAUCUUCUCAGUUUGGGCAUUCAAAGCCACCAUCUCUUCUCAGUUUGAGCGUUCAGAGCCACCAUCUUCUCAGUUAAAGCAUUCAGAGCCACCAUCUCUUCUCAGUAUGGGCAUUUAGAGCCACCAUUUCUUCUUAGUUUGGGCGUUCAGAGCCACUAUCUCUUCUCAGUUUCGGCAUUUAGAGCCACCAUCUCUUCUCAAUUUGGGUGUUUAGAGCCACUAUCUAUUCUCAAUUUGGGCGUUCAUAGCCACCAUCUCUUCUCAGUCUUGGUGUUUAAAGCCACCAUCUUCUUACGACUCAGCCUUCAAAGUCAUCAUUGCUUAUCGGUUACGACGUUCAGAGUCAUCUUCCUCGGUUUUGACGUUCAGAGCCACCAUUUCCUUAUAGCUUGACGAUUAGAGUCAUCAUCGCUUCUCAAUUACGACGUUCAGAGUCGUAUUUCUCAGUUAUGGCGCUCAGAGCCUUCAUCUUCUUCAGUUUGACGUUCAGAGUCGCACCUCUAGCUUGGCAUUUAGAGUUACUAUCUCUUUACAAUUUUGCUUUCAGAGCCAUCAUCCUAUUGCGAUCGGGCAUUCGUUGCCACUUUUUCGACAUUCAGAGCCACCAUCUUUUCUCAAUUAUGGCAUUCAAAACCAUCAUCUCUUUACAACUUGGCGUUUAGAGUCAUCGUCCUUCUCAAUCAUGGCAUUUAGAGCCACAUUUCAGGCAUUCGAAGUCAUGAUUUUCUAAAGCUUAUCAUCCUCCCUUGUGCAUGAUAUAGCUCUUUGAGCUUAUAGCUUAUGUUUUGAUUGUAUCAUUGGUGCCCCUCACUUCGCGCUCUUGUAUGGUGCAUGUAUAGUUUCCCUUUUAUAUAUGUUCCUCUCUAUGCUCCUAGAUGGUUUGACUACUACUCAACUUUGACUUCGAUCUUUGAAUCACUUUUGGUGACAUCUUAGAGGGAGUCUAGAUCCUUAGCGCGGCUUCAAAGGCACUUUGAGAGAUCCAUUUUUCUCUUAGGAUUUUAAAGCUCUUUUUACUCCUCUGAUGGUUUGGGUGAGUUUGUGUUUUACUUGUGUACCUUUAGGGAUCUUUCUUUGUCUUCGGUAGAGUUCACUUCAUUUCACUCUCUAUUCACACUUUUUUUUCACUUUAGUGUUUACAUUCAUUACACUCGUGAGCUCUACCGAAGAGGGGCAUAUUUGUAGACCCCUUUGUGGACACCAUCCGAGAGAGUGGUUUUUCUUUCAUUUUUUUGAAAUGGGGGGACCCCUUUCUGCCAAGAACAAGCUGCAUGGACAUGUGGCCAAGAGCAUGGCUCACCAUGGUGGUGGUUGAUGGUGAUGACAUCCUCCCGGGACAAGGAGCAGUAAAGUGGUUGGUGGCUUGCGGGAGAAGACAGAAAUGGGGGCAGGCAAGCAAGCUGCGAGGGGGUAGGUGAUUUUGGGGUUGCUGGUUUUGGGGAGAUACACUGGAAAAUGCUUUCUUUGGCUGGGGAGUCUUUGUUCUAGGGAGGAGGAAUUCUUUGGCCAGGCAAGAACUGUGAAAGAGCUCUCAGGUAAGUUUACUGGGUAUCUCUUGUUCACAUUUACUAUCACCGUUCUUUCAUUUUCCCCCUUCGCUAUUUGGGGUUUUGUUUGUUUGUUUGGUUAUGGAUAACAGGAGUUAUGCAUGAGUUUUGUUAAUUUCCAGUUUGUUCAUAUACCCAUUGAUCGCUUCAUUCACUAUCCUUCUUAAUAUUGGUUUAAACCCAAUGAAGUUCUGUUUCAUUUUGCUCUAUGUGAAGAUAUUGCUUGUUAUUUUCUCGUUUGGACCUGUUGGUACCCUUCCCACCCAUCCAAGCCCGUUGAAAGAGCAUUAGAUAUGGUUUUUCUUAAUUCACACACACACAUAUAUAUAUAUAUAUAUAUAUAUUUGUUUACUUUUCCUGGCUCUCCUUUGUUCUAGUCUAUAUUUUCUUUUUCCCGUUUUUUUUAUGCACUCGAUCCAGAAUGUCGGUUGAUUGAGUGUCGGUCAGAGGAAUUGGUUUUGGGCUUGUUCUAGAGAAAUGCGCUGGUAAAUAUACAUGCACAAUGUGGAAAAGGUGAAGUUGUUAAUACCUUAUCCAUUUGUUUUUCCGGGCACACGAAUGUUGGUCAAGUAGCCGAAAGAUUAAGAUGAGGCUUUCUCCCAUCACCAUUCCAGCUGAUUCAGUUGUGACUGUUGGUAUUGUGCCCUAUUCCGGGGUCCGUUCAAAAGUGUCUUCGGCUAAGGUUGUGCAAGCUAAAUCAGUUGAUGCUUAAUAUGCUUAGGAAUACUACUUGUGCGUUUUUCAAAUUUUAUGCAAAGGUGACAAGCCAAACAUCAGUGGAAAUGAUGCAUGACUCCUCCAAUAGAUCAGUUCAUACAAUUUUCAGGUGUGGGAAUAUAUGCUAGCAACGUUCUUGAAGUCACUAAUUGGUUCCCAUUUCCAACCCUAGAAGAGAAUGGUGAGACUGAAACAUCAUGUGGUCCCGACAUUUCAUCAUAUAUAAUUCCUUCAUACCCAUAUUCCCACUACCUUCCAUCCUCUAAGCCUCAUUCAUACCCAUAUCACUACUUCAUCUACCCGUAUUCUCAUAUUUCCAUCUCGUCACCAUAUUUUCUCUCUUUACACCACGUGCAUGUCCAUUACCACUCAUGCAUAUCACCACCCUCCUAUGCCCACCUUGCCCAUUCUUUCUUACCACCUUUCUCUUUUUACACCACAUGCCUCCCAAACCCACUACUCGUAUUUCACGCUUCAUCCCAUCUCAUCCCAUAUCCCUCCCAUGGAUAUCAUCACUUUCACAUACCCAUCACUACAUUUCUCUCUCUACACCACACCAUGUUCCCACUUUUUUUUUUUAAUAUGUCACUAGAUCCAUUUCUUCCCACUUUGCAUGGUCAUGCAUGGCCACACUAUGUCACUUCCACACUCAUACCCGUUCCAUACCCACAUCUUCCUAUCUGUAUUCCUACCCUUUUUUAAAAAAAAAAAAAAAAAUCCACUCACUCGUUUCUCUCACUACCACUACCCUUCAUUACUCAUCCCUACCCAUGGCAACCCAUACUCUCCUCACUCAUCUAUUACACCCACUGUCAAUAGCUCUCUUCAUCACCAUACCUAUUUUUUCCACUCUUUCUAAAUCCAUUGGACUCUCUCAUCUCACCACCCUCCAUCAUCCGUUCCAUCAAUAACCUCCCCGAAGACCAAGAAGAUUUUGCAACUUCUGCGCUUGAGAUAGAUAUUUAACAGUGUCUUCCUGAAAGUGAACAAGGAAACAACGAAUAUGUUGCACAAGGUUGAGCCUUACGAGACAUGCGGGUAUCCCAAUUCAAAGAGUGUUAAGGAAUUGGUUCACAAGCCAGGGUGCCUACCCGCUACAGUGAAACGCUUGGCUUUCAUAGUCUGCAUCGCGAGACAAUCAUGAAGCAUCAGUAUUGUUUGCAUUAGAGCGGGGUAUACCUUCCAUAGUUGGUACUCUUGGAAGUAUGUCUAUGGGAUGAAGCUGAUAUAUUAUCUGUUUUAUUUGAUAAUGGAUGAAAUCAUGGUGACUUUGUGGUCUAUAUCAUCCAGAAGUUCUCUCAAGAGAUAUAGCCGUCAUGUGAAGAUUCUUUUUCCUCACACGGUUACGCUGCUAAGAAGGAUUUCUCAUGCUUUGAAGGUCAUCAUGAAUCGAAAGACUCAAGAAGAAGGGUUAGCAUUGGUUCGUACUCAUCAGAUGCCUAGAAACAAGUGGGCAGAGUUGACAAAACUCUCGUCGAGAAGAACAGACAAUGCAAUAAAAGACCACUAGGACAGUUAUGUAAAGAAGAAGUUGGACUCUCAUAUAGCAUCAGAUUCACUUGCACAGUCCCAAGGCCAGCCUCUUGUUGGUCACUGAAACUGAUCGAUCCAUUCAUCUUCUUCAAAUAUGUAAUAGAGUAGUGGAGGUGAUGGCGGAGCCAAAGGUGGGAUAGAAGCAGAGGAAAUUUCAGAAUAUAGUCAAGGUUCAAUUGCGGAUUUUCUGGAAGCGUGAGGCACCAGUUUAAUUCAAAUGGGCAACCCACUCCUUCUUUUGAGCUGGGACAAGCAUCAUCAGGUUUAUCAUCGCAUUUUAAAGGUGGCAGAGGAAACCAGGGCACAGUUUCUGUCCCGUUCAUGAACUUCUGUAGGGUUGAGUGAUUCCUCUUCCACGGGAAAUAUAGGUGUGGACUCUGAUAUACCUGAGCAUUUACUGAUAUCUGAAGGCGACUGUUGUGGGUUCAGAUUCCAAGAGGAACUCCAGCUUCACAGUCAUAUUACUCCCUAAGGAUGACAGCGGCAAGCAUCACUAGCACCAAUAGGGUAGUCACAAUCGCACCCAAGGCCCAUGUGUAUUAUGGCCAACCUCCCAGACCCAUUUUCAAGGCCCACGUGCUUCUUUCCUUCACCUUAAAAAAAAAAACAAAAAAUGAUGAUUUUCUGAAAAUCCAAUUUCCAAAUAAUUCAACUCUCUAUUCUUUCAUCUCUAGAAUUUUUGGGUCCUAAAUUCCAUUUCCCAAUUUCCAUAUUUAUUUAUUUAAUAAGUAUUAUUUUUGUUAUUAUUAUUAUUAUUAUUCUAUUUAUUUAUUCAUUUAUUAUAAAAUUCCACCUUUAAAUAAUUUUCCAAAAUUCCGACUUCUGGAUUUAAAGUUCCAAUUUAAAAAAUCUCAAUAUUCACAUUCAUUUAUUUAAUUAUCAUUUUUGUUUUUAUUAUUAUUCUUUUUAUUUAUUUAUUCAUUUAUCAAUUCUUCAAAAUUUCGACUUUCAAAUAUAAUUUCUGAUUUUUCAUAAUUUCACUAUUCACAUUCAUUUAUUUAAUUAUUAUUUUUGUUAAUAUUAUCAUCAUUCCAUUUAUUUAUUUAUUUUAAAAUUUCAUCUAUUAACAAUUCUUCAAAAUUCCAGUUUCCGAAUUUAAUUUCCAAUUUCAAAUUUUCCACUAUUCACGUUCAUUUAUUUAAUUACUAUUUUCGUUACUAUUAUUAUUACUCCGUUUAUUUAUUUAUUUAUUCAUUUUAAAAUUUCAUCUUUUAACAAUUCUUCAAAAUUCCGGUUUCGAAUUUAAUUUCCAAUUUAAAAAAUUCCACUAUUCACAUUAAUUUAUUUAAUUAUUAUUUUCGUUAAUAUUAUUAUCAUUCCAUUUAUUUAUUUUAUUUAUUCAUUUUAAAAUUCCAUCUUUUAACAAAUUCUUCAAAUUCCAAUUUUCAAAUUUAAUUUUCAAUUUCCAAAAUUCAUUUUUUCACAUUUAUUUAUUUAAUCAUUAUUAUUUUCGUUAUUGUUAUUAUUUUAUUUAUUUUAAUUAUUUAUUUUUGAAAAUUCCAUUUUUAAAUAAUUCUUUAGAAUUCCAAUUUUUGAACUUAACUUCCAAAAUUUCAAUUCUUAAAUUUAAUUCCCAAUACUCCAAUUUCCAAAUAAUUUUCAAGACUCCAAUUUUCAAAUAAAUUUCAAAAAUCCAGUUUUCACUCGAACAAUUUUAAUUUCAUUCCGAUUCUCAAAUAAUCUAUUGUUUAUCUUGAUUUUACAUAAGUAUGAAUGCAAUUUUUCAUAAUUCCACAAUAAUGGAAUUUGCGAAACUAAUUCGUGCAAGAUAGAUUGGAUUUUGGUGGGAGGCCCAACAUUGGUGUUUUUUUCCUCUAAAAAUAAAUUUAAUUGAAUUGAAUUGUGAUAUCUAUUGAUUUCUCACUCUGUUUAGUGGCAUAUGUGACAUAGUCUGUUUUUGUUAAUUCUGCACUAAUCUCAUUUCUUGAUAGCACAUUGUGGCUCAUGGCCCAAGUACGCAUCCGCUCCCAUUCUAGUCAUUCUCCAUGCAUAUUCUGAUUCUCAUAUGUGCAUGAUCGAUUUGAGUACCCAUUGAUUUCCUUAUUGAUUGCCACAUCAACUUCCUUUUAUCAGUAGAGACCUGACUUUAGGGACUUAUAUGGGUGCUACGGUCCUUACUAUACAUUCCCGAUAAGUAAUCUGACCUCCGAGUCUGAUCCGGUUUUUCAAAAAUCACUUUUUUCAAAAUAAGGAGUUACACUUAGGGUUUUCUUUCUUAUUUUGUAUACCCUUUUGAUUACUACUCAAAAAGUGCUAUUUGAUAGCUUGUAAUUAACUCUUUUAAACACUUUUGAGUAGUAGUUAUUGCCUUUUAACCCAAUUAACAUGUUAAGGACCCUUGCAAUCAAUUCUAAUCAAAUUGUGUUAAGUUUUGGUGUUUUUGUUAGUAAUUUGAUCACCAAAACAAUCCAAGAUUGAGGAGAGUUAUUUGGAAUCCAUGGCAAAGCUUUUGGAAGCUCAAAUUUAUGAAGAACCAAGCUUUGGAGCUCCAUAGCCCUUUGCCAAAGUCGUUCAAAGUAUGCAAGGAGAGAAGCAAGGAGAAGAGGAAAACAGAGUGAAGAAAACAGAGGACAAGAAGCUGCAGUCUUCAUGCGCACUUUUGGAGCACUUCCCGAAGUCCAUUUUCUACAUUCUAUAUACCAUUUCAAAGCUCAGGAAGUCAAGAAUCCAAUGCUUCAAACGGUGCGUGAUUCGGAGUUGAAACGAAGAAGUUACAGCCAUUGCAAGCAGAUCACUCCAAAGUGUUGCGAAAUCAGCCUUUUGUUGCGAGAAUUUCGCAGCCUUUUUGUACAGUGCUAUGGAAUUCCUCCUGAAGCUACCCGAUACAUGCCGCAAGCUGGAACGCUGAGAACCUCAAGGUGGAAGCCAAUUUCGCAGCCCUGCGAGUUUAACUUGUUGUUGCGAAAAUAUUUCGCAGCCCUCUUGGGUGUCUGCGAAAUCUCGCAGACACCAUUUUCACCUGCGAAAUGGUUCCUGAAGCUUCCCGAUAUUUUCCACCGACUCUUUUGGAUAUUUUUCUUCAGAUAUUUUUGUAUAAAUUUCCAUUUUCUCCUUGUAUUCAGCCACUCAUGUAAUUCCUUAGCUAGGAAGUGUCCAAGGAAGGGUAAAUUACCUUCCUAUAUAAACUCUCUUGCAUCCACUGUAAAAAAAACGCUCGGAGAAGUAUGUAAUAUAGAAACAAUAUAUAGAAUCAACGAACAGAGCACUUGCUCUGUUUUUUCAUAUAUAUUCUUGUCUUCUCCUUCAUUUUCAUUUUCUAGCCAACCAAACUCUGAGGAUUUUUCCACAGAGGAUGAGAGGCUAAGCUUUUUGUCUCUUGGAGUAAGGAAAGCCGGGUAAGUUUCCACAUGCAUAAUUUGGAAGUUUUGUUGUUUUAGUUUUAAUGAAGAGAAAGUGUAACCCGUUAAUGGUUUUUAUCUUUUUAGUUAACUUAAAACACCUUAGAGUCACCUGAGCCAACACUUGGUAAGGCAAGUGAUUUCUAUCCAUGGAAAUGCACUAGUUUACCCCUUGCGAGCCUUUGGGAGGUGACUUGAAGGUAGGAUUUUCUAGAAUAGCCAACACUUGGUAAGCUUUUGGACUCCAAGGAGACAUCCAUUAGUUAUCUCUUGCGAGCUUUUGACGGGUAAUCCAAGGUUAAAGAUCUCCUUGAAUGGCAAGUGCUAGGUGAGAGGUAUGAGCCAUUGCAAGAUGCAUCAGUGAGAGGGAUUUAGUGUUUGAACCCAUUAAUGGGAAGCAUCUGUACAACACCGGUUGGAGAAGGAACUAUAUGUUAAUUCUCUAAUGCGAGGAAAAGAAACAAGUGACCGGAACUCCCUUUUUGUAUGAGGAAUCUGAGCCUAGUGAUCUGAAAUUCCAAGAAACACUUUUCUUUGUAAGUAAAAUCAGUUACUAUUUUUGGUUAGCUUAAAACCAAUCCUUUUUCAUUCAAAAAUCUUUAUGUUUUCUUUUAAAGCUAACCUUGAAAUGAAAAGGCACCAAUUCAGCUUUAAAUUAAUAUCAUUUGCAAAGUGAAAACCCAUCCCAGUGAACGAUCCUAGAGCCACUAUACUAUAGUAGUUUUGUCUUUGCUACCCUAGUAUAUGGUGUAAUAGGUUAUAAAUUUUGUUGAUUACUCCCUCAAUCAAGGAGCACCAGCUGUACACGAAUCAGCUGAGACAUCAAUUGGGCACGAAUCAAAUGGCGCCGCUGCCGGGGAUCGAACCCCGAAUCAAAUGGUGCCAUUGCCACUGCCGCUGCUAGGGACGAAUCAUUAAAAACAAAACAAAAAUAAGUGGCGAUUCCAAGUCAUUUCUAAAAAAAAAAAUCAUAUUUUUCAUUAAAUAAAUAAAAAACGAAUUUGCCAUCGAGUGAGAACGCAUUGAGCAAAAAUGCGAGGUCCACAUAUUGUUAUUUUUAUUUAUAAAGAAUCGAAAUUUACUUUAUCAUUUAUUAAUUGGCAUGAAAUGUUUUGACUUGCCUUGAUUAAUAAGGACUUCCAUGGCUUACCUGAUAGAGUUGGGCCCUUAACGUUAUCCACUCUGCAAUGUAUCAUGCCCUUCCAAAGCUUAAUCAAGUCAACGGCUAAGGUGUAAUUUCAUGCAUUAAAUUAUUUUAAAAAAUGUUUAAUACUGCAGUCAAGCUCGUACUACAUAUACUCUAAAAUCAACAAUGUAAUUUUCUGCACUGAGCAAUUUCAUAAAAAUGGUUUUUGAGUAAAAGAGAUUUGGAUUUUGGCCUAUGGCCUAUGGACUUUCAAAACAGGGGGUUACUCCUUGCAUUAGCUUUGUCAGGAGCACAAACCUGACAAAGAAAGCAAUUGGCAACAUGUUGAAUUUAAGCCACAAGCAUAGAGAAUCUUCAAACUUUGCAGCCUCCCCAGGUUUUGUGGCAACUUGUGGAGUUUUGAACACUCACUGACAUUGAGAACUUCAAGAAAGCAUAAAUUACAAGUGCUUCCUGGAAGAGUCACAAGGUUUUGGCAUCUGUCCAGAUUCAAAAGUUCAAGCCUAUUCAAAUGUUCGAUUGAUGAUGGUAGCUCUUUUAUAGCCGUUCCGUUCAAGUGAAGCUCCCUUAAGUUUUCCAUAUUCUCCAAGAUUUCUGGAAAGUACUGUAAUUGUGAACAGUCAGAGCCAAAGAGAGAUUUUAGGGAUUUGAACUCCCGAAUGCUUGUUGGCAGACUCUCAAGGUUUUUGCACUCUCGCAAACAUAAGGUAUCAAAUUCAGAGGCAUGCUCAAUGGGUAGUAGGUUGAUUGUCUGACCCUUUAAACAAAGCUUUCGGUGUUCCACGUUCCUCUGACAUUCCACGCAGCUAGCAUCCACAUCCUCAGUCUGUACUAUUGGAUCUUGGGAGUAUAUAGGUUGAAGCCCACACUUGAGCACCUUAAAAUGAUUGCGAGAGCCCAUAAAUAGAGCCCCAAGAAACAUGGAUGGAUUGGUGUGACAGCUCUCCAGAAUAGCAGCCUUGGGAUAGAAUAUCACCCACAUUUGUUCUGAUGCACCUCCAUCAUGGUAGCAUUUACAAGUAGUGCGAAAACUGAGAGGUUGCACACACAGGGGAGAAAAUCCAUAUCCAUCAUGCAAUGACAAUUGACAUUCUAACUCAGUGGAGAUUGAAGAUUCAGCUUCAAAUAAAUCGUCAGAUUCAUUCAGGGCUUCGUCACCAGAUUCAUUCUCCGAAAAUGUAUGUGCAAAAUCAUUUUCUGGUAUGUCCUCACAUUCAUCGAGUGGAGCAUAAACACAGCAUAUAGCAAUUCCCAAGAAGUCAUUAUUUUCAUAACAACUCUGAGGAAGGUCCAUUGUGAUCUGAUAUCCCUCUCUCUGUUUCCUUAUCCACUUGGGAAUUCCACUGCUUCCCGGAACAACAAUACAGAUUCCAUGGCCAAUGAAGUCAGAAUCAGGGAGAAAUACUUCAUUUGAACUGCUCUUGUAUUUCAAAUCCUGUACAAAGGGACAAUGUAAAUCCAGUGGGUCUGUGCCAUUAUGUGAGUUUUUAUGAGAGAGUUUGUUAUCGGUUUUUGAUAAAUUGAUUCCCAGUUUUAACUUUCUUUGAUCUAUGCUCCUGAAUCUACUUAAUAUCCCUUUUAGAUGACGGAUAAUCAAUCAACAUGAAAGUGAGUGACAAGAUUAAGUGUGAAAACUGGAAGUGAGGGGAAACUGAAACUGAAAGUGAGUAGAAUAAGCAGAUCUGUUCUUCACUUGCAGUAGCUUCUUCUCCAUUCAGAUUCAGAGAUCUUAGAAUUGUAGCUUCAACUUAACUCUCAGAAUCUUAAAGACAAAGUUCGCUCAAGUUUCAAAAACUCACAGAAAAGUUUCUCCUCAUGUUUCUUUUAAUCCCAUGAGGCGACAGACAUGUAGCACACACUUACUGGCUUUUUGCCAUGCAAGUUUCAAGGUGGAGUGUCCAAUGAACUAAAACAUUCCCUCAAAUCCUAGUGGAAAUUCACACUAUAAAUUUCAGAAUUUGCUAAAGAAAAGUUUAAUUAAUUUUACCCAUGACUAAAAAGGCAUGUGAGGGCAUUUUAACAGCCUAUUAAUUAUUAUAUUAAACUACUAUUCUCAUUACUCAAACUCAUGAUCCUUCACAUCAUCACCACAUUUUGAAGAGACUUUCGUCAACUCUUCUAUGAAUGAAUUGAUGUUUAAGGAGGCAUAAUAAACUUUUAAUUGAAUUUAACAUUAUUUCUAUCCUUAUACUCAUCUUAAAUUAUUAUUUUUUUAUAUUCUUAUCAAAAUAAAUAAAAACUUAACAAAAAAAAUAAAGAUUUCAAAACAAACUUUAUUAGCAACACUUAUUUACAUCAUUCUUUAAAAAAAUAUUCAAAAACAAAUUUUUUUACAAUUAAAAAAAUGUGAUUUAAAAUUUAUAAAGAACAAAAUUUUUAGAAAAAUAUGGUAGUUGUUUGAAAUAAAAUAAAAGGGAAAUCAAAAUUCUUAGUAAAUGAAUAGUCAAAAAAACUGUAACAGAUAUGCAAAUGAGAAAAAAAAUAAUCAAUGUCAAGAAUGAGAAACAAUUUUUUCUUUUUUCUUUUCUUAUUUUAUGCAUUCAUUACCAUUUUUAAAUUAAUAAAUAAAGUUUUUCUCACAAAAUUUUAAAAUGGCAUGUAUGCUUCAAAAUUUAUAUAUUGUUAUUAGAUUUUUAUAAAUUUCAUUUAUAUCCUCAAAAUUAGAAUCAUUAAACUCACAUUUUAAAAUAAGAUAUCAAAUAGUUAUUUUUUCAUCCUUUAGCAAUAUCAAACGUUUUUUGUACUUUAAUAAAAAAAAAAAAAGCUAUUUUUUCUAAUUAAUGACUAUUUUGCAUAAUAUUUGUAUAAAUUAUUUAAUAUAUAAAUAUUACUUAUUUAAUAGUUUUUUUUUAAUUUCUUAUAGAAAGAGUAGUGCAUACAUAAUUCAAACAAAAGGUAAUUUUAUAUUGCAAAAAAGUUUGUGGAAAAAGGAAAUUUGAACAAGGAUUGAAAUUUAUAGAACCAUAUUGGACACCUAGUUCUAGGUUUGUCCCUUUCCAACAAUCAUGACUUGGUAGUAGCCUAAUCUCAAAUCUAACUUUGUCAGGCCCUUCCUUUACUAAGUCGAUCAAACAAGUUGUUAACAAACAGAAUAAGAUAUUUUUUCUUUUCACCUUGUUGAGUCUUCGAUAAUCUAUACACAUUCAGAGGGAUCCAUUAUGUUUCUUUUAGAAUAAUAUUGAUGUGGCAUAUGAAGCUUUAGUUGGUUGGAUGUAUCCCAUGUUAUGCAACUUCUUAAGUUGUUUCCUUUGUUCUUCUAAAUUAGGUAGUAUCAUCCUAUGGGACCUCCAUGGCAAGGGGCUUAGCUCCUGGCUCUAAGUCAAUCUUGUGCUCCCCUUCCCUUAUUUGUGUGAGUUUCUUAUGUAAUUUUAAUGACAUCUAAGGAUGGCAAAGUUUGAUACAAUUUUUCAACCAAACUUGAAGAAGCGUUAUUAGUGGGUUUGGAAAGUUCUAAUCUAUUUUACUUUUUAAAACAAAGUAAAAUAGAGAACAAUUUUUAAAGAACAAUUAGGAGUUGUUUUUACCAAUUUUUAAAAAACAAAAAAUAUAUAAACUCAUUUGACUAUAUUCUUUUAAACUUGUUUUUAAAUUAAAGAAUAAAAAAUAAUUUUUUAAAAUAAGUUUCAAAAAAUAUGACCAAGUCGGGGUUUAUAAUAUUAAAGAGGAAAAAAGUUAAUUUAAGAUUUUGCAUGCAGGUAAACAUCAGGCUGUAAAACUGGUUUACUAAGACACUCAUUUUAUUUAUAUAUUCUUCUAUGUGCAUGCAUUGACCAUGUGGUUAAGAUGUGUUGCACCGAAAUCUAAUGAUUAGCUGUAAAACGUUAAUUAAUCCGAGCAUACAUUUUUCUUUAUUUGUUUUGGUUUCUUUACAAGAAUGCUUCUUUAUGUAUUCUUGUUGAACCUAUAAAAUAUCAUCCAUAGACAUUCUUUUUGAAUAAUUAAGAACCGAGAUUUCUAAUUGGUUGGUUAUUAUUUUUAUCUGUAAGGAAUCGAAAUUUAGCUCAUCAUUUAUCGUAUGAAUAUCAUAUAGAUUUGAAAAGAAUUUCACACUUAGAAAUGUACCUCUCAGAACAUUUGAAGUUAAGAUGUUUUUGUCUUCUUCAAUUUGAUUGCUCAUUACGACUUUGAGAUUCAAAUUCCUUUUGAUGUAAAAAACAAACUUAAAUAAAUAAAAAGAAUUAAAAGAUAAGCAGAGCAAAAAAUUAAAUAGUGUGAGUUGGAAUGAAUAAAGUUUUAAUCAAAAUUGGAAAUUAAGGUGAAACAUCCUAAAUUAUAUACAAAAGCUCAUAUAAUAUUACACCAUAAUUUCUCUAAAUUAAUCUUAACCUUUUAGUGCAGUGUGUACAGUCAUUGCUUGUUUGUGGAUUAGAAUUAGUAUCUUCUGCUGCUGAUCUGGUAUCACAACUUCUCUGCUCAUCAUUGUACUCUAUCAUUGUCUGAUGGUCGCGCCUGGUGGCUUCUGUGUUGUCACAGCUUCUCCGAGCAUCACUACUGGUAUCUUCUGGGAUGUUUCUGUUUAUAACAUCAGGUGUAUAUAUAAGAUGGAACCCACACUCUUUCACUUCGACUGGUGUACCGUCCAAGCUAUGAAAUGAAGCCUUCAAACGUCUCCAUUCGUUCGACCAAUACUGGUUGCCAAUAACAACCUUGGGAUAAUAAGUCACACACAUUUGACUUGAUUCACCGCAAAUUCGGCAGCAAUAAGACCGGACAUCAUCCACGUGACAGCAUUCAGAUUGAUCACCACAGAUAUUGAGUUCGCAAUUCAACCAACCACAAGCCAUAGGAAUAAAAACAGAGUAUAAAGCAAAUCCUAAGAAGCCAUCUUUUCUGUACAAAUCCGUAGAAAGCUCUAUUGUUAUUUGAGAUCCUUUUUUUGGCUGGCUUAUCCACUCUGGAAUUCCAUCAUUUCCCGAAAUAACAACUCUGAUUGCCUUGUUCCAAUAGGAGCCGCAUUCAAAUUCCUGCACAGAAGUACAGUGUUAAUACUCUGUUCAUAAGGAAAAAGGGCUGAAUGUUAUGAAAAUCAUACCUCAAUCAUUGAUUUGAAGCAUUUGAACAGAGAAAAACCAAGUUGACUUGAUGGACUUGAUAAAGUUUCCAAGCAUGUGCAACUGUGGACAUCUAGAACUCGUAAACUUGGUGGAAACUCUGGAACUUGUAGAAGCCCCUGGCAGUGACUCAAUUCAAGGACUCUCAGUUUAGAAAGUUGAAUGAUGCCUGCAAGUAUGCUACUAAAACAGUCCUUGCUUAGAUUUAGACCUGAAGCGUACAAACCCUCUAAACAUUGCAAACUCCUCAGGUUCUCGGGAAAUCUCUCAAGUUUUGUACAGAAACUGACAUUUAGAAUUUUGAGAGUUUUCAAAUUACAAAAGGCCUCUGGAAGACUCACAAGGUAUUGCGAGAUUCAAAUAUUGAAGCCCUCUUAGAUAUUGAAUUGAUGCUGGUAGUUCUUCGAUAGCAGUUCCAUCUAAAUGAAGCUCUCUUAUAUUUUCCACAUCCUCGAGGAUUUCCGGAAAGCUCCUUAAUCGUGAACAGCCUGAGCAGAAGAGAGUUGUAAGGGAUUUCAACUCACAUAUGCUACUGGGAAGAAGCUCAAGGUUUUUGCAUUCUCGCAAACAUAACCUAUUAAGUUUAUGGGGACACUCAACAGUGGGUAGUUCAUUGAUGGCAUUUCACUUUAAACAAAGCUUCCAUAGGGAUUGCACAUCCUCUUGACAUUCCCGGCAAACGGUGGAUAUCAUUGCUUUACCAUGGUUCUGUUCAUGAUCAUGGGCAUAUAUAAGAUGGAUCCCACACUCUUCUACUUUCACUGCUUUACCUCUCAAGUAGCCACAAAAUGAAGCCGUCAACUGCCUCCAUUUAUUUGAGUGGUACUUCUCCUCAAUCUCAUGCUUAGGAUAAUAAAUCAUCCACAUACAAGGUACAACAUAGACGUGAAAUGAGGGAUAAAACUGGAGUUUAUCCACAAACUGAAUUUCAUGACCACGCAAAGUUAAACCAUACUCGAAGUAAGUUGCACCAUUCUCCAGUGUCUCCUCAGAUUCAUUAUCCAGUGGAUAAUAGACACAGUACAAAACAAAACCCAACAAGUCGUCAUUUUUAUACCAAUUUUGAGGAAGCUUUGCUACUACUUCAGCUCCCUUUUUGUGAUGGCUUAUCCAAUCUGGAAUUCCACAACUUUCUGAAAUAAUAAGAUUUACUCGGGCAAAAGGUUUUUCUAAAGGAUAAAUCUUGCAUUCCAAAUCCUGCAGAAAAUUUAAUUAACACUUAAAUCCCCAUGUCUCCACAAAAAAAGUUUUGGUCUAUGAAUAUCAUACCUGAAUCAAUGAUUUGAAGCAGUUGAAUAGAGAAGACCAGAGUAGACCUGAAGAAGUUUCCAGCCGUUUGCACAAAUGUAUAUCUAAGACACGCAAACUGGAUGGAAGUGCUGGAAUUUGUCGAAGCUCUUGACAGUUACCCAAGACAAGGAGUCUCAGCCUAGAAAGUUGAUUGAUCCCAGCAGGUAUGCUCCUAAAAAGAUUCCCGAAUAGAAAUAAUUCUUGCAGAGAUGAUAGCUGGCAAAUUUCAGUGGGGAUUCCUCCUUCAUCUAUACCACACACACGUAGAUCUACAACUUCCAAGGAGUACAAGCAGCAAAUAUCACUCAGGACUACUCCUUGCAUUAGCUUUGAGUAAAUAAGAUCUAACUCCUUUAAGGAGCAUAAACCUGACAAAGAAAGCAAUUGGCAACAUCUUGAAUUUAAGCCCCUAGCACGGAGACACUUCAAGCUUUGCAGCCUCCCCAGGUUUUGUGGCAAUUUGUGGAGUUUUGAACAGUAAUUCACAUUGAGAUCUUCAAGAAAGCGUAAAUUACAAAUGCUUUCUGGAAGAGUCACAAGGUUUUUGCACCUCUCAAGAUUCAAAACUUGAAGCCUAUUCAAAUGUUCGAUUGAAGAUGGUAGCUCUUUUAUGGCCGUUCCGUUCAAGUGAAGCUGCCUUAAGUUUUCCAUAUUCUCCAAGAUUUCUGGGAAGUACUGUAAUUGUGAACAGUCAGAGCAAAAGAGAGAUUUUAGGGAUUUGAACUCCCAAAUGCUUGUUGGUAGACUCUCAAGGUUUUUGCACUCUCGCAAACAUAAGGUAUCAAAUUCAGAGGCACACUCAAUGGGUGGUAGGCUGAUUGUCUGACCCUUUAAACAAAGCUUUCGGUGUUCCACAUUCCUCUGACAUUCAGCGCAGCUAGCAUCCACAUCAUCAGUCUGUACUAUUGGAUCUUGGGCGUAUAUAGGUUCAAGCCCACACUUGAGCACCUUAAAAUGAUUGCGACAGCCCAUAAAUAUAGCCCCAAGAAACAUGGAUGGAUUGGUGUGACAGCUCUCCAGAAUAGCAGCCUUGGGAUAGAAUAUCACCCACAUUUGUUCUGAUCCACCUCCAUCAUGGUAGCAUUUACAAGUAGUGCGAAAACUGAGACGUUGCGCACACAGGGUAGAAAAUCCAUAUCUAUCAUGUAAUGACAAUUUACAUUCUAACCCAGUGGAGAUUGAAGAUUCAGCUUCAAGUAAAUCGUCAUAUUCAUUUAGGGCUUCGUCACCAGAUUCAUUCUCCGAUGUAUGUGCAAAAUCAUUUUCUGGUAUGUCCUCACAUUCAUCGUGUGGAGCAUAAACACAGCAUAUAGCAAUUCCCAAGAAGUCAUUAUUUUCGUAACAAUUCUGAGGAAGGUCCAUUGUGAUAUGAUUUCCCUCUCUCUGAUUCCUUAUCCACUUGGGAAUUCCACAGCUUCCCGGAACAACAAUACAGACUCCAUUGCCAAUGAAGUCAGAAUCACGGAGAAAUACUUCAUUUGAACUGCUCUUGUAUUUCAAAUCCUGUACAAAAGGACAAUGUAAAUCCUGUGGGUCUGUGCCAUUAUGUGAGUUUUUAUGAGAGAGUUUGUUAUCAGUUUUUGAUAAAUUGAUUCCCAGUUUUAACUUUCUUUGAUCUAUGCUCCUGAAUCUACUUAAUAUCCCUUUUAGAUGACGGAUUAUCAAUCAACAUGAAAGUGAGUGACAAGAUUAAGUGUGAAAACUGGAAGUGAGGGGAAACUGAAACUGAAAGUGAGUAGAAUAACCAGAUCUCUUCUUCACUUGCAGUAGCUUCUUCUCCAUUCAGAUACAGAGAUCUUAGAAUUGUAGCUUCAACUUAACUCUCAGAAUCUUAAAGACAAAGUUCGCUCAAGUUUCAAAAACUCACACAAAAAUUUCUCCUCAUGUUUCUCUUAAUCCUAUGAGGCGAGAGACAUGUAGCACACACUUAUUGGCUUUUUUACAUGCAAGUUUCAAGGUGGAGCGUCUAAUGAACUAAAACAUUCCCUCAAAUCCCAGUGGAAAUUCACACUAGAAAUUGCAGAAUUUGCUAAGGAAAAGUUUAAUUCAUUUAAUCCAUGAAUAAAAAAGUAUGUGAGAGCAUUUUAACAUCCUAAUACUUAUUAUAUUAAACUAUAAUUCUCAUUAUUUAAACUCAUGAUCCUUCACUUCAUCACCAAAUUUUGAAGACACUUUUGGCAUCUCUUCCAUGAAUUAAUUGAUGUUUAAGAAGGUAUAAUAAACUUUUAAUUGAAUUUAACAUUAUUUCUAUCCUAAUACUCAUCUUAAACUCUGUUUUUUUUUUUUUUAUACUCUUAUCAAAACAAAUAAAAACUUAACAAAAAAAUAAAGAUUUCAAUUACUCCGUGUUCAAAAGGGAAAAUGGCUAAAUGUCAUGAAAAUCAUACCUCAAUAGUUGAUUUAAAGCAUUUGAACAGAGAAACACCAAGUAGACAUGAUGGACUUGAUAAAACUUCCAAGCAUGUGCAACUGUGGACAUCUAGAACUCGUAAACUUGGUGGAAGCUCUGGAACUUGUAGAAGCCCCUGGCAGUGACUCAAUUCAAGGACUCUCAGUUUAGAAAGUUGAAUGAUGCCUGCAAGUAUGCUACUAAAACAGUCCUUGCUUAGAUUUAGACCUGAAGCGUACAAACCCUCUAAACAUUGCAAACUCCUCAGGUUCUCGGGAAAUCUCUCAAGUUUUGUACAGAAACUGACAUUUAGAAUUUUGAGCGUUUUCAACUUACAAAUGGCCUCUGGAAGACUCACAAGGUUGCUGCAAUCUGCAAGAUUCAAAUGUUGAAGCCCUCUUAGAUAUUGAAUUGAUGCUGGUAGUUCUUCUAUAGCAGUUCCAUCUAAAUGAAGCUCUCUUAUAUUUUCCACAUCCUCGAGGAUUUCCGGAAAGCUCCUUAAUCGUGAACAGCCUGAGCAGAAGAGAGUUGUAAGGGAUUUCAACUCACAUAUGCUACUGGGAAGAAGCUCAAGGUUUUUGCAUUCUCGCAAACAUAACCUAUUAAGUUUAUGGGGACACUCAAUAGUGGGUAGUUCAUUGAUGGCAUUUCCCUUUAAACAAAGCUUCCAUAGGGAUUGCACAUCCUCUUGACAUUCCCGGCAAACGGUGGAUAUCAUUGCUUUACCAUGGUUCUGUUCAUGAUCAUGGGCAUAUAUAAGAUGGAUCCCACACUCUUCUACUUUCACUGCUUUACCUCUCAAGUAGCCACAAAAUGAAGCCGUCAACUGCCUCCAUUUAUUUGAGUGGUACUUCUCCCCAAUCUCAUACUUAGGAUAAUAAAUCAUCCACAUAUAAGGUACAACAUUGCCGUAAAAUGAGGGAUAAAACUGGAGUUUAUCCACAAACUGAAUUUCAUGACCACGCAAAGUCAAACCAUACUCGAAGUAAGUUGCAUCAUUCUCCAGUGUCUCCUCAGAUUCAUUAUCAAGUGGAUAAUAGACAGAGUACAAAACAAAACCCAACAAGUCGUCAUUUUUAUACCAAUUUUGAGGAAGCUUUGCUACUACUUCAGCUCCCUUUUUGUGAUGGCUUAUCCAAUUUGGAAUUCCACAACUUUCUGAAAUAAUAAGAUUUACUCGGGCAAAAGGUUUUUCUAAAGGAUAAAUCUUGCAUUCCAAAUCCUGCAGAAAAUUUAAUUAACACGUAAAUCCCCAUGUCUCCACAAAAAAAGUUUUGGUCUAUGAAUAUCAUACCUGAAUCAAUGAUUUGAAGCAGUUGAAUAGAGAAGACCAGAGUAGACCUGAAGAAGUUUCCAGCCGUUUGCACGAUUGUACAUCUAAGACACGCAAACUGGAUGGAAGCACUGGAAUUUGUCGAAGCUCUUGACAGUUACUCAAGACAAGGAGUCUCAGCCUAGAAAGUUGAUUGAUCCCAGCAGGUAUGCUCCUAAAAAGAUUCCCGAUUAGAAGUAAUUCUUGCAGAGAUGAUAGCUGGCAAAUUUCAGUGGGGAUUCCUCCUUCAUCUAUACCGCAGAAAGAUAGAUCUAACACUUCCACGGAGUACAAGCAGCAAAUAUCACUCAGGACUACUCCUUGCAUUAGCUUUGAGUAAAUAAGAUCCAACUCCUUUAAGGAGCAUAAACCUGACAAAGAAAGCAAUUGGCAACAUCUUGAAUUUAAGCCCCUAGCACGGAGACGCUUCAAGCUUUGCAGCCUCCCCAGGUUUUGUGGCAAUUUGUGGAGUUUUGAACAGAAAUUGACAUUGAGAUCCUCAAGAAAGCGUAAAUUACAAAUGCUUUCUGGAAGAGUCACAAGGUUUUUGCACCUCCCCAGAUUCAAAACUUGAAGCCUAUUCAAACGUUCGAUUGAAGAUGGUAGCUCUUUUAUAGCCGUUCCAUUCAAGUGAAGCUGCCUUAAGUUUUCCAUAGUCUCCAAGAUUUCUGGGAAGUACUGUAAUUGUGAACAGUCAGAGCAAAAGAGAGAUUUUAGGGAUUUGAACUCCCAAAUGAUUGUUGGUAGACUCUCAAGGUUUUUGCACUCUCGCAAACAUAAGGUAUCAAAUUCAGAGGCACGCUCAAUGGGUGGUAGGCUGAUUGUCUGACACUUUAAACAAAGCUUUCGGUGUUCCACAUUCCUCUGACAUUCAGCGCAGCUAGCUUCCACAUCCUCAGUCUGUACUAUUGGAUCUUGGGCGUAUAUAGGUUCAAGCCCACACUUGAGCACCUUAAAAUGAUUGCGACAGCCCAUAAAUAUAGCCCCAAGAAAAAUGGAUGGAUUGGUGUGACAGCUCUCCAGAAUAGCAGCCUUGGGAUAGAAUAUCACCCACAUUUGUUCUGAUCCACCUCCAUCAUGGUAGCAUUUACAAGUAGUGCGAAAACUCAGAUGUUGCACACACAGUGUAGAAAAUCCAUAUCUAUCAUGCAAUGACAAUUGACAUUCUAACUCAGUGGAGAUUGAAGAUUCAGCUUCAAGAAAAUCGUCAUAUUCAUUUAGGGCUUCAUCAUCAGAUUCAUUCUCCGAUUUAUGUGCAAAAUCAUUUUCUGGUAUGUCCUCACAUUCAUCAAGUGGAGCAUAAACACAGCAUAUAGCAAUUCCCAAGAAGUCAUUAUUUUCGUAACAAUUCCGAGGAAGGUCCAUUGUGAUCCUAUUUUCCUUUCUCUGAUUCCUUAUCCAGUUGGGAAUUCCACAGCUUCCCGGAACAACAAUACAGAUUCCAUGGCCAAUGAAGUAAGAAUCAGAGAGAAAUACUACGUUUGAACUGCUCUUGUAUUUCAAAUCCUGUACAAAAGGACAAUGUAAAUCCUGUGGGUCUGUGGCAUUAUGUGAGUUUUUAUGAGAUAGUUUGUUGUCAGUUUUUGAUAAAUUGAUUCCCAGUUUUAACUUUCUUUGAUCUAUGCUCCUGAAUCUACUUAAUAUCCCUUUUAGAUGACGGAUUAUCAAUCAACGUGAAAGUGAGUGACAAGAUUAAGUGUGAAAACUGGAAGUGAGGGGAAACUGAAACUGAAAGUGAGUAGAAUAACCAGAUCUCGUCUUCACUUGCAGUAGCUUCUUCUCCAUACAGAUUCAGAGAUCUUAAAAUUGUAGAUUCAACUUAACUCUCAGAAUCUUAAAGACAAAGUUCGCUCAAGUUUCAAAAACUCACAGAAAAAUUUCUCCUCAUGUUUCUCUUAAUCCUAUAAGGCGAGAGACAUGUAGCACAAACUUAUUGGCUUUUUUCCAUGCAAGUUUCAAGGUGGAGCGUCUAAUGAUAUAAAACAUUCCCUCAAAUCCCAGUGGAAAUUCACACUUGAAAUUGCAGAAUUUGCUAAGGGAAACUUUAAUUCAUUUCAUCCAUGAAUAAAAAAGUAUGUGAAGGCAUUUUAACUUCCUAAUAAUUGUUAUGUUAAACUAUAAUUCUCAUUAUUUAAACUCAUGAUCCUUCACUUCAUCACCACAUUUUGAAGAGACUUUUGUCAUCUCUUCCAUGAAUUAAUUGAUGUUUAAGGAGGUAUAAUAAACUUUUAAUUGAAUUUAACAUUAUUUAUAUCGUUAUACUCAUCUUAAACUAUUAUUUUUUUUAUACUCUUAUCAAAAUAAAUUAAAACUUAACAAAAAAAAAAUUAAAGAUUUCAAAACAAACUUUAUAAAUUUAUCAACACUUAUUUACAUCAUUCUUUAAAGAAAUAAAUUUAUAAUUAAAAAAAAAAGAAGUGAUUUAAGAAUUAUAAAGAAGAAAAUUUUAAGAAAAAAUGUACUAGUUAUUUGAAAUAAAAUAUAAGGGAAAUCAAAAUUCUUAGUAAAUGAAUCCUCAAAAAAUUGUAACAGCUAUGCAAAUGAGAAAAAAAAUUAAAAGUAAAAAAAAAUUAUCAAUGUCAAGAAUGAGAAACAAUUUUUUUCUUUUUCUUUUCGUAAGUUUUUUUAUUCUUAUUUAAUGUAUUCAUUACAAUUUUUAAAUUAAUAAAUAAAGUUUUUAUCACAAAAUUUUAAAAUGCCAUGUAUGCUUCAAAAUUUAUAUAUUGUUAUUAGAUUUUUAUAAAUUUCAUUUAUAUCUUCAAAAUUACAAUUAUUAAACUCACAUUUUAAAAUAAGAUAUCAUAUAGUUAUUUUUUCAUCCUUUAGCAAUAUAAAACGUUUUCGUACUUUAAUAAAAAAAACUUUUUUUUUUCUAAAUAAUGACUAUUUUGUAUAAUAUUAGUAUAAACUAUUUAACAUAUAAGUACUACUCAUUCAAUAGUUUAUUUUUUUAAUUUAUUAGAGAAAGAGUGGUGCAUAUAUAAUUCAAAUAAAAGGUAAUUUCAUAUUGCAAAAAAGUUUGUGGAAAAAGGAAAUUUGAACAAGCAUUGAAAUUUAUAGGAACAAUAUUGGAAACCUAGUUUUAGGUUUGUCCCAUACCAACAAUCAUGACUUGGUAGUAGCCUAAUCUCAUAUCUAACUUUGUCAAGCCCUUCCUUUACUAAGUUGAUCAAACAAGUUGUUAAAAAGCAUAAUACAAUAUUUUUCACUUUCACCUUGUUGAGUCUUCGAUAAUCUAUACACAUUCAAAGGGAUCCAUUAUGUUUCUUUUAGAAUAAUAUUGGUGUGGCAUACGAAGCUUUAGUUUGUUGGAUGUAUCCCAUGUUAAGCAACUCCUUAAGUUGUUUCCUUAGUUCUUCUAAAUUACGUAGUGCCAUCCUAUUGGACCUCCAUGGCAAAGGGCUUAGCUCCUGGCUCUAAAUCAAUCUUGUGCUCCCCUUCCCUUAUUUGUGUGAAUUUCUUAUGUAAAUUUAAUGGCAUCUAAGGAUGACAAAGUUUGAUACAAUUUGUACGUCAACCAGACUUGAACCCGAGCAUUUUUAGUGAGUUUGUGUUUCCAUACCGUAAGUUGGAUUCAUGAAAGUCUCAGACUUGAAUCAAUUGAAUUAAAAAUAAAUAUUCAUGUUGUUAUUAAUUUAGUUUCUUUUACUUAGUUUUACUAAAUAAAAUUUUAUUCACAUAUUGUUUUUCACUUUAGGAUUUAAAUAAAAGUGAUUCAUUUAUCCUAGUAUUGACAAAUUCCAUAGCCAGACCUAGAGGAUGAUACUCGGAGUACUAUAAAAGUUGUAGUGACUUUUUCUCUGAUUUUUCUUAAUCAAAGUUACUACAUAAAAAGACUUAGUAUUUGAACAAUAGAGAAGAAUGGUCAAAAUUCAAGUAAAAUGGAAUGAUUAAUAUUAAUGAAUUUUUACCAUAAUAAAGAAUGAUACUUGAUUCUAGACUACUUAGGUAUGGAUUAAAAGAUUAACAUUAGAUAGAAUAACUCACGUAUAUUAAAGCAUUUUGCUAAGUUCUUUUUAUCCUUGAUCUUUUAUGAGAUUGAGCCAAUAAGGUUACACUUAAAAAUUUAAUGUGUUUGAAACACUCCUCUAAAAUCAAUCAUUCAAAUAUUAGAAAACAAGUAAAAUAUUUUUCAUAUGCUGAUUAAUAUACCCAAGGUAGUUCUUGAAUUAUCCUAACACAAAUAUCUUGCGAGUCUUAAUUUUGUCAAAUCAAUAUAUAUCUUUAGAUUUCUAAAGAAACUACUAUACUCGCGCACAUUCAUCCAUGAGUUAGGUAGAUUUUAUCUCUUGUAAGAGUUCAAAGAUACUGCAAACAAAAUUCACUGUACAAUUAAUAUCUCUCAAUGGUAUGUUAUUCAACUAAAACUAGUAGUGUCUUAUGUUAAUGGGCUUAGUUUUAUAAUGUAAAACUAGAUCUUUAAUACAUUAAUAGCUCUCAUGUUAUCACAAGGCAUAAUUAUGAUUUAUCACUCUCACCAUAAUCCUUUUAACAUACGUUUUAUCGAAAGUAAUUGCUUGGUUUGUUAGCUUCUUAUUAAGCUAGGCAACUGAGCAAUUAAAAUAUAGAAACAUCCCCUAUAAGUGUUCUUCCGUUCUUUAGACCUUCCAUCCCUAUUCAACAUUUGUAUGAAAAAUGUUGUCUACAAAUAUAUUGGUGUAAUACCACAAUCCAAGUUUAUAAGUACCAACCACAAAUAUAAUGAUUCUAUUAACAACUCCAAGGUGUGAUUUCUUAGGAAGAUUCUUAUCACGCAUAAACUCCAGUUCUAUAGGUUUAUCCAGCCUAAAUGUCAUUACAUAAAGAAGGCUUCCAACCAUUGAUCUACAGGUGGAUAGAUUUACAAACUUACCACUCCCAUCUCUUGUAAAAAUUUUCCUACAACUUUUCUAUUGUCGUGACCUAGCUAAGUUCAGCCAUUUUAAUUUAGCUUAUAGAGAGGGCCCCAUCGCUAACAUUUCCAAUCACAUUGUUGAUAGGAUGAUCACUAAUUUCUCUAAUUUUGCUCCAUGUGGAUGUUUGCUUGAUUUUCAUUGAGUUCAUUCACAUUCUCAAUCAUUCAACUCUUUUUUCUCACCUAAAUCUAGAAUGUUUGAUGAAAUAUCCUUAAGAAAAACACAUUAUUUUCUUUACUUCCUUAGUCAUCUAUCAAUACAUUGAUCGAUUCAAUUACAACUCUUUAAUUAUUAAAGAAGAUCUUAAAGGCUUUAAGCCAAGUUGAGUAUCUAACAAAAAUUCUUUCAACAUGCUUUGAUUCAAACAUCCCUAAUUUUUUAGAAUUGUUUGGAUAAGACAUUGUUCCUAAAAACUAUAUUUUACAUUAAGCUUCCUACUUGUCUAAACAUCAUAGCAAGUCCUUUUGGUUCUAACGUAUAGGUGGACUCAAUUAGAAGUACAAGAUGUUGUGUUUAUGGGUUAACCUGACAAGUUGUUAGAGCCUUUGGAUUAAUCCAUUCUAAACCUAGGAUCGUUGGGGUGUUUGCAAAAACUAUCUUAAGGAUCUUUAGAUCUACCCAACAAAAGCAUAUACAUGAAAAAAAUACACCUGCAAACUUUAUGUUUCCAAAAUGAUUUCAGUCUAUGAAGAAGCUAGUGCAAAUCUCAAAAACCAAGAGAUCUUUUGCUCAAUGGCUCUCUUUCCUGGAUCUAGGCACUUGUAGAUGGUGAAAUCCUCAUAGAAGGGUGGAUGCUAAGGUUCCUCUCUCUAGAUUCUAAAGAAAUGGAAGAAGAAUAAAAAAGUCCUAACCCUUAAAUGGGUUUAUAUAGGAUUCCCUAUGGGCUUAAGUGACUUGAGUCUAUCUUAGGCUUAGGGGUCGCUAAAAAAAGCCCACUUGGAUCUUAGUUAAAUAAUUAGCCCUAUUAAGGUCCAAUUAAUUAAUUAUCCUUUUCCAAAAACAUCAUUCAUAAGAUCUAAAACAACUUUGCAUUUUUACCAAAACACCCUUAUGCACAUGUAUGAAUAAAUAACCUAUACAUCCCUUAAGUAAUGUGUCACAUAGAAGUAUGAACUCAAGUAGGGACCAUUAGGAGUGGUAGGAAAAUAGUGGCUCCUGUAUAAUUUAAUUCUAAAGUUGACUUAACAUCCUUCUACAAAAAAUCAAUUGCACUCUAAUAUCCUAUGAUAUUACAUUAAUAUAAAAUACAUGGGUUUGUGACCUACUAACGACUAAAAGCUAGCUCCUCAUGAAUUGGCGUCCAUAAUAUAACAAGGUGAACACUUUCAAUCUUUUAAGAUUAACUUUACAAUCCUUAUGUUAUAGAUCAUCCCAUUAAGUGAUAAAUUGACAUACUAUAACCCACAACGAACAUAUGGUAACUUCUACUAAACGAAUUACUGCAACCAUAGAUUUUGUCAUGACUACCUCAAUAGCUAAUGUCAUAAUUCAUUGUAAAUUUUGUCUAAUGUGCAAUAAUAUAUACUAAUGCACUCACCUUAGAAACCUCAUCCGAAUGACUAAGAUAAGUCAACUCGCUAAUUAGAAGGUAGUGCACUAUAAUCUCAAAUGGAUUGCCUAAAUUCAUCAACCAACUAUGAACAAAUCAUAAAUCUUGCAAGGAACCCAUGACUUGAAUCUUUCACAUAACUGCUAAUGUACUUAAGUUAUGUAUAAUACCACUACUGCAUGCAUGAAUACUCAAAUCAAUAUCAAUGUGAACAUGGAUAAAUUAGUGGAAACUCAAGCCUAACGGUGUUACAUCAUCUCUUGCUUGCAAGGGCUUUACCUUAACACCAAUAAUCAGGUAGGUUCUUGAAAUCCAAUAUAAUAUGUGCUAUUUCUUGGAGCACUUUAUUUUUCCUUUCAAUAACUUCAUUUUCUAUGGAGUUUUAGAUGUUGAAAGCUCUUCUUUAAUUUCCUUCUCACAAAAACUCUAGAAGUUAGAAUUACAAACUCAUUUCCUCUAUUAUUUCUUAUUUUUCUUACUUAAAAUUCAUUUUUAUUCAUCAUUUGAAAGCAUAACACUUUGAAUUUUAGGAUGUACUUCUUUCUUUCUAAGCAUUGCACUCUCAUAGGACCUAUGAUGAAAAUAUCGUUAAUCAUGGAUAUAUCGAUACUUCGAUUUUACGGAUAUAUCGGAGAUAUAUCGACGGAUAUUUUGGAAAAAAAUAUCGAUAAGUCUAAAACUGAUCAGAAUUUGUAAAAAUAUAAGAAAAACUUCAUAAAAAUGUAAUGAGAAGUAUAAUGAUAUUUUUAAACUGUUUUAUUAAAUAAUUUGAUAUAUGUAUAAUAUGAUUUAUCAUAUUUGAUAAUAAUAUCGUAUGCAUCGACAAAAAUAUGAAUUUUAUAAGUGUACAUUUAUUAUUAAAUUACAUUUAAUAUUAUGAUAUUUGAUUAUAAUAUGUAUAAUUUUAAAAUAUAUAUUAAUAUUAAAAUUAUGAUACAUUUAAUUCAAUUGUAUUAAACAAUAUAAAAUAAAUUAUAAUAUAUGUACAAUUUUUUAAUAUUUAAUUAAUUAUUAAUGAUAUUAAAAGCACUAUGAAGAAAAUUUUAUAAUUUUAAUAUUUUUGGUAAUCAAUUAAAAGAAAAUUUUGCAUUUAAUUAUAAAAUAAUUAUAAUUAAUUUGCUCUUUAAAAUAUUUUUUUUAAUAUUUUCCUUAUAUAAUAAGUUUAACUAUAUAUAUGUUUAGUACAUAUCAUAUAAUAAGGGUAAGUUAGCUUGGAUGGCAAGUGGGUUGAACCUCAAACCUUUUGGUUUGGGGUUCGAAUCCCCUCAACUUCAAAAUGAAGGGUUAUCGCUGAUUUUUUUGGAUUUCUCUCGAAAUUUCGUCAGAUCGAUAUUUCUCCAUGAAAUAUCGUAUCGAUACCCUCCGAUACAUGAUACAUUGGCGAUAUAUUGCCAACAUAUCGCAAUAUUUUCUUCCUUGCAUAGGACCCAUUAAAUCCAUAUGUAACAUCUCUAAGAGCCUAGAAAAAGAGAACAUCAUUUUUCUAUCACUCAUGUGAAUUCAUUGUCCUAGGUAGGACAAAUAGGAUUUUUAGGCUUUCCUAAAUGGGAAUUGCUUUAAUUAGUUCUUUAUUUGUAAUCCUAGACAAAUCAUUAGAGUUUAAAUGCGCUAUCAUACAAUGCUACAUGUCUUUGGAUGUAGAUUUCACAUUUUACAACUAUGUGCACUAUAGAUGAUGAGGAAAAAGUAGAGAGGUGUACAAAAGCAUAACAAAAAUUAUCAAAAAUUCUAUUUCUUACCAACACACAUCCUUGAAUAGACACUGAUUUUGAGUAAAAUGAACAAAGCACAUACAAUCACAAAUUUAACUUGCGUUAAUUAAGUUUGCUUUCAAUCACUCAAUAUAUAGUAACUCCUCGAGUAUAGGUAAAUUUGGACCUUCUAUGGUACAUUUCGCUUUCAAGUUGGUUAUACAUAAUGCAACCAUCCCCAAAUACAACCAAGCUUCCCUUUAUAGGUUCAAACAUGGAGAAAGACUUUAAGUUCAUUGUUGCUUUUACCAUUCCCAAAUACAACCAAACUCCUAUGAGUUCAAAAUUCAAGAAAGAUCUAAGUUCUCUCUCAUACAACUAGAGUAGCCACUCUCAAAAUCCAAAACGUGUUUUUCUCUAGCUCUUAGGCCCUAUGAUCAACUAAGGCUUUUAGGUUCUCCGUAACCCAGAUUUUCUUUCCAAUGGGCGAUUUAAAACCUAUUCAAGAAUUGUUUUUAAAAUUAAUUUUUCAGUUCUUAAAAAUAGAAACCUAUUUUCUAGACUAAAACCAUGUUUGGCAACUUUUUGACAUAUUAUAGUUUGUUGAGAAUUUGUUCUGAAAAUAAGGUUUCUCCUAAUAACAUAUUUUAAUUGCUUUCAAUUGUUUUCAUUUAUUUUAUAGGGUUGUUUUAAGAAAAUAAUAAUAAAAAUAUAAAGAAUGAUGAAACAUAAACUAAAAACAAAAGUUAUUUUUAAGAAAUAUUUGAAAAUACAAAAAAUAUAUUAAAAAUGUUCUAAGUUUUUAAAUAGGCUUUUAUUUUAGAAGACAUUAGACCAACUAUUUUUGAAAACUUUUUUCAAUAACGGUUUUUUGAAGAAUUAUUUUCAAAAAAAUUCCUAAACAAACCCCUAACCUCUGAGGAUCUAAAACUUUGCACUAAGUUUGGCUUACAUUCAACUUCUUUUAUGGACAAAGCAAUGGAGCUAGAACAGAUUUCUUUCAAUUUAGUCAAUUCUUAUUUACGUGGCUCAUAAUCAGAUUGUAAGACAUUCAAUUUUUUUAACAAGGCACCAUGCUCAUUUUCAAGGUAAGAGAUUUUUUUCAAGCAAGGAAAUCUUCUCUCAUACUUCUUUUAUUCUCAUCCAACUUUCACAAUUUUCAUCUUAAGGCACUGAUCAUACAAGGCUUCCUAGGCAAUCUCAAAUUACAACUUUUCUUCCAAAUAUGUUGUAUCAUGAGAUGAACCUUCAAAAUUUUCAGAUUCAAGAUCAGUUUCAAAUUUAACAUUUUUCUUUUCAUUGCGAAGUGAUAUAGAAGGUUACAAGUAUAUCAACAAUUUCGUCAAGCAUAUCGUGCUCUAAAAGACACAAAUAUCAUCAACAUCAUGUGAUAAUAAUCAUAAUUAUGUUUAUGCAUGUUUCUAGCAAAUUAAUGCAAUGAAAUUUGUACACUCUUCAUCAAAAUCAUACCAAAUUACUUCUAUGACCUUAUCCUUCUGACAUUCAAGUAAGUGACCUUUCUCCACACAGUAGAAACCUUGAAUCAACUAGAUCUUUUUUGUGUUUUUUUUUUCUUUUUAUCACAUUUCUUUUCCCCUGUUUAUGGUCUCAAAUAGGUUAUCCUCUGUUUCUUGAAGCUUUUUGAACUUUUUGAAACUUUAUCAAGCCUAUAAAUUUCAAAUAUUGGUCAUUUUUUAUUCCUAUUCUGAUUUAAAUGCAUGUUCAUCUACUUUUAGUGCAAUAUUAAUGUUUCUUCCUCUUAGGAACAAUUGGGGUCAUCUCUAAUUGAAGGGAGCCAACUAUCUCAUCUAGCUUAAUUGAAUCAGCAGUGUUCCAUUCCUCUAUUGUUAUGACCUUAGGUCUAAAACGAACAGAGAAGAUCUUAACAGUUUUCAGGUAACCUUGGAAUCAAGUAAAGGCCUACAUAGAUUGAAAGUUAGCAUUCACAAUGUCCAUGAUUUCAAUAAUAUAUUCAAAAAAUAUUUUUGUUGUGAUCAUUUGAAAUUCAUUCCUUCACCUAUCCUACCUUUACAUAGUUUUACCUACCCUAGUGGAUAUAUAUCCUAUCUCUAUUUAGCACCAUAUGAGGAUAUCAACCAAAUUGAACAGAACUCCAAUCUCUGUUAGACUUCAUUUUAAGGAAGUAUAUCAGUUUUACCUUGGAAUGAGCAUAAUUAUCUCCUUUGAAGUAUGGAGGUCCACCUAUAGAGGUUCCUUCUCGGAGAAUUUCCAUCUUAAGAGAAUAUAGUUUAUCCGUAUUGAGAACAUGAGCAAACAUGUUUUGAUACAAUUUAUGAGUUUUUAAGAGAGUAUGCUAUGAACUUGAGAUCUCUUUUAGAUGAUCAAAUAACAUAUGCACAUGAAUGUCAUUGAGUGAUUAGCACAAGGUCACAAACCUCCCUAAUGAAAUCUCAACCAAAAAGCACACAAAUAUUGCACAAGAUAUAACAUAAAAAAAAUCUCUAAGUGGAGAAAGGAAAAAAAAAAAAAAACCAAUGGGUGCCUUUGUUGUUGCAAAUCCACUAUGAAUAUAAAUCCAGUUUUGCCUACAAUUCCCUCCACCAGUGAAAACAAAUGGUCUUAUAUGAUCAACUCCAUUUACUAUAGGGUUAUAAAGGAAACACUUGUGGGCUGGCAGGCAGUAGCUCCUCCCAACUCAUCAUAUUUCCAACCCCAUUUGCUCCAUCAAAUUCAUAAGAAGCUAACAAAACAACUAGCAUUUUAUAUCAUACAAUAUCUAUGCUAGUUAAUUUGCAUGGAAAAGACAAUUUCUACCCUAAAUAUGCCAACAUACAGGAAGACAUACAAUUUAUACAAACAUUGUACGCUAACACAAGAAAAUCAUACCUCACUUGCUGAUUUGAGGCAAUUCACCAGAGAAUGCAUAGGUGGCAAUGAGGUCCCAAUUGAGCUGUGCAUAUCUAACAGUCGCAGACUUGAAGGAAGCUCUGGAAUUUGUGAAACCUUCUUGCAGUGACUCAAGUCAAGGGCUCUAAGGUUAGAGAGCUGACUAAUACCCACAAGCAUGUCACUGAGGGUUCCUCCUUCCUCUGGAUUGCACCGACUUAGAUGUAAUACUUCCAGAGAGGAUAGAUGGAAAAUACAAUGGAAGACUCCUCCAUUUAGAUUGCAGUUUCUUAGACUUAAUUCUUUCAAUGCGUUCAAGCAGUUAUCACUCUUUAUUACUCCUGGUGUUAGAUUGCAUUGAUCUAAAUAUAGUUUCCUUAAGAGAGAUAAACCUGACAAAGAAGGCAAUUGACAACUGAGCGAAUUUAAAGAAAGAACCUCUAGACAUGGCAUUCUCUCCAGGUCCUCCGGCAAUCUGUCAAGUUUUGAACAGCCUUCAAGACUUAGAACUUCAAGAAAUCUCAAAUUACAAAUGCUGUUCGGGAGACCUUCAAGGUUUUUACAAUUAUCCAAAUACAAGUUGCGAAGACCUUCUAGAAGUUCAAUCGAUGAUGGUAGCUCUUUUAUAGCUGUAUUAUCUAAACUAAGCCUCUCUAGUUUUCCAAUACUGCGCUUGAUUUUUGGAAAACUAGUUAGUUGUGAACAGCCACUGCAAUGAAGUAUGAAAAGGUGUUUCAACUUAUGAAUGUCCCCAGGAAGAUUCUCAAGUCUUACACACCCUAUAAAAUUCGAGGAAAAAAAAAAGUUAGUUUAAUAACAACACUCUUAUAUGUGUGUGAACCUUAAGUAAAAUUAUACAACCUGAAAGAUUAAGUUCCUCCAAAUUUGGCACGUUUGAGAAAUUUGGUAGUUCAAUAAGCUGUUGUGAAUCAUUGAGAUUGAUGUACCUUAAAUUUCUAAGACACUGGAACAAAAUAGAAUUUCUAUUAAUAAAUCAAUUUUAACCAACUUUAAAAUAUUAUAAAACAAAAGCAUAAAUAAAUGAUUAUCAUACCAUGUUUCCUUUCCAAAGUCGUUUUAUGUUACUAUUGCUCAAACCGAGGAAAACAAGAUCAUUUGGAUGAAAGUUUGGUGGUAGAGAUUCUAAAGAAUAUCCAUCCCAACCGAGACAUGUCAAGUCAUCAGACGGAAAUACAAAAUCUUCAGGAAGUUGUUCUAUGCAAUUGUGGGAGAGGAUAAGCAAUCUAAGUCUAUUCAUCCUUUUGAAAGCUUUGCAUGUAAACUGUAUCUGUUCUGAUGUGUCCAUAUGAAAGAAUAUCCCUUCAAUUUUUUCAGUCCCCUAGAUAAUAAGAGUAUAAAAUUAGAAAAGCACGAUACAUGUAAAUCCUUACUAAGGUGAUAUAGAUGAAUAUAUAUAUAUAUAUAUCUUACCGUGUUUCUUUUCAAUACUCGAUAAAUAUCUGUAUGUCUCCAUAAUCUGCUCCUCUCUCCUGGCUCAUUAGGACAUUCUUCAUCAACAAUGCCCUUGCCCAUUUGGGCUAACAAAUCAUGCAUAUCUAUUGUAUUGUCCUCUAAAAUGGUUAUGAAACAUCUAUCAACGAGAACAUUUAUUCCACUUUCCGCUUCGCAUCCGGAACCAUCCAAUAUUCUUGAAACUGCUUCCACAUCACCUCCUUGAAAGAAACAUGCAAUGUCGAGAAAUAUCAUCUUUUGUGUAUAAUCCAAUCCAUCAAAACUUAUUUUAAGCACUUUUACAAUUUCCAUGUUAGGCACCUUUCCCAACUUCCGCAAUUCGCUUUUCCAAUCUGAUAGUCUCUUUCCAAAUAAUAGAGAACCCAAAACUUUAAGUGCUAAUGGAAGACCAUCAGCAUAUCGUACUACUUGAUGAGAGAGAUCUCCAUAACCUUCCUUCAGAUGAUGUUGUUUAAAGGCAUAAAGACAAAAAAGUUGAAGAGCUUCGUGAAAAUUUAAUUUCUCAACUUCAUACAUUUUCAUUUCAUGCCUAGUUAGCAAAUCUUUUUUCCUUGUAGUAAUGAUGAUUCUACUUCCUGGACCAAACCAAUUAUGCUUUCCAAUCAAGUGUUCUAAUUGUGUCAGCUCAUCUACAUCAUCCAGAAAAACAAGAACCCUUUUCGAGGAAAGCUUGUCCCUUAUUUCUUUGAUACCCUCAUGAACAUUCCUUAAAACUAUUUUCCUCGUUGUCCCUAGAAUAUCAUUAAGAAGUUGUUGUUGUAACUUAAGAAGACCACCAGAAUUUUCUGUGGAUUCUUUUCUGACAUCUGUGAGUAAGCUUACACUUUCGAAUUGAUUUGAGAUUCGGUUAUAAAGAGCAUUGAUGAUGGUGGUCUUGCCGAUACCACCAAGCCCAUAAACCCCGACCAUGCGAACAUCAUUCAACCCAAUCUCCAACAAUGAUAUUAGUCUUUCCAAACGAUAAUCCAUUCCGACAAUGUUCUCGGUAACAGCUAAAGUCUUAGGGAAGCUUCUAGGGACGUUCUCAAUAAUUUUAUCAAUAAGCUCUGUUUCAUACCUGCGAAUUGCAAAGCAUAAUGGGACAUGUGUACUGGCGCAUUAGGAUGAGUUGCAAAAAAUAAUAAAUUAUAUGAAAUAAAUUUAAUGAUGCCUAGUUUUCCAACUAUAACUUAGCAGGGCUAAAAGGAAUUUAAAUUAAAAUAAAAUAAACCACAUCUAUCAAACUACUCAUGAGUACAGUUUCAUUAUUCAAUAUAUAUGAUAGAAAUAAGAGAAGAAAAUGCAAAAUAUGAAUUGCAUUAUCAAAAGUGGAAAAAAAAACACUAAAAUAUUUUGUGUGUUAGCUUAUACUAUUCAAUCUUUUGAAAGGUUCAAAAUAAAGUUGAGUUGUCUAGAACAUUACUACCCUAUUUUGAUAAGGGAUUCCAUCAUAGGAUCAACUGCGCAUCCAAGCUUUUUAAUCUAAUAAUUUUACUACUGAUUAGAUGGUCAAGUUUAAAAUUUUAAUGAACAGAUCUUUAUUUUAUAAAUAAUAAAAAUAAAUAAAAAAUUAUAAAAGUUUAAAACUCACUUUAGCUUUAAGCGGUUAGUCAAAUAUCUCAUACUAAACAAGUUAGAUAUUUUUUAUAUCAGCAGAAAGAAAAAAGGACAGUGCUUCAAAUGACAAAUGAAGAGAAAUUACAAUUACCUGUCCUUCGCAUCAUAUCCGGCUAGAUUGCUUGCUUGCCUCAGGGCAAUCUUCCAUUUCCUUAUCUUUUCCUUUCUCUCCUCAUCUGCAUUCUUCUCAUGAUGGGUAAAUGCUUCUCCGUAAAUCUCAGUUUGGUUCCGCAGUUCAGACGGAUCUACAUGAUAGAAAAUUGGGAUAACUACCAUUUGUUCCCUUUCCUCUUUGCAUUUCAUGAUCUUGACAAGCUCUUCCAGACACCAUUUGGAAUGAGCAUAGGUUUUUGAGAAGACAAUAAUGGCACUCCUUGAUUCUUCAAUAGCUUUUAAGAGCUCUGGUGCAAUCUCUUCUCCCCUUGGAAGCUCUUCAUCAUCUCUGAAGGUAUGAAUAUUGUUACGAAUCAAAGCCGAGUAGAGGUGAUCGGUAAAGCUUUUGCGAGUAUCUUCACCUCUGAAACUCAAAAACACAUCGUAGCUCCACUGAGAGCGAGAAGUGAAAGAAGAAGAGGAUCUCUGGAUGCUAGGGGAGGCCAUGGUUGAACAGAAAUUGGAGGAAAAAUAAGGGCCUUCGGGUAUUCAGUGACUUAAUUCCCCUAGCCUUAAUGUGAAGUUUGGAUGUUGGUGGUGGGAUGUGCUUUUUCUUUCUCAAUUAUUUCUCCUUAGCUGUAUCCCUCUAGCUUUGAACUUUCACUUUUGUCCCUUUUGGCAGUCAACAAUGGCCGGCACUCUUCUCUCUGCAAUUUCCAAUUAAUUUCUAAAAUGUAAAAAAUAAAAAAUGAUCAAAUCCAUGUGGUCUUUACUUAGGUCAUAAGAUCGUGUGAACACACAUUAAAUUAAAGUUAUUCAAUUAAGUUUUGUCUUUUCCAUAAUUAGCAAUAUUACGGUAGAAAAUAAAGGUUUAUUAAGUUGAUAUGUCAAGUAAAGCUAACAACUUUGGUAUUAUAAGCUUGAUUUUUGUAGAUGGAAAAAUAUAAUGAGUCAUAUGACAAAAAAUAAAGAAAAUUUUGAUCUUGAAGAAUAGAAAGAAGCACAAAACCUUCAUGAAAGUUUAGGGAAGAAAGACCAUGCUCAAAACUCCAAAUUUAAAUUCUCACGGACUUUUCACAUUUUGCAGCUGGCUUUAUUAUUAAUAGAAGCACAUAAAUAAAUAUUGUAAUUAAAUCCCACUAAUUUAUAGGUCAUAAUGGUAUAUAUCGGUCAUCACAGUAAUUGAGUGGGAAGGUGGGUACCUGUAAAAAGAAUAGACCAAACCAAUCACCCUAAAGUACCUUUAUCAUAAAAGUCAUUGAGGUCCUAAUGGUAAUAAUGGUGGAUAUCUUUGGAAAGAGAAAACAAUCCUAAAUUUCAAAAGAACGUCUGUUUCUUGGCAAUUGUAUCCCCGACAGCCUUAUCUUUUUUUACUUUAUAUCUUUUUAUUAUUAUUAUCGUGAGGAUGGUUAAAGAUGAUAUUAGAUAUGUAAUCUUUCUAUGGUUUAAAAAUGAAAAAUGUGAGUGUUAAGUUGGCAUUUUUACCAUUUAGAAAAUACUUGAUUUUAAGAUCAUUAAUAGGAAGAAAUAAAGAGUUCCAAAAAAUAAAGAAGCUUUUAUUGACUAAUCUAGGCAACCCCUUUCUUGGCUUUUAAUUGUAUCUACUUUGUCGAAAAUCUCAGUCAUUCCUCCUUGUCUUCCUUUUGUUAUUCCUAAGUUCCAACUCUUUUUUUUUUUUUUUAAAUAAUAAUAUUAGUUUUAUGUUUUAAUGAAAUGGGUUGCAAAUUUGAAGAAAACAUAUUCUUGUGUAUUUAUUGACUAUGACCCUUUCUUCACAAAGGUUAACGUUAUUUACAUUCUCAAACUAAUCUUUGAUGAGUUUGAGUUUUUCUUUACUAACAAAACUUCUACCAUAUCUUUCUUGUAGGAACAAAGUCAAAUGACCAUAUUUUGAGACUUAUAUGAAUGGUCUCAACCAUCCAAUCCAAAUACCUACUCAACCCACAACUUCACUCCCACCAAACAACCUUUCGACUAUUAACAUUAUACUAAGAUUUCUUACCUUUGCUAUUCAAAUUAUCGUAAUAAUGUACAUCUUCUAUUUUAUAUUUUUAAUACAUUCCAUUUAAAUUUAACUUCUUACAUCCUUUAACACCUUAUUGUGCAUUUGUGGUUAUUUUUCUAAGCUGUUUUUUAACUUUCAUUGGUGGUUCAUUGUAAUUAUGUUGGUUACUGGGUUUUUUUAUUCUAUUUUAUGCAAGAGACAUUUUGAAAGGAUUAGGUGCCUUCCAAUCUUGAUUUUAGUGAUUUUUAAAUCUUAGUUUAGGACUUUGUUUUUGAUUGAUUUAUAACAUAUUUAGGUUUGUUUAGAAUUUUAAAACUUUAAUUGCAUAAAAUAGAUUCAAGAUUUGAAUUAAUUAAUAAUUGAUUUCAUUCUCCUUUAAAAUGUAGAAUAUGAUAAACGACUUGAUAGCAAAUUCAAACAAAUCUUUAUCCAAAUGAGAAUUUAUGUAAUCUAAUCAUUUUAUUAAAUAUCACCUAGUAAAUUAUAAAAAUAAAGAUAUUAAUCACAUUUGUUAAUAUGUUUUUUUUAAAUUGACAAAUUAUGAUGAAAUUAUAAUCUUUUCAAUAUUUUAUUAAUUAUUAAUUAAAACAUCACUAUAAUUAUUCAAUCCAUGGAAUAUAAAAUGAGUUAUUUUUAGUAAUAAUAAUAAUAAUGAUAAUAAUGAUAAUAGUGAUAAUAAUAAUAAUAAUAACUAAUCAUAUUUGAAUAACAUUUCAUCAAUUAUAUAUCAAAAUAAAGUUGUAUGUUUAUCAUAACCUAUGUUUUAAAACAAAAUAAUAAAAGUUAUAUUUCCCUUUAAAUGUAUUUACAUAUCUACCUCCAUAGUCCAUGGUAUUAAAAUAAUCUAAUAAAACACAGUAUCCCAUAACCGGGCAACAGCACAGCUGCUCCUAGCUUUAGCCCCUAGCAGCUGCAAUCAGCUUUUCCACUCUCUGUUACAGUCCAGCUUUGGCCGCCCAAGACGUACAUCUUUAAAAGUUGAUUUUAUUUUUUUUAAUUGAAUGUUUUUUUUUUUUUGUAACUCUUCUCGAUUAAUAAAUAAUAAUAAUAAUAAUAAUAAUAAUAAUAAUAAUUGGAUUUGGUUUUUAAAGUUGAGUAUUUUCUUUAACUAAUUGAUAUUAUAAAUAUAUAAAUAAUUUCUACAUUCACAUUUUAUAAAAAAUAAAAAUGUUUCAUUUUGAAAAUUUUAUGCAUUAUUUUAAAAUUUUCAAAUAAAGGAUUAUUUGUAAAUAUUUCUAAAUAUGUUUGAUUUCAAUAAUUGAUAAAUUAUAUAAUCAAAAUAUUAUGAAUUGGUAAAUAUCAAUUAUUGGAUUUUAUGAAGAUAAAAUUUAUGAUAUCAAAUAGUAAUGCAUUAUAUUUAUAAAUAGAUGUAUUUUUUCUAUUUUAAAUGUAAUUAACAAUAUAAAAAAUUAAUUAAUAAUGAUAUAUUUAUGAUAAUUUUUGUUUAAAAACAUUUAUAAUUUUAUUUAAAAUUAAAUUUCAUUUUAUAUUUAAUAAUUAUAUAAAAGAUAAAAAAAAUUUAAAAGUAAAUCAAACUAAUUUAUUUAUAAAAAAUUAUUAAUUUUCACUAUUUUACUUAUUUUACAUAUAUAUGUAUUGGGACUGAAAUCUGUUCUCCAUUCUCUCAUUCUUUCCUCCAUUUCUCUUUCGUUCCUAUUCUCUGUUUCCUUUCUCCUUGUCUUCAUUUCUCUUCUAACAUCCAAACUUUUAUUCAUGACGGUUAAACUAUUUCUCUUUUCUAAGAUCAAAACAUAACUCACUGAGGUUAAAAUCCAGAUUGUGAUUGUUAUAAAAAUUCCUAGUUAGGGUUUUAGUUUUAGUUUUAAUUUUUUUGUUCUUUUUUAUUUUUUGCAUUCUUGGUCUUUUGUGUUAUUGUUUAUGUUUUAUUUGGUUUAUGGGAAAUCCUAGAAUUUAUGAAAGUUUUGGCUUUGAAAUAUCCAAAAAAUAUUGAAAUAGAAAUGACCAAAAAAAAAAAAAAAAUUGUUGAAUAAUGUUGAGUUUUUGGUUGAAUUUUUGUUUGACCGAUUUUUUUAUUUUCCAUUUUCUGAUUUGCCCUCGUAGAGUAAAGAAUUUUCCUUCAUAGUGAAGAGAUGAGAACACUCAAGAACAUUGAUUGAAAAUACGAAAAACAUCUUAUUUUUUUUCUUUUUAGAACAUUGGCAAAAACACGGAAAACAACAUUUUUUUGUUUUUUGAAAACCAGACUUUAGAAAACACGAAGAAUACAUGGGAACAAAAAACACUCUCUUAUCAAACACAUUUUGUGUGUUUUUGUUCUCAAAAACAAAAAACUGUUUUUGAAAACAUUCACCAAACAUGCCCUAUUUUUUGAGGUAAUUCUUUUUAUUCUUUUUCUUUGCGGGGGAGGGGGAGGAAAUUUUGGCGAGCUGUUAGAAAAGGGGAUCUUGUGGCAGUUGGAGUUUAGGUUGCCUCAUGUUCUCUCUCCCUCUCUUUUUAUAUUUUAGUUUUUUUGCAAUAACUUGAACUCAUUUCCUUUGAGAAUUUCAUGUUCAUUUUCCCACACUUUGUUUUUGUUCCUAAAUUUAAUCUUGUGUUUAUGUCUAUCAAUUAGUUAUUUAGGUUGAGGAAAGGGGGCCGGGCCUUAGGUCUUCCCUUUUACCCUUGAAAUGAUCCUCUCACUUUGGGUGAUUAUUGAUUUAACUAGCUUAUAAUUUGGCCGUCUUUAUUUUUUAUUGAAAUCAUCAUACCUUGAUGUUUGGAAAUUGAAGAUUCAGGGCCCUUUUGAUGGACUGUCUAGUGGAGUGUGUGGGCAUAGGAAUGAAUUAACGGAGACGUGAAAGCUUUGAUCAGUCCAUGAAAUACAAAUGAAAGGUUAUCACCAAAAAUUAAGCAUGCGUGCAUUGAUAAUAGACAAGUAAAUGAGAGAAAAUGAACUUCAAAUCUUACUUGACAACGAUACUACUAUAAUGGGAUAUUCCUCAACAUAGUGGUUAUUACUUAAUUUGGUAUCAAUAACUAUGCUAAAACCUUGCCCAUUACUGAAAAUGGACAGGGAAUAAGCAAAAAUAUUAUAAUAUGUCUGUAAUUGAUUCCUUUCAUCAUAGUAACCCAUUGGCCAGAUUGGCUUAGUUAACUAAAUGAAAACCCGAUUUCUUAUAUUUCGAAUGAACCAAAAAGGAUACAGUAGUAAACAGCUAUGGAACCAAUAUGUAUGAGGAUAAAAAACAACAACAAUUUUGAUUGAAACUAAUCUUGAAAUAAUCAAUGGCUAAGUACAUCAGGUUGUGUUUAUAAAGUCCUAGUUCAUAAGCACUAAAUUCUAAUGCUAACACUCUCUCCAAGUGCUUUCAGUCUGCUGCUUCAAUACAAGUACUCUAUAUGUGCGCUUGAUAGUAACUUGCGCUUGAUAAUAACUUCUCGUGUCCUAUAUAUUUAUACCCGAUCAAGGGCUGCCAUUUUAUUAGAUUGUUGAGUAAUGACGCUGCUUGUUGAAGGAUUGUGAGACAGAACAAUCUCAUACCCAUCAUCACAUGACUGCAUCCCCUCGGCCAUGAGUUGCCAAACCAAGCCUCCACCAAUUCCUCCACUUCUUGCAAAGUUGUAGAUGUUGGUAUAAACAACAUUCAAAAAUGAAUCCCUUUUAUUUAUAAUUUUAAUUCUAUUGUACGAAGGAAUUAAGAAAAAACUUUUAUUCUAAAAAAAUAUAAAUUUUAACCUAAAAUAAUUUAGUAUAUACUUUAUCAAGUGUAAAAUUUUAAUGAACAGAUUUUUAUUUUAUAAAAAAUAAAAAUAAAUAAAAAAAUUAUAAAAGUUUAAAACUCACUUAGCUUUAAGUGGCUAGUCAAAUAUCUCAUGCUAAACAAAUUAAAUAAUUUUUAUAUGAGCAGAUAGAGAAAAGGACAGUACUUCAAAUGAAAAAUGAAGAGAAGUUACAAUUACUUGUUCUUCGUGUUAAGGAUAAUUAGCCUUUCCAUUACAAUUUACCAUAUGUAUCAUAUUUGACCCUUGAUUACAUGCUAUUCCUUUGUAAUCAGUUUGAUAUUAUUUCCUACUUUCCAUUUCUUUUAUAAUCAGUUUGAUAUUAUUUGAUUUGUAAUAUUCUAUAAAUGAUUAUAAAUAGAAAACUCUCACCACCUUCUCAAGUGUGGUGGUUUGACAAAUAUUCUUACUUUGUAUCAUAUCCGGCUAGAUUGCCUGCUUCCCUCAUGGCAGUCCUCCAUUUCCUUAUCUUUUCCUUUCUCUCCUCAUCUGCAUUUUCCUCAUGAUCGGUAAAUGCUUCUCCACAAAUCCCAGUUUGGUUCCGCACUUCAGACGGAUCCACAUGAUAGAAAAUUGGGAUAACCGUUUGUUUCCUUUCCUCUUUGCAUUGCAUGAUCUUGACAAGCUCUUCCAGACACCAUUUGGAAUGAGCAUAGGUUUUUGAGAAAACAAUAAUUGCAAUCCUUGAUUCUUCAAUAGCUUUUUAAGAGCUCUGGUGCAAUCUCUCCUCCCCUUGGGUGUUCUUCAUCAUCUCUGAAGGUAUUAAUAUUGUUACGAAUCAAAGCCGAGUAGAGGUGAUCAGUAAAGCUUCUGCGAGUAUCUUCACCUCUAAAACUCAAAAACACAUCGUAGCUCCACUGAGAGUGAGAAGUGGAAGAAGAAGAGGGUCUCUGGAUGCUAAGGGAGGCCAUGGUUGAACAGAAAUCGGAGGAAAAAUAAAACAUAUAAAAUUAUCAAGUCCAUGGGGUAUUUAAUUAGGCCAUAAGAGAUCGUGUGAACUCACACAUACAUUAAAUUAAAGUUAUUGAAUUAAUUUUUGUCUUUUCUAUAAUGAGCAAUAAAUAUUCCUGUAGAAAAUAAAGGUUUAUUAAGUUGAUAGGUGAGGGAAAGCUAUAUAACAACUUCGGUAUUAUAAGCUUGAUUUUUUAAAAAUAAAAAAUAUAAUAAGUCAUAUGACACAUAAAAGUUCAUUUUUUUUAAAAUCAAGUCAAACAUUUUUAUCUUAUUAUAAUUUCUUAUUAUUAUAAUAAAUAAAAUAAUUUUUUAAAUAUAUUUUCCUAUUAAGAUAUAUUAUUCCUAACCACAAUCGAAUUUUUAUAAAAGAGCAAUUAGUUUCUUAUAUGAAUGUUUUAUUUAAUCAAGAUAAACAUGGAAAGAAAUUGUUAUCACAUGUCCUAUAUUGAGAAAAAUUAUAUAUAAAUUGGAAAUAAUUUUAAAAAUAAUAAAAUCUAAAAGUUGUUUCACUAUUUUCUAAAAUUAAUUUUAAUUUCUUAUAAUUUUGCUAUUUUUUUGUUGAUUUUUUAAUAAUUAUUUUAAUUAUAUAUCUAUAUAUAUAUAUAUAUAUAUAUAUAUAUAUAUAUAUAUAUCUAUAUAUAUAUAUAUAUAUAUAUAUAUAUAUAUAUAUAUAUAUAUAUAUAUGUGUGUGUAUAUGUAUACAUACAUAUUAAAAAAUGUUACUCAUUUAAGUGGUUUCAAAUGAUUUAUUUAUUUGCAUGAAAAAAACAUGAAUUGAUCAUCUUUUGAGAUGUAGUAAGAGUCGUUUGGUUUAGGUCACAGUGGUAAUGAGUUGGAAGGGUCUAGUACCUUUUGAAAGAACAAAAGGAGCAACAACCCUAAAAUUCAAAAGUGUUGGAAUAUUAAACAAUGUCUUGGUCAAAAAGGGAAAGCGCGUUGGAUCAUAUAUUGAAAAUAAUGUCUUGUUAACAAAAAAUAAUGUCUUGGUAAAAAUAGAAAACAUAUAGGAACAUUGAAUAAGACAAUACCAUAUGGUUAGGAAAGGUUAUUCUCUAAUCUUUUAUCCUUAUUGACUCAUACACUUGUUGAACCUCCUUAACAAUAGAAAGAAAGUUCAUUCUUAUGAAUCCUCAAAAUGAAUCAAAGAGAUAAAUUUCAAUUUUGAAGUAAACAUAAUUAUUUUUCUAUUUUUGUUAAAAAAUUGACAAUACUUAAUUUAUCAUGUAAGAAUCAAAGAAUAAUAGCAACUAUUCAUACAAUCGGUCUCAUUUUGUUGUAACAAAACUUAUGAUUAUUUUUCUUCCAUGUAUAUGAGGUUACUAUAAAUUCAUUUCCCACUUGUCAUGUGAUUCAAAUAGAACCUACUAGAUGAAAUUUCUCUCAACAUAUUUCCGCAUCACAAUUUUUCUUUCAUUUUUUAUUUUAUUUUGAAUUUGCAUUAAAUAAAUUUCAACCAUAGAUACGCACUAACAAUAUUUAAAUAAAGAUGAUAAUGUAUUUAAAAUUUUAAUAAAAACUGAGUUGAAUUUUUCAACUUACGUUUGAUUUCCUUCUGUUCACCUAAUGUUGGCAUUAAAAUACAAAAAAAAAAGUCAUUGUCUUCGGGAUUUUUUCUUGUGAGCUUAUCCUCAAACUUUCUUAAAAAACUAAGUUGAUUAUUGUUGUGCUCACUUAAUGUUUGCAUUAAAAUACUAGAAACUUAUUCUUGUGAGCUUAUCCUUGCACCUUCUUCGAAAAAUAUAAGAUUGAUUCUUAUUGAUAGGAAGAUAAGAACAAAAACUUCUAAUAAAUUAUAUUUUGGUAUAUUGAUAAUUUAAUGGGAAAAAACGUUAAAUUUUAUAAAUGUAAAAAGAUGAUAUAGUUGGAUGACGCAUUUAUACAAACAUAUGAAAAGAACAUUUAUAGUCAAUAAAUGAAAACCAUGUAAAUAUUCAAAAGGCUAAAAUCACAAUUGAUUGGAGCAAAAAAAUUUAGCUCAUCCUAUAUUUAUUUUUUAUCAUCAUAUUCUUAUCGAGCUUCUUAGGCAUCAAAUAUAAAAAUUCUCUAUUUAAAAUCAAAAUAAAAUAAAUAAGAUCUUGUCAACUACAAUUUUAAUUCAACUAUUUUUGUUGCUAACUAGUUCCUUGAUUUUUGGUACUUCGAUUUCUCAAACAACACAAAAUUUCAUUUCAAGGAAGACUCAUUAACAACAUGAAAUUCAAAAUUACAUAUGCAACAACCCAACCCCAAGCUUAAGUAAAUUUGUAAUUUUAUUAAUUAAGAAAAUAAAAACUUUGGGCUAUUUAAAUAUAAUUGGAUUUUAAUUUUGAGUUUGGGUUCAAGUUAAAAAAAAAUUAAUGAGCCAAAUAAAUUAAUUGGGCAUUUAUAUUCAAACAAUUAAUCUUUAGUAUUAAGAUUUAAUUGAAUUGAAAAAAAAAUAGAAAUAAGAUAAUAAAGGGAGUAAAAUAGUCAUUUCUCAUUAGAAACCUAGGUAUGAAUAUUCACUCUUCUUUACAAAAGUCUUUUUGUAUAGAGAGCAAAUGUAGGGUUUGAAAUCAAUCUUUGAAUGUAAGCACGUAUAGAUUUAAUAUUUACUUUCAUUUUUAAUUUUCAUGGGAAUUAUUAAAUAUGAUCAAAUUUUAUGAAAAAAUUAAAUAACAUNNAUUCUAAUUAAUUAUAAAGUCACUACAUUAAAAGUCUNNNNNNNNNNNNNNNNNNNNNNNNNNNNNNNNNNNNNNNNNNNNNNNNNNNNNNNNNNNNNNNNNNNNNNNNNNNNNNNNNNNNNNNNNNNNNNAAUCAAAAAGUAUAAGUUACAAAUUUCAAAGGGUGUUUAUGAGUGGAUCAAUUUUUGGUCUCAAUUAAAAAAGCUAAUUGAAAAUAAUAUAAAUAUAAUAUGUUUUUAUUUUAUUUAUUUAUGGUGAGGAUUAUAAAAUAAAUUGUUAUUUUUUAAUUUUAAAUAAAGUAAACAAAUAAGAUAAAAUAGAAAUUAAAAUCAAAAGAAAAAAAAUUAAAAAUCAAACAAUAUAAAAUAUUGAAAGUGAUUGAAUAAAAAAGAAAAAGUUUACAACUCAAAUAAGAUCAAUCUAGAAAAUACAUUACAUAUUAAAAUAUACGCAUAAAAUGCAUUUCAUACUGUUAGAUGGUAAAAGUCCAAGUAAAAAAUCGUAGGUUGAUGACCUGAAUUGCAUAGGUUGCUUUCAGACCAUUGGGACUUGUUAGGGUUCAAAGUCAAAAAUAGGACUAAUAAUAUUUAGUAAUAUCAUCUCAAGCCUAUUCCAAAAUAUGGCAACAUGGUAAAAUUAAAAAUUAACAUAAUGCUUAAUAAUAAUAAUAAUAAAAAACCUUAUUGGUUUUUUUUUUUAAAAAAAUCACUAGAUAUUGUAUAAUUUUUCUAAAAUGAAUGAGAAAAGUUAUAAUUAUGAAUCUCUUGAAGAAAAACCUUUCAAUUGCAAUCGCACUCCCUUAAAAAAAAAAAAAAAAACUUAAACAUAAAAGGGUUAAAUAUAUAAUAUGAGUAAAUUCGUUAAUCAUCACAUAAAAAACAAUUUUUCCAGACCCCCUCGAUCAACCCCAUGAGCUAACCCAAGCAACUCAAUGUUGACAUCCUAAGCUAAAUGGUAUUAUCUGAUUAAUUAUUUUACAAAAUAUACAUAUGUUAUAUCUUAAAAUUGGUUACUAAAUUAUAUUACAGUUAUCAAAUAUAUUACCAUAUAUAAAAUACAACUUAAUAAAUCUUAAGCAUAAUACAAAGCACAAUAACAAGAUAUGUUAAUUUAAGUUAUUAAGAGCUUAUUUAGUUGUGUGAUUUAAAAAUAGUUUUUUGUUUUUAAAAAACAAAAAUUAUCUUUAAAAUUUUCUAACACUAUUUACCGUUGCUUUUUGGAAACACUUUUUUAAAACAAAGUAAAAUAAAGAACAAUUUUUAAAAAACAAGUUGAAGUUGUUUUUACCAGUUUUUAAAAAACAAAAAAUAUAUAAACUCAUUUCACUAUGUUUUUUGAAACUUGUUUUUAAAUUAAAGAAUAAAAAAUAAUUUUUCAAAAUAAGUUUCAAAAUAUCAUCUAUACACAUUCUUUUUGAAUGAUUAAGAAUCGAGAUUUCUAACCAGUCGGUUAUUAUUAUUUUUUUUUUAUAAAAAAUUGAAAUUUACUUUAUCAUUUAUUGUAUGAAUAUCAUAUGGAUUUAAAAAGAAUUUCACACUUAGACAUGUACCUCUCAGAACAUUUGAAGUGAAGAUGUUCUUGUCUUCUUCAAUUUGAAGGCUCAUUAUGACUUUGAGAUUCACAUUCCUUUAAUUGACAUGAAAUGUUUGACUUGCCUUGACUAAUAAGGACCUUCAUGGCUUACCUGAUAGAGGUUGGGCCUUUACCGUUAUCCACUCAGCAAUGAUGUAUUUUCUGCACUGAGUUAUUUAAUAAAAAUGGUUUUUGAGUAAAACAGAUUUGGAUUUUGACCUAUGGAGGCCUAUGGACUUUCAAAACAGGGGUUCACUAGGGAAAAAAAAAACAGAGAAGAAAAAGAAGAAAAAUGAGAUCAUUGGAAGAAUUUUCAGCCCCUUUCAAUCACUUAGCCAUAUAAUAGAAACUAAGAAGAAGAGAAAGGAUCGUAGCUCACAAAAAGCUUGAGAUAAAUGUUUAGCAUCUUCUGCAGCAUAUCCAUCCAACAAAUUUGCAAAGAAGCUCCAACCAGUCGUGCAUAUGAUCCUCUUCAUCAUCUUGGGCAUCAACAACAUUACUGUUAAUAAUCUGUGUCGUUGUAUCCAUGGGAGAAUCGCUAUGCUCAGUGCACUGUGUCCAGUCAUAGCUUGUUUGUGCAUUAGAAUUAGUAUCUUCUGCUGCUGAUCUGGUAUCACAACUUCUCUGCUCAUCACUAUACUCCAUCAUUGUCUGAUGGUCGCGCUUGGUGGCUUCUGUGUUGUCACAGCUUCUCUGACAAUCAGUACUGGUAUCUUCUGGGAUGUUGCUGUUGAUAACAUCACGUGUAUAUAUAAGAUAGUACCCACACUCUUUCACUUCGACUGGUGCAUCCAAGCUAUGAAAUGAAGCCUUCAAACGUCUCCAUUCGUUUGACCAAUACUGCUUGUCAAUAGCAACCUUGGGAUAAUAAGUCACACACAUUUGACUUGAUUCAUCGCAAAUUGGGCAGCAAUAAAACUGGACAUCAUCCACGUGACAGCAUUCAGAUUGAUCACCACAGAUACUGAGUUCGCAAUUCAACUCAUCACAAGCCAUAGAAAUAAAAAUAGAGUAUAAAGCAAAUCCUAAGAAGUCAUCUUUUCUGUACCAAUCCAUAGGAAGCUCUAUUGUUAUUUGAGAUCCUUUUUUUGGCUGGCUUAUCCACUCUGGAAUUCCAUUAUUUCCCAAAAUAACAACUCUGAUUGCCUUGUUCCAAUAGGAGUCGCAUUCAAAUUCCUGCACAGAAGUACAGUGUUAAUACUCUGUUCAUAAGGAAAAAGGGCUGAAUGUUAUGAAAAUCAUACCUCAAUCAUUGAUUUGAAGCAUUUGAACAGAGAAAAACCAAGUUCACUUGAUGGACUUGAUGAAGUUUCCAAGCAUGUGCAACUGUGGACAUCUAAAUAUCGUAAACUUGGCCGAAGCUCUGGAACUUGUCGACGCCCCUGGCAGUGACUCAAUUGAAGGACUCUCAGUUUAGACAGUUGAAUGAUGCCUGCAAGUAUGCUACUAAAACAGUCCAUGCUUAGAUUUAGACCUGAAGCACGCAAAUCCUCUAAACAUUGCAAACUCCUCAGGUUCUCAGGAAAUUUCUCAAGUUUUGUACAGAAACUGACAUCUAGAGUUUUGAGAGAACUCAAAUUACAAAUGCUUUCUGGAAGACUCACAAGGUUGGUGCAAUCUGAAAGAUUCAAAUAUUGAAGCCCUCUUAAAUAUUGAAUUGAUGCUGGUAGUUCUUCUAUAGCAGUUCCAUCUAAAUGAAGCACUCUUAAAUUUUCCACAUCCUCAACGAUUUCCGGAAAGCUCCUUAAUCGUGAACAGCCUGAGCAGAAGAGAGUUGUAAGGGAUUUCAACUCACAUAUGCUACUGGGAAGAUGCUCAAGGUUUUUGCAUUCCCGCAAACAUAAGCUAUCAAGUUCUAAGGGACACUCAAUAGUGGGUAGUUCAUUGAUGGCAUUUCCCUUUAAACAAAGCUUUCGUCGGGAUUGCACAUCCCCUUGACAUUCCCGGCAAACGGUGGAUAUCAUUGCUUUACCAUGGUUCUGUUCAUGAUCAUGGGCAUAUAUAAGAUGGAUCCCACACUCUUCUACUUUCACUGCUUUACCUCUCAAGUAGCCACAAAAUGAAGCCGUCAACUCCCUGCAUUUAUUUGAGUGGUACUUCUUCUCAAUCAAAAGCUUAGGAUAAUAAAUCAUCCACAUUUGUGGUACAACAUAGCAUUGAAAUGAGGGAAAAAACUGGAGUUCAUCCACAAACUGAAUUUCACGACCACGCAAAGUCAAACCAUACUCGAAGUAAGUUGCAUCAUUAUCCAGUGUCUCCUCAGAUUCAUUAUCAAGUGGAUAAUAGACACAGUACAAAACAAAACCCAACAAGUCGUCAUUUUUAUACCAAUUUUGAGGAAGCUUUGCUACUACUUCAGCUCCCUUUUUGUGAUGGCUUAUCCAAUUUGGAAUUCCACUACCGUCUGAAAUAAGAUUUACUUGGGCAAAAGAUUUUUCUGUAGGAUAAAUCUCGCAUUCCAAAUCCUGCAGAAAAUUUAAUUAACACGUAAAUCCCCAUGUCUCCACAAAAAAAGUUGUGUUCUAUGAAUAUCAUACCUGAAUCAAUGAUUUGAAGCAGUUGAAUAGAGAAGACCAGAGUAGACCUGAAGAAGUUUCCAGCCGUUUGCACCCAUGUACAUCUAAGACACGCAAACUGGAUGGAAGCGCUGGAAUUUGUCGAAGCUCUUCACAGUAACCCAAAUCAAGGAGUCUCAGCCUAGAAAGUUGAUUGAUCCCAGCAGGUAUGCUCCUAAAAGGAUUCCCGAUUAGAAGUAAUUCUUGCAGAGAUGAUAGCUGGCAAAAUUCAGUGGGGAUUCCUCCUUCAUCUAUACAGCAGACAGAUAGAUCUAACACUUGCAAGGAGUACAAGCCGCAAAUAUCACUCAGGACUACUCCUUGCAUUAGCCCUGAGCAAGUUAGAUUUAACACCUUUAAGGAGCAUAAACCUGACAAAGAAAGCAAUUGGCAACAUCUUGAAUUUAAGCCCCUAGCACAGAGACGCUUCAAGCUUUGCAGCCUCCCCAGGUUUUGUGGCAAUUUGUGGAGUUCGAAACAGAAAUUGACAUUGAGAUCUUCAAGAAAGCGUAAAUUACAAAUGCUUUCUGGAAGAGUCACAAGGUUUUUGCAACUUUCCAGAUUCAAAACCUGAAGCCUAUUCAAAUGUUCGAUUGAAGAUGGUAGCUCUUUUAUAGCCGUUCCGUUCAAGUGAAGCUGCCAUAAGUUUUCCAUAUUCUCCAAGAUUUCUGGGAAGUACUGUAAUUGUGAACAGUCAGAGCAAAAGAGAGAUUUUAGGGAUUUGAACUCCCAAAUGCUUGUUGGUAGACUCUCAAGGUUUUUGCACUCUCGCAAACACAAGGUAUCAAAUUCAGAGGCACACUCAAUGGGUAGUAGGUUGAUUGUCUGACCCUUUAAACAAAGCUUUCGGUGUUCCACGUUCCUCUGACAUUCCAAGCAGCUAGCAUCCACAUCCUCA
RNAcentral lists this long non-coding RNA (97275 nucleotides) under Vitis vinifera (wine grape). RNAcentral describes it as "long non-coding RNA (VVIN_LNC006323)". The record is from RNAcentral. Lineage: Eukaryota; Viridiplantae; Streptophyta; Magnoliopsida; Vitales; Vitaceae.